CUAUUUUUCAUGUAAAAAUAAAUCUAAACGAAAACGCCGGAGUUCGAAUCUUUUACAUGUGAACUUUCAGUAUAAUAUACUGGAGUUCCAGCAUCCUAUACUUUAUAGCUAAAUAGAAAAAUCUGUAGCAUAAUAUACUAAAAAAUUCAGGUUUUAGCAUAAUAUAGUGACGAAUUAGAAUUCUAUUGCAUAAUAUUGAUAAACAGAAAAAUUCGUCGCUAAUCUCAUUUAGCGAGGGAUUAGCAACGGUUCAUUAAGAAAUUCUGCUAGCUACGAGCAUUUUAGCGACAGAUUAGCGACGACGUUCUUAGUAAUUCCAGUUUUUUUUUGUAGUGAUAAGAUGUUGGAAGUUCAUACACGGGUACUUUAAUCUCCAGUAUAUUAUACUACAACUUUCCGUGUGCUGGAAUUCCAACAUAAUAUGCUAAAAGUUCAUACACAGGUGCACCAAUCUCCAGUAUAUUAUGCUGGAAAUGUUUGUACACAGGUGCACCUUUAUGGAGCAAAAUGACCUAGAGAAUAUAUAUAAUCUAGUCCAACUAAUUUGAAACUAAGGUGUAACUGAUUCACUUAAAGACACACUGAGUAUUUUAAGUACUUUCCAUUCUAAACUGGAACCAGUCAACCUUGUGCCCAUAAUUUGAUGAUAAUGCCUGUCAUAAAAUGGAAGUAGAGGACUUGCAUGAAAGGAAAAAUAUGUUAAUAUAGCCAAAGACGACUGCCUAUUAUUCCAAUUUCAAAAAAUUGGCUCUCAUGCCACACUCUUUUGGACAAAAUUAAAUGGUGUACAUAGGCAAGUCAUCCUUGGCUAAUAAACAAGAGUACUUUUCUCUUCAUGUAAGGUCUCUCUUCCUUGGCUAAUCCUGAAAGAAUAUCUUUGAUUUUUUAGAGUGUUUGCAUAUGUACUUUUGCUUCUUCGCUCUCUAUUUAUAGUCAAAUCUAUAAAAGCUUUCAAGAUUUCCAGUUAGAAGACUAUCAAUUCAACCCUUAGCCAAAUAUAUAGUUGCCUUAUCCAUAUAUAACGCCCUUCAACUAUUUUGAUGCUCUUUCGUUGAUACAAGAAUAUAUUCCGUUUUGGGUUCAAGAAUCUAAUCUUCUACUUCCAUUCUAGUCACAUAUUUGGAUCAAAUGUCAACCAAACAAAAAACUUACAGCCACCAAUUACCAGUUUGCGCGUAAACAAAAAAGUCUAGCAUAAAGUCAAAUUCUUAUAAGCAUUUGAAUCUUUCUGAAAAGUCAAAUCUUUGUUGAAAAAUCUUCAUUCAUGAGAUAAUGGCCAAUCUCUGUUAAGCGGUGACAGGUGUUUAGCUAAAAAAUUAUACUCAUACUUUAUAAGCUUAAAAACAAUCGAAAAUAUAUAAGAGUAAAUCGUAAUCAAAUAUAAUGAGCCCUAAAGAUGAAUAAUGUUUUAAAAUUGUUGUAGAUCUGAAAGUGCGAAGAAAAAUGAACGUAGCUUAAGAGAGAAGCAAUAGUUGGAAAACCAAGAAAGAGAUAGAGAUAGAGAGAGAAGUUGUAUUAUCCGAGAAUAAUCAUCCCCCCCAUUACAAUGUGAAGGUCUCCAUUAUAUAGUAGGAGACCCUCCUCGAAAUAAUCAAAAAGUACAAAAGUUGGUGACUUCCACUCAGUAAAAAGUUAGGCAUUAAACGACGCCGCUUCUUCUUUACCAACUUGGGUCGUGCCUUUACUUGGGUCGACUUUGUCAUAAGGGACGUGCUCGCUCAGCGUGGGGGCACUAAGAGUCAAGUUUCACCCUAUACAAUUAGUCCCUCUACAUACAACAUCCCCGGCCACGUUGAAAUGGCCCCGGCCAUGACGGACUAUGCCAAUGUGCAUAGGCCCGGAUUCUACACGUUCUAUGAAUACGCGCUUAAAAUUGGAUAUAGCUUUCCGCUUAACCCUCUAGCGGAAGAGCUUUGCCGCUUUUAUCAUGUGUGCAAGGCUCAGCUCACACCUUGUUCCUUGAAGGUGUGUCUAAUUCUUACCACGCUUGCGGGCGAGGCGGUACCGUCGUUUUUGUUCACCACCUGCUGCGGAUGUUCAACCCAAGCUAUAUGAGAGGUACCAUGCUCUAAUUGAGGAGCUGUGGUAAGAAAAGCUUUGUGGUGAGGACUGACAACAAAGCUAACCGCAACUUCUAGCAUAAAUACUUUUACAUUAGGACGAGCCAUCUGGUGUCCAAUCCCGAAGGGUUUCCGGAUACGUGGAACACAGGAUGUAAGUAUCUCUGCAUGUACUUUCGCGACGCCUUUUUUUGACCAAUCAAUUAUUCUUACUUACUUUCCUUCCUUUUGCAGUAGUGGCUCGCUCGCCUCAUCCCUUCAACGACAUUAGGUUGUGGGUGGUGGGGCUGAACCGCAUGCGGAAAAAUGCCGCAAUUGGGCUGUGUUUCGUAGAUUGCAGGGACCAACUGGUAACAACCUUUCCUGUUCUUCUCUUUCACACUGUAGAACCUUUUAUUCAAUGUACUCUCGUUUUUCAGGUCGGGGCGCUUCUACAAAGGCGAAGAAAAAGAAAACCAACGCGGGCCCGUCUAGGGUAGAGUUUGACUCCGAUGGGGGAUAUAUAUUAUGGGAGGCUCGCCUAGAGAGAGUGCAGUUUCGACCUCUCAACAAGGGGCUACGCCUGUGGCUGCAUCUGAUGCGGUGCCUGAGGCUGCUUCCGUAUAGAUACCUGAGGCCGUACCAAUAACGGCUCCUUAGACCGUUCCUGUGUCCGUACCUAAAGUCGCUCCAGUGGAGGAGGUUUAUGAAGAAGAACAGCCACCGGAGAGAAAGAGGCGGCGAAUGAUUACUGGCAAGGGAAUUGCAACUGAGGGCGCGAGGCCUAGUGAGCCCCACCAAUAGAUGAGGCUAGUUUUUAUGGCUGAGGCCAUUCGUUCAAGAAGAUUGGCUCCUCGGGGAACAGUCGCCGCCGUCCGCUCGGACCGUGCCUCAGGAGGAGAGUCGUCUUUCACAGUUAGGGGAGCGGCCGAUGAAAUUGAGAGUACGGGCUCUGAAGCCGCUCUUGGAGAAGCAUCGGGGGGCUCGGCCCUCGUGGAGAGGAGGAAUGGUAGGUCUAAUCUCCAUAUCGUGAUCCAUGGAGGGUAUAAUUUGUUAGAAGACAGCGAGCAAGUCAUAGCAGACAUGACCAUGUUAUGGGUGGCUGCGGAGCAUGAGAUGCUGAGAAGUGUUAGAAACAGGAAUUUGUCGAGGCAGAUCGCUGGCGCAGCUUUGUAGGUAGCAUUCAGUUUUUCUUUUAUGAGUCAUAAAAGUGACUUUAGUACGUACUGACAUGUUUCUUUUCUUCUUUUUAGACCCUCAUCUUGGAGGUGGAGAGGAGGUGGCGUGAACAAAACAAGUGGGCCACCUUCAAUAAAAUGGCAAAGAAAUAUCAGGAGUUCCGUGUCAAGCAUAAGGCGUUGGCAGACGUACUCAAGCUACUUUUUUGUCGUAGUCGAACAAGGCCGACUAUCAGCGUUGACGGCCUUAGAUGGAUCUAGGUUAACGACCUUAGUCUUGAUUGAGCCGAUGGCCUUCGCCGGACUUAGAUUGACGACUUUAGUUUUGAUAGAGACGAUGAUUUUUUGCAAUUUGCCAUGUAGGUGACUUGACUAUUGUCGUCAUUUUCUUGCUGCUGUCGAACUAGGUCGGUUUUUGGUAGUGAGGUCCUUAGCCAUAUGAAGUCGAUGACCUUUGGUCAUAGCUUGUAGGCUUUAGCCAUAUGGUCGACUUCGACUGUCGUCGAAUCAUUUGAUGGCCUUAUCCAUAUGAAGUCGAUGACCUUUGCUCAUAGCUUUUAGAUGGCCUUAGCCAUAUGGUCGACUUCGACUGUUGUCGAAUCAUUUGCUUGCCGUAGUUGAAUUAGGUCGACUGUGUGCGGUGAUGGCCCAGCCAUAUGAAGUCGAUGACCUUUGGUCAUAGCUUAUAGAUUGCCUUGGCCAUAUGAUCAACUUCUGUCGUUGAGUCUUUUAUUUUCCAUAGUCAAACUAGGUCGACUGUUGGCGGUGAUGGCCUUAUCCAUAUGAAGUCGAUGACCUUUGGUCAUAGCUUAUUGAUGGCUUUGGCCAUAUGGUCAACUUCGACUGUCGUCUAAUCAUUUUUUUGCCGUAGUUGAACUAGGUCAACUGUUGGCGGUGUUGGCCUUAGCCAUAUGAGGUCGAUGGACUUUAGACAUAGCUUAUAGAUGGCCUUGGACAUAUGGUCGACUUCAACUGUUGUUGUAUCAUUUGUUUGCCAUAGUCGAACUAGGUCGACUAUUUGCGGUGAUGGCCUUAGACAUAAGAGCACUGGAGGUGGGAUUAGUCAUUUAUAUAAUGUAGAUGGUCGUAGCCUUUCAUAUAUUGGAGAUGGCGGUAGACUUUCAUACAUCGGAGAUGGUCGUAGCCUUUCAUACAUUGGAGAUAGCCGUAGAAUUUCAUACAUUGGAGAUGACCAUAGUCUUUCAUACAUUGGAGAUGGACGUAGACUUUCAUACAUUGGAGAUGGCCAUAGCCUUUCAUACAUUGGAGAUGGCUGUAGCCUUUCAUUCAUUGGAGAUGGAUGUAGCCGUUCAUACAUUGGAGAUAGCCGUAGCCAUUCAUACGUUGGAGACGGCUGUAGCCUUUCAUACAUAGGAAAUCAAGCUAGUCCAGUCCCUUUAUCAUUUCAGUCUGGAGGUCGUAAGGAGAGACUGAUAUUGUAUACUUGUGCCGCAAAUAUCUCUAUGCGUUUCCUUUGCCGCCUCAUUAAAAACCUCCCCGAUAAAACCCAAUUAGGACAAAACUCGUGUAAGGGAAAAAAUAGUACGACUCGGGAGACGUCUUUCAGAAGUGGAAAUACUUGAGGUGGGCAACUUUCCAGUUGUUUUGGAGCAUUUUUCCUUCCAUUGUUUUCAACUGGGAUGCCCAUUUGCUGGCUACUGCUGUGAUUUUGUAGGGUCCUUCUCAGUUGGUGCCCAAUUUUCCUUCACUUGGGUCUUUGGAUGCCAAUGUCUUGGCUUUGAGGACAUAGUCUCCCUCUUUGAAUGGUCUUAUUUUUCCCCUCUUGUUGUAGUAUCUUUCGACUUGUUGUGUUUGGGCCACCAUUCUGAUAUGGGCUAUUUCUCUCCAUUCCUCAGCUUCGUCAAUGUCUUGGAGCCUGUUUGUGUUGUUUUCUGUUCCAUUGGUGUGUGAAUAUCAUAGACUUGGUUCACCGACCGCGAUGAGUAUGACCGUGUCAGUUCCGUAGACCAGCGAGUGCGUUGUUUCCCAUGUGAUGGAGUUGGGUGUGGUCCUGUGCGGCCACAGUUCUUCGGGUAGCAGCUCGGGCCAUAGCCCUUAGGCGUCCUCGAGCUUCAUCUUCAGUAUGUUUAAUAUUAUUUUGUUGGAGGAUUCUGCUUGGCCGUUAGCGGCGGGGUGAUAUGGCGUGGAAAGUAUCCUUUUGAUGCACCAUUUCUCGAAGAGUUCGGUGGUUUUUUGACCAAUGAACAGUUGUCCAUUGUCGCAACUGAUUUCUUUAGGGAUGCCGAAGCGGCAUACAAUAUUUUUCCAUAUGAAGGCUAUCAGCUCCUGUUUGUGUAAUCGUGCGUACGCACCUGCUUCUACCCACUUAUAGAAAUAGUCAGUUAAAACUAAUAAAAAUUGUACCUUUCUCCAUCCUGCGAGUAGGGGGCCAACUAUGUCCAUUCCCCAUUUGAUGAAAGGCUAUAGGGAGGUGACUAAAUGGAGGGGCUCUCCUGGUUGGUGUAUCAUGGGGCAUAUUUUUGGCAUUGUUCGCAUUAGCAAACGUAUUCUGCUGCCUCCUUCUUUAUGGUGGGCCAGUAGUAGCCGGCCCAUAUGAUGCAUCACACAAGGGCGCGGUUACCUGUAUGGGCACCGCAGUGGCCCUUGUUUUCUUCUUCGAUUACCGGCCUCGUUUGGUGCGGCCUUAGGCACUUGGCCAAGGGUCCACCAAAAGUUCUUUAGUAGAGGUCAUUAUUUAUUAAGCAAUACCAAGAAGCUUGCAUGCAGAGUUUCUUUGCCCCUUUUUUGUCAGGUGGCAGCGUUCCGUCCUGCAGAUAGGAUACAAACUGGUUGCGCCCAUCCCAAGUCAAAUUUAAAGAGAAUACCUCAGUGUGAUCAUUGGCGGAGUGGAGGAGGGUGACCACGCUUUCUUUGUUGAAGUUUUUAGUGUCUGUAGCCGUUUCGCUAGACCGUCUGCCUCGAUAUUUUGUGCCCUUGGGAUCUGUUCAAAGCGGCAUUCAUCGAACUCAGCCAUUAACGUGCGGAUCUUGGACUAGUAUUUUUGCAAUCUUUGUUCUUUAAUCUGGUAAGUGCCGGUGACUUGGUUUACUACGAGUUGGGAAUCGUAGUGAAGGAUGAGCCGGCGAGCCCCAUAUUUGAUGGCUAGUUGCAUGCCCGCAAUAAUGGCCUCAUACUCAGCCUCGUUGUUAGUCAUUUCAGGGCAUCGUAUGGACAGGCGAAUUGUUUCGCCCAUGGGGACCUCGAGGACGAGUCCCAGUCCUGACCCAGAUGCAUUGGCGAAGCCAUCAGUGUAGAAGACCCACAGGUCGUUACUGGUAGAGGCAUAUUUUGCCUCAAGUUCUGCUUUUGGUAGGAUUUCUACACUAAUGUCGGCUAUAAAAUCGGCCAGAACUUGAGACUUGAUGGCAAUUCUAGGAAGAUACGAGAUAUCGUGCUAGCUGAGCUCAAUGGCCCAUCUUGCGAGCUGGCCCUAUAAUUCAUGCUAGUGUAAGACGCUUCUUAAAGGGAAGGUGGUUACAACUUUUAUGGGGUGGGACUAAAAAUUGGGCCGAAGCUUUUAUGAAGCUACUACCAGUGCCAGUGCCAAUUUCUCGAGGUGUGGGUACCGAGUUUCGGCAUCCACUAAUGUUUUACUAAUAUCAUAGAUAGGGGAUUGCGUACCUUUGCUUCCGGAAACUAGGACGGAACUGACAAUGACCUCAGACAUGGACAGAUACACCAGCAGGGAUUCGCCUGGGCCGCUUUGACCAGGAAGGGUGGCAAAGACAAGUACGCUUUCAGUUUUCUCAAGGCUUCGACGCAUUCCUCGUUCAACUGUUGCCCUUGAUCUUUUUUCAGCACGUUGAAAAAUUUAUGGCACCUAUCGGAUGACCGCGAUAUGAAUCUGGAUAGGGCGGCUAUACGCCCUGUCAGCUUCUGUACCUAUUUCUUGUUACUCAACACCUUAGGUAUUGUGUCUAUCGCCUUGAUCUGGUCAGGGUUUACUUCGAUGCCUUGUUGUGAUACAAGGAACCCUAAGAAUUUUCCUGAGACUACACCGAAAGCUCAUUUAUCGGGGUUCAACUUCAUCCUGUACCUCCUCAAUAUCUUGAAGGCCUCUUUUAAGUGGUCGAUAUGGUCUUCUUUCUUUUCUGAUUUUACUAACAUAUUGUCGAUAUAGACUUACAUGGUCUUAUCGAUUUGCCCUUCGAACAUUCUGGUGACUACCCUUCGGUAUGUGGCUCCUGCAUUUUUGAGCCUGAAGGGCAUUACCUUGUAGCAAUAUGUCUCAUGGUGGGUGAUGAAAGUUGUUUUUUCCUUGCCUUCUCGGCCAUCAUGAUUUGGUUGUAGCCAGAGUAUGUGUCUAGGAAUCUUAGCAGCUCAUGCCCUACAGUCGUGUCUAUCAGCUGGUCGAUGUGGGGCAGUAGGAAGGAGUCUUUUGGGCACGCCAUUUUCAAGUCAGUGAAGUCUACACACAUUCUCCACUUCCCAUUUUUCUUUUUAACCAUGACGACAUUAGCGACCCAUUUAGGGUACUUUGAUUCCCUGAUGGAGCCGAUAGCUAGAAGUUUGUCCACUUCCUCCCUGACCUCAUUGUUGAUAGCGGCGUUAAAUUUUCUUCUCAUUUGUCGUACGGUGGGAUGUUGUGUGGAGGUUCAUCUUGUGAGUAGUGAUUUCUUGCAGGAUCCCUGGAAUAUCUGAAUGGGAAAAAGCAAAUAGGUAUGCAUGGUUAGAUAAAAAAUUAUGAUACUUACUUAGAUUUGAGAGGUCGUGCCCGAUGUAACUUUUUCUUGAAGGGUCGUCAUUCUUUCGUUGGACUGGGCCGAGGUCUUCGACCGUAGACUUGCAGCCUUCUAUGGAACUAGGGUCUCUAAUGGCGUGCUCUGUCGGGUAGACCUUAGUCCCUGACAUAGCUGAUUGCUAUGAAUCUACGCUCGCCCCUUUAAGAUGUGUGGUGUGGGCGCAGUCUUGAGCUAUUUUAUAGCAUUCCAGAGCGGUGCGAGGCUCGCCUCGAAUGCUGAAUAUUCCCCACGGGAUGGGAAAUUUGAUCAUUUGAUAGAAGCUCGACGGGACCGCUCUCAUGGCCUGUAUCUACGAGAGUCCAAUGAUGGCGUUGUGUGUCGUUUCCUGGUUCAUCACGUGGAAAGUUGUUUCCAGAGUGACCCCUCCUGCUAGGACGGGUAGCGAUAUCAUCUCGGAGGUUCGUUCUACUGCAUUAUUGAAACUAGUUAGUGUCAUGCAACGUGGUAUUAUCUUACCCUCGAGUCUCAUUAGUACGAGGACCCUUGGGUGGAUAGGCACCGCUACCGUCAUCGACCAUAAUUCUUUUAACAUCCGUAUCUGCGAUACAUAAAGUGAUAACUAAAGCAUCAUAAUGAGGGAAAGACAAAGCGUCGAAAUCGUACUUAUCGAAGGUGAUACUAUCUUCGAAGUCACCACACCGUUCGUGGGCGAUAAUUCACUUCAGCUUGUGCAUAGUGGUGAACUUGACAUGAUUGAUCGCCGAGUUAUCGCUAUUUCUGAUGAUCAUAUUGAUCGUCCGUGUUUGUGAAGGCGGCUUUGGUGGCUCUUAGGGUUGCUCCAGUCCAUGUGCAAAGUUGAUUUUUCCUUUUUCCCUGAGCACCUCUCUUAGGAACCCUUGGUUCAACAUCCUGACCACCUCUAGCCGUAGGCCUAUACAAUCUUCGGUUUUGUGCCCUAGCUCCUAGUGGAACUCGCACAGGGCAUUUUAUUUUCUGGUGACGGGGUACGGCUUCAUCUUUGCCAUCCAUUGCACCUUGUUGCCCAGCUUCUCAAGUGCGUACACUAUCUCUGAAGGGGACACGCAAAAGUUAUGGGCAGAUAAUAAAGGGGGCAUACCUCUGUCAUUUUGUAGUGGGGUGACAUGUCAUUGUAGUGCGUCCGCGUGCCUGGGUGGCGGUGGGUGAGAGGAUCUGAUGUAGGGUUGGUGUCUCUCCCUAUUGCGUCGUGGGACUUGUUCCUGUCGUCCUUUGUUGUGUCGGUCUCUCCUAAUUUAUGGGUGUAUUGUUGUUAAACGUUGGGUCGGCCGGUUGAGGUCGUCCUCAUCUGCACGUACCUCAGCGCAAUAGGUAUUAUGAAUCUCUUCCCAUGUGGUGGGUGGGUACUUCAUGAGAUGACUUAUUAGUUUUUUGGUUGCCCUUGGGCUAUCCUUGCUUAACCCGUUUAGAAAAGCAGCGACCACCAUGCCUUCCGACACAUUUGGUAUGUUCAUCCUUACUCUUUUAAACCUGGCUAGGAAGUCCCGGAAUCCUUCUCCUGUGGUUUGUCGAACGACGAAGAUGUAGUUGAAUCUUGCUUCUGGUUUCUUUUCUCCUGCAUGGGCGGUGAAAAACUUGUCCGCCAUCUCCUUGGAUAUAUAAAUGAUCUUGGCUGGUAGCUGGGAAUACCAGGUUAGUGCUCCUCCUGUUAGUGUUUCGUGUCUUUAGCAGCACAGAUAGUACCUGGUCUUUUGAUAGGUUGUUACCUUUUACAGUUGUGACGUAGUGGAUCAUAUGAUCCUCCGAAUCUGUAGUUUUGUCGUACACUCUUAAAUAGGGAGCCAUUUUGAAGGUUUUUGUGAUGGGAUAUGGUGCAGCCUCUUCCGUGUAGGGUUGUUGAACAAACCUCCCCACGUCACGCUUUCGCAACAGUUUGGGAGCGCCAGGGAUCUUGUCCACCCUCUCAUGGUGUUCCUUCAUCUUGUCACAGAGUGACAUGUUUUUGUUUUCCAUUUCCUCCAUCUUCUUGAGGAUGGCUGUGAGCGUGCCACCGUUGGCCCGAGUAUCGAUGAGCUCAUUGUUUGCUCGUGCAAUCUCGGGUUCACCUUCGACUGCAACAAGGUCUGAUGUUGGCAUGCACCUAACGUUGUUUUAGGGUGACUUUUUAACCAAGCCAUGUAGAGUACUCGCUAACCAUUCUUCUAGUAGUUUUCUGACCUUUGGGAUGCUUCUUUAGUUGCGGAUGUAGAAGCCCUUUUUCCUGCAAGAUCGUUAGAUCUUCGAGUGGUGGAGUUUGGAUUUCUCUCCUUGUGGUGGUGCUGGGGGUUGCAUUCAAACCCCCCCCCCCCCCNNNNNNNNNNNNNNNNNNNNNNNNNNNNNNNNNNNNNNNNNNNNNNNNNNNNNNNNNNNNNNNNNNNNNNNNNNNNNNNNNNNNNNNNNNNNNNNNNNNNNNNNNNNNNNNNNNNNNNNNNNNNNNNNNNNNNNNNNNNNNNNNNNNGGGGGUUGCAUUCAAACCCCCCCCCCCCUUCACCAUCUUCGUUGAGAGGACCGAUGAGAUUGGUUGCAACAUCUGAUAUCGCUUUCAUUCUUGCGUUGUUGUCAACCAUUUUUGUUUGUGUUUUCUAGAAAAGGGUUUUUGAUGGUUCUCUAGGUGCAAAUUAUGGUUUUUAUUCUUGAAAUCCUCAUAGACGGCGCCAAAUUGUUUAGCAAAAAAGUUAUACUCGUACUUUAUAAGCUUAAAAACAAUUGAAAAUAUAUAAGGGUAAAUCAUAAUCAAAUAUAAUGAGCCCUAGUGAUGAUUAUUAUAUUAAGAUUGUUAUAGAUCUGAAAAUGCGAAGAACAAUGAAUUUAGCUUAAGAGAGAAGCAAUAGUUGGAAAACCAAGAAAGAGAUAGAGGUAGAGAGAGAAGUUGUAUUAUCCGAGAAUAAUCAUUCCCCUAUUGCAAUGUGAAGGUCUCCUUUAUAUAGUAGGAGACCAUCCUCGAAGUAAUCAAAAAGUACAAAAGCUGGUGGCUUCCACUCAGUAAAAAGUUAGGCACUAAGCGAUGCCGCUUUUUUUUUACCAACUUGGGAUGUGCCUUUACUUGGGUCGACCUUGUCAUAAGGGACGUGCUCGCUCUAUGUGGGGGCGCUAAGAGCCAAAUUUCACACUAUCAACAAGUUUAAUUAGUUAUCUUCACUGUGGUAAUCUAUUUAUCAACUCUUUGUUGUUUGGAAAAUCUUCAGUUUUAACUUUAUCACUGACACUAAUUGUCUUCCACCCUCAGGAUUUAUUUAAAAAUGUCAAACACCUGUGCAUUAUUGACAUUUUCCUCAAUAUUUUUUUUUAUCUCUAACACCGGCAAAUAAAUUAAAUGAAGAUAACUCAACCUCUUAAUUACUAACAUUUUUUAUUUUUUUGAAUUAAAAGAGCAUAUAUUAAAUACUAAGAUGGUACUUUUAUAGUAGAGUUGUUGGGUACUGCAGGGUACCAAGUGAUGCAAUAUUUUCAAUUAUAGUAUCUAUAUUACAUCCCAAAAAAGACAUAGGCAAUUCAGUUCCUACGAUGUCUGCCCAAAAAAUAUUAUUGACAAACACCGGUGGACUUACAAAAUAACAGGACUAUUCCAAAAACUAUGUUCCACUGCUUCCUUUGCUAAUGCGUCAGCCAAUCUAUUUUGCUCCCUGAAUGUGUGUUUCAUCACCACUCUGCCCAGCCUUUGAAUCAACAACCCGCAUUCACAAAUUAGAGGGUCAAAUAUAACAUUACCUUCUAUUAGCAUGGAAAUUAUUUCUGAAGAGUCUGUAUCUAUAUGCAAAGGAAGAAGGCUUUUUUGUUCUGCCUACAGGAUUCCUUGUCGAAGGGCUCGUAUUUCAGCUUUAAUGGCUGAUGUAUGUGGAAUUUUUUCCAUGUAGCCUAGCAUCCAUUCACCAUUGUGAUUCCUGAAGAUGCAUCAUGUUCCACAAACUCCAUCCCUGCCUUUAGCUGCACCAUCAGUGUUAGAGUUUUAUGAUGCCUCUGGGGGGAGGUUCCCAUUUGAGCAUGAGUUGAUGUGAGCAUAAUUGGUUACUGCUGGUGUGGAGCAUUUGAAAUUCAGUGUCCUUGGCAAUUGUGUUUUGUGCCUUGAUAAGAUCUUUUUUGUUAUUGAACACAUUGAUGUUUCUUGUUAACCAAAUGUGCCAUAGGCAAAAAGAAAUUAGAACUUCCCAUUUAAGGUGUUCAUUGAAUUUCCCUCCUUUAAUGAGAUGCCAGAUCGUGUUCCAUUGGUGAGAGCUAUUUUAUGGAGUUGGAGGAGGAGAGGUAGUAGAUUUGGCCCUGAUUGAAUCCCAGAAAAUGCCAGCAUUAGUGCAUGUGAAGAAUAUAUGGUCUAUAUCCUCAUAUCUAGCAUUGCAUAAUUGGCACACAGUGGGUCAGUUGAUACCCAUAGAGUUGAGCAUAGCUCUUGUAGGAAGUCCUCUAUGGGAUAGGAGCCAGAGGAAGAUGUUGUCCCCUGACAUUAACCCCUUUGUCCCAAACAAUAUCACCAGAAAUCAACCUAUUAUACAACAAAAUACUGAUUGAGAUGAGAGCGAGUGGUACGCCUACCACGAGAUAUUGAUUGAAAUGGGAGCGGGUGGUAAGCCUACCAAAUGGCUAUUUUACAAAGUUCCAAAUGGCUAUUUUUGAAAAGAGCUACUACUGAAUUUUAUUUUAAAAAAAGUUAAAAAAAUAAUCGUUGGGCCUGCCAAGACCUGGCAUCUCUAUUAUUAUUUUUUACAUCAGCUAUGUGUGAUUCUGCUUUCUUCCUUACAUACCAGUACAUUUUUAUUCGUACUGAUGUCUCGUUGCCUGGGGACACUGCGGUUUUCGUCUAUUAUUUAGGCAAGCCUUAGGGUAACUUAUAAAUUGAAUCACUUCUUUUUACAAAUUAUUAACUACAACCAACAGGCAGUCCUGACCCAGGCUUCGGGACGUGCAAGAGUUGGUAGCAGUUGACCUUGGACGCAUCAAAGCCUACUUUCAGGUUUUUUCACCAGGAGGUUUAUCUUGUUAAGGACUUGUAGCUUCCAUAGCCACUUAUAGAUUUGUAAGUUCUCAGUUGGGCUUUGGUCAGCAUUGUGAUGAAGGAAUGAAUAGGCUGAGUUCUGAGAGAAUUUCCCAUUAGGGGUGAGUUCCCAAAUUAAUGUGUCUUCCUUAGUUGUAACACUAGAAAUGAACACAGUAUUUAUGAUGCUAAGAAUGUGUGGUGGGAGAUCAAAGGAGAGGGAGGAUGUUUCCCACGCUCCUCCAUUGUGCAUAGAGUUCACCUUAGUCAGCAUGUCUCUACUUGUCAUAGGACCCUCAAUUAGUUGCCUAAGGGCAGGUUGGUGUGGGAUCCAAGGGUCAUUGAAGAAUAUCACUCUAUUGCCUUUGUUCACAACCCAUCUACUGUCCUGGCUACAUGUUUCCCAACCACUCAGCAUGGAUCUCCAAGUUGGAGAUUUUCUGCUGCUAUGGUGCUUCCCAGCAUUAGCAGCCCUGGACAUGUUACAGUUUUUAUGAAUGAGAACUUUUGUCCAGAGUCUGUUUGUAUUGGUGUAAGCUCUCCAUGCAAGACUUGCAUGAGCAGCUUUAUUCUUGAGUUUAGCUCUUUGGAUCCCUAAGCCACCUUGGUCUUUAGGUCUGGUAAAUACCUCCCACUUAAUCAAGUGCAUUUUGUUCUUUUCCUGUGUAGUGCCCCAUAGGAAGUUCCUAUGGAUCUUAUCAAUCUGAUUGGUUAUCUUAGUGGGUAGUAUUAUAAAUUACAUGGCAUGACUGAGAAUGCUUCCUAGGGUUUCUUUUAUCAGCAUAGUUCUACUUGCCAUGUUAAGGAAUUUGGUUUUCCAGUCUGCUAACAUGUUCUGCAUAUUAUCUUUGAUGUACGGGAAAUCUGAGGCUGUCUGCUUUUUAUUAAGUAUGGGGAAUCCUAGGUAUUUCCCAAAUGAUGAAGACUGGCUGAUAGACGGAGUAUUGGACAUGUGUUAGGCAUUUCUUUGAGGGGUGUUGGAUGACAAAAUGACCUUUGACUUGCCCAGAUUAAUCUUUUGGCCCGAUUGGUUGUUGAAUUCACUUAAAAUGGUGAGUAUAGUGUUGCAGUUUCUGUUGUUCCCUCUAGCAAACAGAGUUAGGUCAUCAGCAAAGAAGAGGUGGGAGAUAUUGGGACCAGCUCUGCUUAUGGUGAUUGGCUGCUACAGAUUUUGGUUGACUGCCUUGUCAAUGGCUCUAGAAAGCAUUGCCAUACAUAUGAUGAACAAGUAUGGAGACAUUGGGUCUCCCUGUCUGAUGCCUCUAGAUGGGGUGAACGCUUCAGUGUUCCCUCAAUUAACAAGGAUUUAUAUGGAGGAAGUACUGAUGCAGGACAUAAUUAGCUUGGAACAUCUUAUCGGGAAAUUGAAGGUAUGGAGAGUAUCUCUAAUGAAGGACCAUUCUAGCCUAUCGAAAGCUUCUUCAAGAUCUAUUUUUAGGAUCAUGCUGGAACUGUGCCCUUUCUUUUUCCUAAAAUAGUUCAUGUACUCUUCCAUUAUGAUUGCAAUAUCACAAUCUCUUCUAUUGCUUAUGAAACUGGCCUGGCUUGGGCCUAUACUGAGGUUCCGGAUAGCUUGAUCCUAUUCACAAUGAUUUUGGUCACUGUUUUGUAUACUGUGUUGCACAGGCCAAUAGGUCUAAAGUUUUUAUCAUGGUUGCCAGGGGGCACUUUGGAAUAAGGCACAAUAGAGUUUUAUUCAUCUCCUUAUCCAUAGCGCAUGUGUUGAAGCACUUCUUGCAGAAUUCUGUGAUACAUAGACCUACAAUGUCCCAAUAUUUUUGGAAAAAGAAUGGGUGAAGCCCAUCAGGUCCAGGGGCUUUGAAGGGUUUAUUGGAGAAGACGGUUCUUUUGAUUUCACUCAUGUGCAGCAGCCUAUCCAUGAAACCCUUGUGGCUUUGGUGCAGGGAAGGUUCCAAGGUGGAAUGUGGAGUGAGCUCCUAGGUAGCAACAGUUUGGGAGGUAGUGUACGGGUCCUUGAAGAAGGUGACAAUGGCAGUCUGGAUUUCAGAUUAUGUGUGCAUCCAGUUGCCAUUGUCAUCCCUUAAGGAAAGAAUUAUAUUCCUUCUUCUUCUAUUGAGAGUAGAGGUAUGGAAGAACCUAGUGUUGGCAUCCCCAUCACUGAGCCAGUUAAUUCUGGAUUUCAACUUCUAUAAGUCUUCCUCAUUUUUGAGUAUGUUUUUAAACUCCUCAUUGAGGUCAUUCUCCAGCUGAUGCAGGAAGCUGCUGAAUUGAUAGUUAGGGGUGUUCAGGAUACCAUGAGCCUGGCUACAAGUCUUCUUUUCCUUUGAAAGCUUUUAGCAAAGACCUGAUGGUUCAAAUUGGAGGCCAGCUCUUGGAACCUGGCAGUAAACGGGAUAAGGGUGGAUUGACUAGAGAAAGCUUGUUGAAUAACAUUUGGGAAGGAGGAAUGACUAGCCCACAUUGUCUCAAAUCUAAACGGUUUUUUGGCUAGUGAACUUUGUGGGCCGUCCAUUUGGAUUUUUAGAGGAAAAUGGUCAGAGUGGGUCCUAGCUAAGUGCUGCACAUAAGCCUUAGGGUAUUGUGCAAUCCAACCUUAAUUGGCAAAGAUCUAUCAAUUAUUUCUAAGAUUAGGGCAUUCCUAUUCUUGUAUCUUUUGUUGGUCCAAGUGUAUUUAGUACCUUUAUACCCUAGGUCAAUUAGUUGGCACAUGUUAAUACAUUUCUAGAAGUUAUUGCUUCUCUUUCGGUUUAUGGGGUUCCCCCCAAACGUAUUCCUAGCUUUUAGAACUUCAUUAAAGUCUCCUCCUACAGACCAACUAUUAUUUAUGGUUGGGUUCCCUCUUGGGCACUCUGCACAGCUUGUGCCUUCUUCUUCAGACUCAAGAUUGGAGUUAGGUUGAUCGGUGGCUUAAUUUGCCCCAUUUUUUAGGCUAAAACUAAGCUCAGACCGCACUUCGCCAUAGUUUUGGGGCACAGUACUACCACAAUCUUGCUCACCUGUACACUGAACUCGAUUGAUCUUACCGAAUCUAGUACAAUUGACUUUAUCCUCGAAGUUUGGUACAAUAUUUCUAUCUCCUAUGUUGUGUAUUUUCUCUUCAGCAUGUCUAGUGCUUUAGAAACCCCUUGGUGGAUGUCUUGAAGCGGGGGUAGUCCGCAUGUUUUCUUUGGUGUGGUCAUUAAUGGGGUCGGUGGUGGCUCUAUCUGGGUAAAGCUUGGUUCCGCCGCCAGGUCUUCCUUCAUUAGGUCUGGGAAGAAGGGGAUGACUUGAAAGCUGUAGAGAAUGUAUUGGUUUAGUGUCUGUGGGUCUGUGAUCAGUGAUGGGCAGUCCGAUGUGGCCAUAGAUUGCCAUAGAAGAGGGCCAAACGCCGUUAGAGCUUUUUUUAGUGCUUCGACUGUCACUCUGGCCAGGUGGGAUGUAUUUUGGACAAUAAGUGACACCUUCUUAUUGUCCAUGGUGAACUCGUAAGAGAGUCCUUGGCAUUCCAAUUCCACCUCCAACCAAGAGCUCGGUUGGUGGUCCUUUGGUAGGGGCUUGGUGGAGACGGUGGUUGGGUGGGUGUUCAUAGGGGUGUUUUUUGCCAUUUUUGGUUUUUUUGUUUUCUAAUUUGGGAAUUGUUGAAAAUGGGGUUAAGGGUGUGAUCCCCCAUUGUAAACCCCUCCGUUGUCACGUCUUCAAACAGUGGAAGGGUUUUGGGGCUUUAGGAUUAGGGGGUUUUGAGCAUUAAUUGAGGAUAUGGCGGAGUUGACAUGUUGCAGUCUUUUAGACUGCGUUAAAGGGUGUUUGAAGGUGAGGCUAUCGAGUGCCAUGUCUGUCGUUUGGUAUUUCUCCAUUAGAGUUAGAGAGAAUUGUAUUGAGGGGUAAGAUUUGGGGGUGGAGUGUGAGAGUGGUUGUGAAAUUCCCUCGUGGGUCAAUGUAGGGAGGUCGGCUGUGUCAUAUGCUAAGGUGAUGAUUUUGCCUGAUUGGAUUGGCCCAGUAUCCAGGAGUGUACGGGUCCUUGAAGAAGGUGACAAUGGCAGUCUGGAUUUCAGAUUAUGUGUGCAUCCAGUUGCCAUUGUCAUCCCUUAAGGAAAGAAUUAUAUUCCUUCUUCUUCUAUUGAGAGUAGAGGUAUGGAAGAACCUAGUGUUGGCAUCCCCAUCACUGAGCCAGUUAAUUCUGGAUUUCAACUUCUAUAAGUCUUCCUCAUUUUUGAGUAUGUUUUUAAACUCCUCAUUGAGGUCAUUCUCCAGCUGAUGCAGGAAGCUGCUGAAUUGAUAGUUAGGGGUGUUCGCUGGUUUUCUUUUGGGUAGUCAACCAUAUAAGGGCCCGCCUUUCUUUUUGAGUUCACCGUUGAUUGUGUUGGUAGGGUAAUAUUUAUUCCAUGAUUGGGUGUGUGCUCGCCCCCUAUUUCUGUUCUAAAUGGGACCGGUAUUGUCCCUUUUUUUGAUUUAUUGGAUUUUUUUUAUUAUUUUAGCCUAAAUUGUUCAAGACAUUGAAAUGUUUAGUGUGAGAAUUUUACCUGGACAUGCUGCACCUAUGUUUACAUGUGCUUCUUUUGUAUGGGGGUUUGAAUGUUUGUCCUCCUUGUGGGGGGGAUUAUUUGUCCCUAUGAACGCCUUCGGUGGAAAGUUACUGUUUUCCAUUCACUUUCAUCUGUCAUUUUUUCGACACGUCCUGGGUUGCCUUGUCUGUCUUCCACUGGUGCUUGUGUCUUUUUAUAGUUGCAUCUAGAGGUUGUGUUUCCAAGUCUGCCACAACUGGUGCAUAACGUACCCUCUCUUUCAUAGAACGCCGCUUACUUGUGGUCACCUAUGAUAACUGAGAUUUCUACUGGGAAUCAAGAGAUACCUGUAUACAAAUCCGUGCAUACCUUCCUCUUAGGUGGAGGAGGUGCAUUGGUCUAUCUUUAGUAGCUUCCCUAACUUUCUUCCUACUUUUUUCAGAAUAACUUGGUCGUAGAAUUUAGUUGGGAGUUGGGUAGGCGUAUCCAAAUGGCUGUGGAUGUGAGUGUCGCCUCAUGAGGUACAAAUUUAGGUUUCCAUUUCCUGAUAGAGAGGAAGUGGCCUGAGACAGACCAUGGUCCCAAGUGAAGAGCCUUAACCAUACUCUCUUCUAAACUAAAUUUUUCUAUGAAGAAAUCCAAUCCUAGGUCAAUCAAGAUUAACGUUUCAAAUAGGUUCCAUAGGUCAAUUAGCUUAGAGCGUAGUACUUGGCAAGGAAUUUUCUUCUUAAAGACUAUUAGGAUACUGAAUACCUCCAAGGUGCGUAAAUACGCUCCUUCUCCUCAGCUGAUAGUGGAAUUGAUCCUUAAGUGUGUUUUUCUCUAGCAUGCUCUAUAUACAUGUCAUUGUCAUAGUAGGUUGCCUGGGUACCUUAUUGUUUGUCUAGGAGCAUUUCCUUGUAGGAGCUUUGGGGAGCUUCCAUCUCCGUUGAUUCAUCCUUAUGUGGUGGUUUUGGGGUCAAAGGAGUUCUGCUCGUGGAAGCGUCCAUCGGUAGUGCACAAAGGGAGAUAGGGAGAGUUUGUAAAGUUAGAGAGAGAAAACCAUACUAUCAUUUGCAACACCUGAACAUCAAUUCAAGUAUCAAAAAAAUACAUGUAAACACCACAAAAGUUCUAUUAUUAAGGGUGUGUUUGGUACGAAGGAAAAUAUUUUUCAAUUUUCUCAUAUUUGGUUGGCUUAAAUAUUUUGCUUAUGAACUCAUUUUCCCCCAAUUGGAGGAAAAUAUUUUCCUUAUAAAGAGAAGGAAAAUAUUUUUCAAAACUCCUUCUGAACCUUCUCUACCAUCACCAACCCACCCCACCCCCUCUCUCCAAAAAAGGCUUCUUUUUUUUCAAAUUUCAGUUUUUCCGUUAACAUCACCUAAUCUACCCCUCCACCCCACACCCACCCCCAACCCCCUCCCACAAUUUUUUUAUUUUUUAACCCUUUUUUUAACAAUUUCAAAUUUUUACUUUUUAUGUUUUUCGGCACCACGUAACCCCCNNNNNNNNNNNNNNNNNNNNNNNNNNNNNNNNNNNNNNNNNNNNNNNNNNNNNNNNNNNNNNNNNNNNNNNNNNNNNNNNNNNNNNNNNNNNNNNNNNNNNNNNNNNNNNNNNNNNNNNNNNNNNNNNNNNNNNNNNNNNNNNNNNNNNNNNNNNNNNNNNNNNNNNNNNNNNNNNNNNNNNNNNNNNNNNNNNNNNNNNNNNNNNNNNNNNNNNNNNNNNNNNNNNNNNNNNNNNNNNNNNNNNNNNNNNNNNNNNNNNNNNNNNNNNNNNNNNNNNNNNNNNNNNNNNNNNNNNNNNNNNNNNNNNNNNNNNNNNNNNNNNNNNNNNNNNNNNNNNNNNNNNNNNNNNNNNNNNNNNNNNNNNNNNNNNNNNNNNNNNNNNNNNNNNNNNNNNNNNNNNNNNNNNNNNNNNNNNNNNNNNNNNNNNNNNNNNNNNNNNNNNNNNNNNNNNNNNNNNNNNNNNNNNNNNNNNNNNNNNNNNNNNNNNNNNNNNNNNNNNNNNNNNNNNNNNNNNNNNNNNNNNNNNNNNNNNNNNNNNNNNNNNNNNNNNNNNNNNNNNNNNNNNNNNNNNNNNNNNNNNNNNNNCUCUCACCUCCCCCCACCCCGCACAAAAAAUUUACUAUUUUUUUUUGUUAUUUUAAAUUUUUAUUUUUUCAUUUUUCUGCAACCCCCCCUAGCCAAAAAAAAUUUGAAUAUAUUUUUCAUUUUAAAUUUUUUUAUUUAUCGGUUUAAUGGUGGAAAAUUUUACAGGUUCCAAAAUUUAUGUGAUGGAGAGUUUAUGGGUUCGAAAUUUCACGGUUUCAAAAAUUUAGCGAUUCGAAAAUUUAUGAAAUUUGUGGGUUCGGAAGAUUGUUGGUCUGAAAGUUUAUGGUUUCAUGUUUAUUAUGUCUAAAUUAUUUUUGAAUACUCUUGAGAAGUCAUUCUUCUUAAUUUGCGUACCAAACACAAAAAUAUAAAUAAGAUUGGAAAAUAUUUUCUACAAAAAAUAUUUUUCGUUAUACCAAACACACCCUAAGUGUUAUUGUAUUAAUUUCCCUAUCAGUUUAAGUAGAUAUAUAAAUGUAUAAAGUUAAUGAAGCGUGAUAUUCACUCCCAUGUUGUUAAUUACACUCCUUUAUCACUCUUUCGGAUAAUGCUUGUUGGCUUGAGUGUAUCAUAAUCUUAUCUAAAUCUUAAAUGGUUAGAGGUAGAGCAUACUUUCAAUUAGUUUCUUAAUUGUAUUAUAUUUCUACACACUUCUCACGUGUGGACCUGCUUUUUUUCAUAGAUCUUAGGCAUAAUACAUACGGAGACACCUAAAGUUGGCUUGAUCUUUCACUUAGACACUUAAACUAGGUCUCUUUCCUAUUAGACAUGUUUCUUAGGCAAUUCUCAUAUCAAUUAGACACAUUUUUUGUUGGCAUAUAAAUUAUUAUGUAGGGAUUUGCUGCAGCUUUGGAAGAAGUUUUACCAAUGCUGAAUUUAGGAUGUGUGUCAGGCAUAUCUGGUCUAAUUGACAUAAGAAAUGGAAAGGGGGGGAAAGGAAAAAAUAGUUUUGGAGGUGCUCUAAAUCUAGUUAUGAAGUUAAGUUUAUUUGUAUGGAUAUUUGUAGAAAUUUAUUAUAUUAUUCAAAAAAUCAUGGGUUAGAGCCUAGUUUGAGUGUCUAAUUGGAAUGAGAAUUGCCUAAGAAACGUGUGUAAUUGGAAAGAGGCCUAGUUUAAGCGUCUAAGUGAAAUAUCGUGUCAACUUUAGGUGUCUACAUACGUAUUACGCCUACAUCCAACGCAUAAAUAUUCUUCUCUUAAUUCUUGGACGGUAGUGAUAUUUGAAUUAACUUAUUGCAUGUUGUAACAUCAUGUUAAGAUGUAGGUUAUCAUCUCAUUAAAAUAGUAUUUGUUAAAAAUAACACGAUUUUUGCAUUUUGCACCUUUAUAUAGUAUACAUUAUUUAUUUAUUUUUAAGAUUAAAGAAUAUUAUUAUUAUAUUAUAGAAAUACUAGUUCCAUAUCGUGCCUUGGGGGACAUGUCCCUUAGUGCCAACGUAGUUACAUAAUUGUUUGAUGCCUUCCAUGCAAUUAUUAUUUCCAAAUGAAGCCAAAUAUUACAUGGCAUUAAAGCACUAUUUCUGGUAUUAUAACUACCCUCCUUGACUUUUAGAUAAGCUAUUUCCACAAAAUUAUGAGGUGUUCCGAUAAGACUAAUACUAUUAGAGAUGCUUUGUUGUAGAGCUUCCUUUGCGAAGAGGUGUGCCACUUUGUUUCCUUCGCAGAAAUUAUGCUUUGUUUUGAUCUCACCUUCUCCGCUAGCAUGUCCAUUAAGAACCUGCAUUCAUCAAUCAAAUUUUUGUAAGAUGGUAAGUCUUCUUCAAGAAAACGGAUUACAUCCAUUGCAUCAGUCUCUAUUUCACAUGGAAUAAGGUUCCUUUGCAUUAUUUUUUGUAAAGCUUGUCGAAAGGUAAGUAAUUAUGAAUGUAUUUGAGAGGUGCUUCCCAGACUAGCAUGAAAACCCACUAUCCAAUCUCCAUUGUUAUUCUGAAUUAAUCCACCAAUGCUACCCUGCGUAUUAUCUUCAUAGAAGGCACCAUCAAAGUUAAAUUGUACCAACAUUUACGGGCGGUGCCAUUUUACUUGGAUUUUAAUUGGGGUGGUAGUGGUCUUGUUAGUAAGUGUAAUUCCAGUGAUUGUUUGAAAGCUUUUCUAGUAUUUAUUUUAAAGUUUUUAUUAUUGACAUUGUUAUCGUUUGUAUUAUUCCAAAUAGACCAUAAGGCAAAAGGGAAGGCAUUUUGCAUUCUCAUAUCACUAUGUAUGGCUUGUGUGAGUUUUUCCUUUAGGAAAUCUACCCAGUUUUGUUGAGGAUUAGGGUUGGUGAGUGGUACUCCUAUGGUUGUCUAAAACGCUUUAGCUAUUUUACAAUCCCAAAAUAUGUGAAGAACUGCUUCCGUUGUUUACAGAUUGGGCAAUUUGUAUUAAUGUUUAUACAUAUCUUCCCUAGAUAUUCUCUAGUAGGUUACCUAGAAUGACAACAUUUCCAUAUAAAGAAUUAGAUUUUUGGGGGCAUUCUAAUUGCCAUAUCCAAUUGAAGUUAUAAUUCUGGUAACUUCGGUUAUCACAAGUUCUUUUAUCAAUAAGCAUAUAGCAUGAGGAGGUUGUGAAUAUAACACUAGUAUUAAUAGCCCAAAUAAUGUUAUUCGCCUUAUUCGAGUUUAUUACUGAGUAGAUGUUAUUGAGUAUGUUACUGGGAAUAUUAAACAAUAUACUAGGCAUCUUAUGGUUAUGAGCAUCAUUUAGAGUAAGAUCACAAUAUUCUUUAAUAAUGAGGCCUAUGACAUUCUUCCUUAGAGAACCAAACAUUGAUAUCCAAUUUGUGUCCCAAAUGUAUAAAUUGGGGUUGUUUGCUACUGACUAUCUAAUACCUUUUUUGCAAAAGACCCAACCCUUUAGGAUACUUUUCCAAGUGUGAGAGUUACUUUUGGAACUUUUAUUAAGACCAUAACAACUAUAAAAAAUACAAACCCAAGGAGAAGAGGGAUUAUUUAAAAGUCUCCAAACUAGACUUUUAAGGAGGGAUAGGUUUUUGUGUUUUGCUUUUCUUAUUUCUAAUCCUCUCACUCUUUAGGCAUUGUAAUAAUUUCCGAGCUAACAAGGUGGAGUUUCUUUUUUUUUCCGGGGUGGAUCCCCAUAAAAGGUCUCGUUGAAUUUUGUCAAUUUCCUUGAGAGUUCUACUGUGGAGCAUUGACAGUUGCAUUUGAUAUUUAGGAAUUGUGUUAAGAGUAGAUUUAAUGAGGGUGCAUCGGCUAGCUAUAUUAAGCCAGUUAGCAUUAGCCUAGCCCUCAUUUUCUCAAUUAUUGAAAUAUAAUCUUUAUGUUUUGGGUAGGUGCAACUCAUAGGGAAUCCUAGAUAAGUACCAAAUCCCCUACUAACUUUUAUAUCUAGUAGGGAUGUGAUCCAACUAAUCGUAUCACUUGAGUAAUUACUAGAGAGGAGUAAUUUAGAUUUUUCAUUAUGAAUAUUUAGACUAGAUAAUUGGCCAAAGGUAUCCAUAAUAUGCUUCAUGUUGCUAAUGGUCUUUUUAUUAGUUUUUCCCAUGAAUGUGAGAUCAUCAGCAAAAAAUAGAUGAGAUAAGGGGGGCUAGGUUUAUUUAUAAAAAUAGGAUCCUAUCUUAGGGUAUCAAUUUGGUGUUCUAUAUUUUUUUAGAGAAGGUCCAUACAUAAUGAAAAUGUAUGGUGACGUAGCGUCCCCUUGUCUUAUUCCCCUAGUGGGGGGGGGGGACCUCANNNNNNNNNNNNNNNNNNNNNNNNNNNNNNNNNNNNNNNNNNNNNNNNNNNNNNNNNNNNNNNNNNNNNNNNNNNNNNNNNNNNNNNNNNNNNNNNNNNNNNNNNNNNNNNNNNNNNNNNNNNNNNNNNNNNNNNNNNNNNNNNNNNNNNNNNNNNNNNNNNNNNNNNNNNNNNNNNNNNNNNNNNNNNNNNNNNNNNNNNNNNNNNNNNNNNNNNNNNNNNNNNNNNNNNNNNNNNNNNNNNNNNNNNNNNNNNNNNNNNNNNNNNNNNNCCCCUAGGGGGGGGGGGGGGGACCUCAUCGUAGUGCCAUUAACAAGGAUUGAUAUGGAUGAUGUAUAAAUACAAUUCAUAAUAAAUGUGGAUAUAUUAGGAGGUAUUCCAUGGUAUCUAAGAGCUUGGUGGACAAAGGACCAUUCCAAUUUGUCAAAAGCCUUUUUCUAGGUCUAGUUUUAGGAUCCAAUUGCCAAUUUUUGUUUUCUUGUUAAGUCGUUUGAGGACCUCUUGAAUUAUGAUGGCAUUAUCAUAAGUGCGUCUAUGUUUUAUGAAGCUAGUUUGAUGAUCACUAGCCAUCUUGCUAAGGAAUGGUUUAAGUCUGUUAGCAGUGAAUUUGGUGACGACUUUGAAGAGGGUAUUACAAAGACGUAUGGGUCUAAAGUUCUGUAGCUUAUUAGCAUUGUUGAAUUUAGGAAUUAAACAAACAUAAGUCUUAUUGAGGUCAUUAGGAAUAUGCCUUGUGUUGAAAAUUUGUUGGCAUAGAUUAAUCACUUUAUACCCUGAAGUUGGCUAGAACUUCUGAAAGAUAAGUGGGUGUAGUCCGUCAGGAUUCGGGGAUUUUGUAGGAUUGAAGGAAAAUAUGGCUCUUCUGACCUCGUGGUUCCUAAGUGGUUUAUCUAGACACGACAAGUCAAGUUUACUACAAAAUUUUAGCUAAUACCAGUAGCCUUAUUUCAUGUAGUAAAUUAAUGAGAAGUAGUGAAGAUAUUAUGGAAAUAAUUUGUUACAUAGUCCAUAAUGUCUCUUUUAUUUUCAAUCCAGUUACCAUAAUUAUCUUUAAAGAAGACUAAAUUAUUUUUUCCUUCUACAGUUUGUAGCUUGUGUAUGGAAGUAUCUAGUAUUUGCAUCUCCAUCAUUUAGCCAAUUAUUUCAUGAUCUUAGCUUUCAAUAAUAUUCUUCAAUUCUAAGGAUUGAUUCAUAGUCACUUAUUAGAGUAAUUUCUAAAUUUUUGAGGAAGGUACUGUAUGGGUAGCUAGAGAAAUUUUGUAUCAUGUAAUGCGUUUGAGCAGGUUCCUUUUUUUUUUUUUUGCUAAUAUAUUGCCAAAAGUCUCCUUUUUCCAAGUUACCACAUCUUCUAUGAAUUUGAUUGUUCCUUCUAAGAUGUUCUUGUCUUUCCAACUAUGUUGAACUAUCCUAGGGAAGUCCAGAUGAGAACACCAAAAAGUUUCUAUCCUAAAAGGUCUAGAGGUAGAGUUAUUUAACUUGUUGUUAAUAUUAAUCAGUAUUGGGAUAUGGUCAGAGUGCACUUUAGGGAGGUGUGUGACUGUUACCUUAUUAAAACCAUUUAACCAGCUUUCUUUAGCAUAGACUCGAUCUAGUCUUUCCAUUGUCAAGCAUUUAUUUUUCCUACGGUGGUUUGACCAGGUAUACUUGUAGCCCUUACAUCCUAGGUCCAUUAGAUGACAAUAAUCAAACCAAUUUACUAGAUAAGUAGCUCUUUUUUAGUUUAUAGUUCUACCCCAAAAUUUAUCCGUGGAGUUGGUUCCACUAGAGUUUCCUUCAGCUGGGACUUCCACUAUUUCAUUGAAGUUAUACCCUUUCAGGAUGGAGAUAUGAGUAUCAAUUUUAGUUCUUAGUAAGGCAACUAGACUAGGUAUAUGUGUGUCAAGUAUCUCACGAAAAUGCCUAGUAAAAUUUUUGUUAUUAGCACCCUUACAUUCCAAACAAUAAUGUGACUAGGUUGUAGCAUUGGAUUCAUGAUUGGGUUGAUGUUUGGAUUCCUCCUUAAGGAGGGAACUAGUAUUACAACAUUCUUGCAUACUGUGGGAUUGUGGGGAGGACGGAUGUCCAAUGAGCAUUUGUAGAGUAUCGUUGGGCAGCUGAAGAUACACUUCUUAUCUAGCCUUUCCUUGAAGAUUAGUAUUUUUACCUCGUUUAGGUUUGAGAAAAUCACUGGUGGCUCCAAUAGUAGUUAUAGGUCCUUGUCCUCCUCCUCUUCCUCCUCUUGAGCUUCCUAUUGACCUUGCAUGCUUGGCAUUGGAAGAUUCACCUCCAUUGGCUCUGGUUGUGUACCUAGUAGUUGGCCUUGCAUGUGUUGUUGUUGUUGGUGUGGUAUCCAUGGCAUGUAGAUGGGGUUCAACAACAUUAUAUCUUCCGAGGAAAAGAAUUGAAGAUUGAUUGGAGGGUUUUGUGGGAGUUGUUGGUUGGCAUUGUGAGGAAUAUGCAACAUCUCUUGCAUAUUCUGGACUAGAUGUUGGUUCAUUGAUGGUGCAAGGGGUUGGAGGAUAUUGCUCAUUCAUAUUUGGUUGACAUAGUUAUUCAUUGAUAAUGUCAUUCCUUCCGAGAUUAGUUGUGCUAGAAAGUGAGUGCUUUGGAUUAUGAGUAGGGAGUCCUGGCCAUUGAUCUCCAUGUUGAAGGAUAUGGCUUGGCCUUGUAACCCCAGGGUCACCCAGGAUUGGGGUACAUAAUUGGGAGGGCUUGGAGGUAAGCAUAUAUUACUGGCUGAGGUUGGAUUUGGGGUGGUAGAGGUGGGAGAUUGUUCAUUGUGGAUUCCUUUAUAGAUGGAAGAUUUGAAGAAGUCUGUAUCUUCUCCUUACUGUGAGUGGUGUUCUUGCCAUCGUUGGCCUUUAGGAAAGAUAUAGAUGAGGAGGGGGUGUUUGAGUAGAUGGGUUUGUAUUUGUGUAGUGUAGAGUUGUGGGAGAGUGGAUGUCUUGAAUGUCUUGCGUGUAGUUUAUAUCAUUUGACGCAAGAUCCUGCAUAGAUUUUGUCACCUCCAUUUGGCAUAUUUCUUACGCCAAGUGUUGCAUGGGAGAUUGGUCAUUAAUGUAGGUGAAUUGCAUGUUGUUUUUAAUUGUUUGAUCUAGCGUAUUAAUUGAUUGGUUGUGAGAGUUGCCAUCUUGGUUAGGAGUACACGUAAUGAUAUUAUUUCCCUUUAGUAAUUGGAUUAGUCCACUAGUUAUGUUCUUUUUCUUAUUGUUAGAUAAACGAUUUUCAUCAUUGUUGGAAAGAUUUGGUAGAGACACAUUUUUGCUACUUGUGGAGUUUGUGGCAUUUGUGCCAUGCAAAAAUAUUUUUAUUUUUACUAAUUUUUAUCUUGGGAUUUUCCAAAACCAUGGACACAUGUGGUAUUAUCCCUAAAAUACUCACAUUUUUGUUGAGUGGUUUUCUGACUGGUUCUUGUGGUUCUAGGAAUAUUUUCCCUUCUAGGUCUAAUUGAGUAUCUAUAUUGGAUUUAGAAGUAGCUGACUUUGGAGUAGAAGUGGCAGUGUAGAAGAUCAUACCUGGGGACAUGGGCAACUUACCUGGCCCAUGCAUCGCCAUCCCUCUUUGUUGAUUGGUUUGUUUGCCUUUCCCUUUCCGUAGAAAGUGCAAUGUCUGCCAUUCAUUUGUGUCUAGCUUUUCAUCACCUUAUUCUUCCUCAUUGAUCUGGUCUAGAUGUUGUCUAUUUGGUCGAGUUUUAUAUUGACGCUCAACUGUAGUAUGUCCCAACCAUCCACAAUCUUUACAUAGAAAUCCUUCCCCUUCGUAUAGGAUAGGUUGGAUGUGGCGGCCAAUAAAGAUGGAUGUUUGGACAGGAUGGUUUACAGGCAAUUCCACACAAAGUCUAGCAUAUCUCCAUCUUAGGGUGGCCGAUGUAAAUGCAUCCACCUUUAGAAGUUUAACAAUGCAAUUUUUAAUUUUUGUGAGAAUUAUCCUAUUGUAAAAUUCCGUAGGAAGUUGAGGUAAUCUAAUCCACACUGUCAUGCUACUUUGGCAUGCCUUAUUCGCAACAAAAAUUGUGAUCCAUUUUCGUAUUGAUAAGAAAUGGUCAUUAAUAAACCAUGGGCCAUUAUGUAGGAUUUUCAUCAUGUUUUUCUCCUUUAUUAAUUUGACAAUAUAGUAGUCCUCCCCUAGGUCGAUUAGGGGGUAAUUUUCAUCAAUUCUCCAAAGAUCUUGUGUUUUCUUUUUGAGAUAUUGAUGCAUUAUUCUUUUGCGCAGUGGCUUAAUUAUUAGUGAGUACCUCAAUGGAUUGUAUAUUCGUCGUCUAUCUUUUUCACUUAGUGUGACCUGAAUUAACUUCUUGCAUAUUGGUCCCAAUAAGGUCUCUGCCUUCUUGUAAGUUUGAGUGUCCAUCGGAGAAUUUUGUGUUUCAACAUAUGAAUUAUUGCCCAUAGAGAACAGUUCUUCUUGUGUUAAUUUUUCCUUAUAGAAGCACAUUUGGUGGUGGUUAUUGAUUCACUAGGUAGGGGAUUUUAUGAAGGUUGUUGUAUAUCUGAUGGUUUAGGUGGUAUUAAUAAAGUCUUCAGUUGCACCUUAUGCUCUCAUAUUUUAAAUUAAUUACCCGUUAAUUUAUUCUUCUUUUUUUUUGCAUCACUUAAAAGAAUUUAAUUUGAGAGGCUAAAAAGGAAUUAAUUGGAAGGAAAAUAGAAGAUAUUGCAGUUGCCAUCCGAGAGUAUGCAGACUUAAUUCUAGUUUCCAUCCGAAUGUUAUAUACAUUGUAAAGCCAGCAAAGUAACUCGAUUCCAUUUGAAUGUCCUUUUGUUUGUGUCAUGUUCAUUUUGCUUUCAAUUAGUUAUUCUUUAACAGCAUUGUCAUUAAAUUCCUUUGUGCAUGUAAAGCCACGGUUAAUUAGUUCUUAUUCCAUCGGGUACAUAAGUGACCAAUUUGUUCUUUUAUUUUGAUUUAAAAUAAAUAUUUAUUUAUAUAAUCAAGAAAAAAAUUAAUUUAUUUUUUCAAAAUUACGUAUUCCUAAAAAAAAUUAUUGCUUACAUUAACUAUGCUGUAUAAUACUUCCUUCGGUCCAAAAUAAAUGAUUUUUUGGCAUUUUUAGUCCAGAAUAAGUGAUUUUUUCACAUUUCAAGAAUAAAUUAAUUAUUUUUUCCUACAUUGUCCUUGGAGUAAAUAGUGUUGGAAUAUGUGUUAGGAGUGUUUAUGUGAGAUAGUAAAGGUUAAUAUGGUCAAUUCCAUUUCUAAUUAAUGCUAAAAUGUGAAUUUCUUAAUCUGCAUGAAAACAUCCAAAAAAAUCACUUAUUUUGGACCGGAGGGAGUAUUAAUUAAGGGUAGUAUAGACAUACUAACUACUUUUGUCUAGACUUUAGUAUUUCUUUAAUGGGUGUAUUCAAGGCAAAUUGGUCACUUAUUGUGGAGCUGAGGGAAUACACGAUUUAAAUCGAUCAAAUGGACCAUAAAUAUUUUGAGUUCCGAACAUAGUUUAUAGCCUGUUUGGCCAAGCUUUUUUUUAGGCCAAAUGUGUUUCUUUUUUUUUUUUUUUUCCAAAGUGCUUUUGGCCAAUAAUUGAGGUGUUUGGCCAAGCUUUUAUAAAGAAAAAAGUACUUUUGAGGGGAAGCAAAAAUAGUUUUUGAGAAGCAGAAAAAAGCUUCUCUCCCAAAAUACUUUUGAGAAAAAUACAUUUAGAAAUAGUUUCCAAAAGCUUGGCUAAAUACUAAUUUCUGUUAAAAAGUGCUUUUCAAAUCAAUUAACCAAAUAUAAAUUGAUUUUUACCAAAAUAAUUUUUCUAAAAGACAUUUUUGAGAAAACUACUUCUCAACAAGCGGACCAUUAAUCUUUUGGCAACAUCUAAGCCCAAAGUCAUUUCUUGAGUGUCUUGCGCGUACUAGUCCCGAAUGAGUCCCGGUUUCACCUUUUAAAAUGUUGAUAAGAAUUUUGUGGUCAAAUGUCGACGGACAACCUAAUGAUGUGAUCUUACGUGCCAACAAUUCUCCUUCAUGUAACUGCAUCAACUUUUUGAGAACAGAUAUUUACUAAGAGAAUGAUUUGAACCAGCCAUAGAGCAUCCCUACAAAAAAGUACCACACAUAUCUAACAUCUGAGUAACCUCCAUGUUUAGUCCUCAAAUGUUUCAUCAAAAUUCAAUGUCGGGCCUUGUGGUUUCGAAUGUAUCGAUUGGGUCCUUAACAAGAUGCUAUUUCUCCUAUAAUGGUCCCUGAAAUGCUAAUAUUUUUAGUCUAAGUAUCUCCAUCACUCCAUGCAUGUUCAUGACACUAUAAGCUACCAUGCGUAAAAAGUUCAAAGUACAAAAAUAAAUUAAAAAAAAAAGAUGAUAGGAUAACUUUGCGCUUGAUGUUUUGGAACCAUAAUGGAGGGGCCAAGUCACAGUAUUAACUAAGGUUUCGGACGAAUCUCAUGGAUUUUGUUUAGACUAUGUAUUUGUAUGAAAAUACUAUAAAUAUGUAUUAAUAUUUAAUUAUAAACUCAAUAAUUAAAACGAGUUACGAGGUCGAUGACAGGUUCAAACCCAUGGAUGAACUUCACAUGCCGGCUCACACCUUGGCAAAUAAUGGGAAGAGAAGGACUAACAUGGGGGAGAAGAGUCUGUCAAGAUAGCCAUAGAUGACUGCCUAACAUGACAACCAAAACAAGUGUUUCAGCUUAGUUUGUUAGUAGUAUAUAUAUGUAGGCAAGUCAUCCUUGCCUACUAAACAAAUUAAAGGCUCUUCCCUUCAUGUAAGGCCUCUCUUCCAAGCAUAAGUUCACUAGAUUUUAGCUUGUGUGGAUUGUUUGCUUUCUUAUUUCAAUAUUUAUAGCCAAAUCGAACGAGUUUGACCCUUCCGCCUAGUUGCCUCAUCCAUUAGAUUCUCUGAUCCUUCACUCUCUCCAUCUACAUAAUGCUAUUCUUUCUGUACAAGAAUAUAUUCUAGUGAGAUGAAGAUUGAUGAUUUUAUGUUUGCUACUUCAUUUCUAAUUUCUUACCAGAGGUUUGGCAUGGAAUAAAAGUUUAUAUUUAUAGAAAGUAGGAUGAGUCAAAAAACAUUAUUUAUAUGUAUAACAGGAAAAUACUAUGAGAUGAGUGAUGAUAUGAGAAGCGAUUCCGAUUGGGACCUAUACUUUUAAGGGGAUUUUUCCUUCCUAUACCAUAUAUGAAACUUUAUUAUAAAAAAUAUGCAUAGUUUCUAAUUUAUCGCCCUGACCACAUUUAUCCUAUAAUUAUUAUGUCAUUCAUUAAAUAUUAAUUAUUAGUAGCUGAAUCUUUCUAAUUAGGCGUGCUAGAAUUCAGCAGCAGAAUCUUCUAAUCGAUUUAGCUACAAAUCAAAUCUGUUCAAAAGCUCAAUUCGUUGAAAUCAAAUCUGUUCAAAGCUCAGAUCUGUUCUUCGAUAUUUUUGCUUAAGACACAAAUCAAAAGCUCAGUUCGUCGAAAUCAGAAGCUCAAUUUCAAAUUGAAGAAAUCAAUCAUGCAAAAGCUCUAUUCGUCGACAUUCUCUCCACAUCUCUCUUUAUUUCUCAAUCGCAAAUUCUAGUAAUACAAAGCAAAAGACAAGAGAGCAACAAUUCCACCAUUGACAUCCAUUAAAAAGCUUGAAAGCUUUCGAUUCAAAUUUAGGUUUUAAAAAAUUGUUAUUUGUUUGGAUUGGGUAAUGUUGAGAAUAAUCAAGAAUAUGGUUUGGAGUUUAUAUCUCAAUUUUAAGGGGUUUUGGUGAAGAUUAGACUUGGUUUUGACUGAAUUUCUUAUUGAAACUCGAAAAAAUGCAGAAAUUGUAGAUAAAUUAUACAUUAUUUGCAUUCUGAUUGUCGAUACAUUAUUUUCUGUUUUCACAAAUAAAAAAAUGGCUAAAACUUCUACAGAUCUUCUGAAAAAACGCAAUUAUAUCAAAAAUUUCAAUUAUGCUACAAUUGAAUGGGAAUUGGGAUAUAAAAAUUCAAUGUACCUGUAACGACCCAAAUUUCCCACCAUCGGGAGCCGUGAUGACACCUACUAUCGGAGCUAGGGAAGCCAAACAUUCAAACAUUUUUCUGAUAACAGUUUACAAUAUAAACAAACGGAAGCAAUUAAAUAAAAUCAGAAGGCACUUAAACUUGUAUAACCGAAAUCAAAAUGCGGAAGUUAAAACACAUUUCUACCCAGAGUCUGGUGUCACUAGCCACGGACUGCUAAAGAGUACUACAUACAAGUCUGAAUAGACAAUACAUAAUGUUUGUCCCGGUACAAUAAAAACAAACUGAAAAUAUGGAAAGGGACUUCAGCCUGCAAACGCCUGCUAGACUACCUCGUAAGUCCCUGGACUGAAGUCAGCUCCCAAUCAAUACGCUACUAAUGUGGUCAAGAAGUUGCUCCCGUAUCGUGAUUUGUGAGUAAAGCACAGAAAUGUAGCAUUAGCACAACCGACCCCAUGUGCUGGUAAGUGGCUGGCCUAAACCUAGCGAAGUAGUGACGAGGCUAGAUAGGACCUACCAAAAAUAACCUGCGCAGAUAUAUAUAUGUACAAAGGCAACAGAAAUAACAACAUGAAACAUCAAAGAAAACUGGGAAGGGCAUGCUCGGGGGAGAUACAGUGAAAGCAGAUCAACAGAUAUAACAACAAAUCUACAUCAAUGUUAUAGCUCAUAUAAGUGGUCGGCACGCCACACGAUCCCAUUUCAUAAUUCAUAAGUAGAUGGCGCGCCACAUGAUCCCAUAUCAUAGUUCAUAAUUGGACGGCGCGCCACCAGAUCCCAUAUCAUAUUGACUAAUACAUAUACUCUUUCUAGAGGAGGCCCCAUUAGGGAAGUUCAACAACGUAACGAUUUAAUCUGACAAGGGUACAACUAAUAGGCCAAAUAUCCCGGCAAGAGAGCAACACCAAUAAUAGACUACGUGUCCCGGCAAGGGAAAUAGUCACAAAAACUUUCUCUUUUAAUCACUUCUUUCUCAAUUAUCAAAUUCUAGUUCGAGGCAAUGCUCCAAUGAUAUACCAAUCGCAACUAUUCACAUUAUAUGAAACUUAGACAACUAUUUACAUUAUAUGAAACUUAGCAAUUAGACAAGAAAGAUGUAUCACAAAGUCUGAAUCAGACACACAUUUAAGACAUACGGUCAUGCUAGACUCCAUUGUAUAGAUAACUGUCACCAUGCUUAUACACUGUACUCGUCAUUUAGCAAUUAGCAAAUAAUAACUUAAUCUUAUUCCCUCUAACCAAAGUUAGAACAAAGACUUACUUCGGCCCAAAAAUAGCAAUCAACUCUGUAAUACCGCCUUUCCUCUACAAUCCGACUCCGAAACAACGAUAUCUAGGCAUAAUCAAUUCAAUAAUAUCAAUAAAGGCUCUAAAACAAAAUCUCAUAGCCUAGAAAUGAAGUCCCUAGCAUUCUUCCAAAAAUACCAAAAUCCAACACCGAGCGCACAUGGGUCAAACUCGAGGCUCGGACCAAAACCCGUUCACCCAUAACCCCCACGAGCUUAAAUAUAUAAUUAUUUCAAGAUUAGACUCCAAAUUGAGGUUGAAUCACCCAAAAUUUCCAAAACCCUAACUUUACACAAAAACCCCAAUUUCUACUUUGAAUUCAUGAUUUAGGGCUAGGAAAUUAGUGAUUAGUUUGAGAAAUUAAGAGACGAUGAUGUUAGGAACACUUACCUAUGAAGCUAUGGACGAAAAUCUCUUCAAAAUUCAUCUAUGGAGGGUUUGAGAGAAGAGCUCAUGUGAUAAUAUGAGAAAAUCCUGUAAUGGCUAUUGUUUUGAACAUUUAAAAUAACUGGGCAAAAAUGCUCUAUGCGAUCAUGGGGAAAGGAGUGCGAUCACUUAGAGUAAAGGGAACUGUGCUCUGCGAUCGCAUGAGUAGAAGUGCGAACGCAUAGAGGAAAAAGGGAGUCAAAAGUUCUGGUGGGAUAUAAUGCUCUGCGAUCGCGGAUGGAGUGUGCGAUCGCGUCUAAGUGACUGGCAUAACUAUGCAAUCGCAGAUCAGAGGUUGCAAUUGCAUAGAGCAAAACGGGGCACAAAAAUUUAACACUAUGCAAUCGCGGAUAGGUCUAUGCAAUCGCAUAGAACAAAACACCUGUGUAAAAAUUGCAGAAAAUCUGCCAACUUCCUAAGGCCAAAAACACCCCGAACCACCUCCGAAACACUUCCGAGCCCCCGGGGCUCCCAACCAAAUACACGUACUAACUCAAUAAUAUCCUACGAACUUAUUCAAGCGAUCAAAUCGCUAAAAUAACACCAAAAUCAAAGAAUCACGCCCCCAAAAUCAUCAUUAAUCAUUCUAAUUUCAUAAACUCUCAUCUUUAGAUAUUUAGGUUCGAAACACAUCAAACGACGUCCAAUUUCGACCAAACGUCACAGAAAGCGCUUAACAUAUAUUUAAGACCUAUACCAGGGGUCGGAACAAAAAUACGGGCCUGAUACCUACAUUUUCUAACUCAUUUUUAUUUCAAAUUUUCACAUCAUUUUCAGAAGAAGAUUUUAUUUCAAAAAUUCAUUACUCGAGCUCGGUACCUCGAAUUUCAAUUCUGGGAAUGCACCUGAGUUUCUUAUUUUUCUACGGACCCUCCGGGACCGUCACAUUACAUGUCCGGGUCCGUUUACCCAAAAUAUUGAUUAAAGUCAACUUUAACAAUAUCAAUAUCAAAAUUCAUCAAUUUUGUUUUCACAUAAUUCACAUAUUUCUACAUAAAAGAUUUCUGGCUACACGCUCGGACUACGUACGCAAAACAAAGCCACUAAAAGCGAGUUUUCAAAGCUUUGGAUGCACGGAAAAGGGAGAAAUGCGAUGAUGACCCUUUGGUUCGUUACAUUCUCCACUUCUAAAAUAAUUGUUCGUCCUCGAACGGACAAAAGAAAGAAGUACCUGAGUCGCGGAAUAGAUGAGGAUAACGACUCCGCACAUCAGACUUGGACUCCCAGGUUGAUGCCUCUGGAGGCUAACCUCUCCACUGAAGGAAAACUCUUCGACCUCAACCGUCGAACCUGUCGGUCUAAAAAGCUACCGGCUCCUCCUAAUAAGAUAGAUCCUUGUCUAAUUGGACAGUGCUGAAAUCUAACACUUGGGAUGGAUCGCCGUGAUGCCUCCGACGCAUGGAUACAUGGAAAACUGAAUGUACGACUGACAAGCUAGGCGGCAGGGCUAGUUUAUAAGCCACAUCUCCCACAUGAUAAAGAAUCUCAAAUGGGCCAAUGAACCUAGGUCUAAGCUUGCCCUUCUUCACGAAUCACAUCACACCCUUCAUUGGCGACACUUGGAGCAACACUCGCUCCCCAACAAUGAAAGCAAUAUCUCGGACUUUGCGGUCUGUAAAACUCUUCUGCCUAGACUGAGCUGUCUAAAAUCUGUCCUGAACGAUCUUGACCUUAUCCAAGGCCUCCUGAAUUAGAUCUGUACCCAAUAACCGAGCCUCUCCCGGCUCUAACCAUCCCACUAGAGACUGAAUCGCCUACCAUACAACGCCUUAUAUGGAGCAAUCUGAAUGUUGGAAUGCUAGCUAUUGUUGUAGGCAAAAUCUACUAAAGGGAAGAACUGGUCCCACGAGCCUCCGAAAUCAAUGACACGGGCUCGGAGCCUAUCCUCCAAUAUCUGAAUUGUCUGCUCGAACUGUCCGUCCAUCUGGGGAUGAAAUGCUUUUCUCAAUAUAACCUGGGUGCCCAACUCCUACUGGAGUGCUCUCUAGAAAUGCGAGGUAAAUUGAGGACCCCGAUCCGAAAUGAUAGAUAUCAGCAUUCCAUGAAGGCGAACAAUCUCUCUAAUGUAGAGCUCCACUAACCUCUUUGAAGAACAAGUGGCUGCAACAGGAAUAAAGUGUGCUCACUUGGUCAGCCUAUCAGCAAUGACCCAUACAGCAUCAAACUUCUUCCGAGUCAUCGAAAGUCCAGUAACAAAAUCCAUAGUAAUCCUCUCCCAGUUCCACUCGGGAACCUCAAUCCUCUGAAAUAAACCACCAGGCCUUUGAUGCUCGUACUUAACCUGCUGACUGUUCAAACAACGAGCCAUAUAUGAAACAAUAUCUUUCUUCAUUUUGCGCCACCAAUAGUGCUGCCUCAAAUCCUGAUACAUCGUCGCGGUGCCCGGAUGAGUAGAAUACUGAGAACUAUGGGCCUCCGCUAAGAUCAACUCCCGAAUACCAUCAACAUUGGGCACACAAACUCGCCCCUGCAAUCUCAAUACACCAUCAUCUGCCAAGGUCACUUUCUUGGCACCUCCACACUACACCGUGUCUCUCAGGACACAAAAAUGGAGAUCACAAAACUUUUUCUCACAGAUACGCUCUAAUAAUGACGAACGAGCAACCGUGCAAGCUAACACUAUGCUAGGUUCAUAAAUAUCUAACCUCAGAAAUCAAUUGGCCAAGGCUUGAACAUCCAAAGCAAGCGGCCUUUGGCUGACCGUAAUAUAAGCGAGACUAGCCAUGCUGGCGGAUGUCCUACUCAAAGCAUCAGUCACCACAUUGGCCUUCCUCGGGUGGUAUAAGAUAGUAACAUCGUAGUUUUUCAACAACUCCAACCACCUCCUCCACCUCAAAUUCAACUCAUUUUGCUUGAACAAGUAUUGAAGGCUCUUGUGAUCCGUGUACACCUCACACGUCACACCAUAUAGGUAAUGCCUCCAAAUAUUCAAAGCAUGAACAAUGGCUGCCAACUCUAGAUCAUGAACUAGAUAGUUCUUCUCGUGGAUCUUCAGUUGCCUCGAAGCAUAGGCUAUGACUCUUCCAUCAUGCAUCAAUUCUUCGCCAAACCCAAUAUGGGAAGCAUCAUAGUAAACGGUAUAAGGCCCUGAUCGGGUGGGCAAAACCAAUAUCGGUGCCGUAGUGAGAGCUGUCUUGAGCAUAUGGAAGCUCGCCUGGCACUGAUCUGACCACCUGAACUGGGCACCGUUCUGGGUCAAUCUGGUCAUCGGGGCUGCAAUAGAUGAAAACCCCUCCACAAACCGACGGUAGUAACCUGCUAACCCCAACAAACUCCGGAUCUUUGUAGCUGAUGCUGGUCGACGCCAGUUCUUGACUGCCUCAAUCUUCUUCGGGUCCACCUAAAUACCCUCUACUGAAACAACGUGACCCAGGAAUGCAAUAGAACUCAACCAGAAUUCGCACUUCAAAAACUUGGCGUAUAAAUGACUAUCCUUCAUAGUUUGAAGAACCACUCUGAGGUGUUGCUCAUGCUCCAUAAAUGUUGCUGGGGCAUUGGUCAACCCGAAUGGCAUGACCAAAAACUCUUAAAGCUCAUACCGAGUGCAAAAUGAUGUCUUAGGGACAUCAGACACCCUAAUUCUUAGCUGAUGAUAACCAAAUCUCAAAUUUAUCUUUGAAAACACCCUAGCACCCUGAAACUGGUCAAAUAAAUUGUCAAUCCUCGGUAGUGGAUACUUAUUCUUUAUCAGCACCUUGUUCAAUUUCCAGUAAUCAAUGCACAUCCUCAUAGACCCAUCCUUUUUCUUCACAAAUAACACUAGCGCACCCCAAGGUGAUACACUAGGUCUAAUGAAACCCUUAUCAAGCAAAUCCUGCAGCUACUCCUUUAACUCUUUUAACUAUGGCGGGGCCAUGCGAUACGGCAGAAUGGAAAUGGGUUGAGUGCCUAAAGCCAGAUCAAUACAGAAAUCAAUAUCCCUGUCAGGCGACAUAUCCGGUAGGUCUGAAGGGAAAACCUCGGAACUCCCGAACAAUAGGAACAUAAUCGAUAGAUGUGACUUCUGCGCUGGAGUCGCGAACAUAUGCCAGAUAUACUAGAUACCCUUCUCGACCAUGCAUCGAGCCUUAACAUAUGAAAUAACACUGCGGGUGGCAUGACCUGGGUUCCCUCACCACUCUAGUCAGGGAAAAUAUGGCAAAGCCAAGGUCACGUUCUUGGCGUGACAAUCCAAAAUAACAAGAUACGGGGUCAGUCAAUCCAUCCCCAAUAUAACAUCAAAGUCCACCAUAUCUAAGAGCAAUAAGUUAACACAGGUCUCAAGACCCUCAAAUAAUACCACAUAGGAACAAUGCACUCGGUCGACCAUUAUAAAAUCACCCACCGGUGUAGAAAAAUAAACAAGAACACUCAAGGCAUCGUUAGACAUCACCAAGUAGGGUACCAAAUAGGACGACACAUAUGAAUACGUAGAUCCAGGAUCAAAAAGCACUAAAGCACCUCUAUCACAUACCAGAAUAGUACCUGUAAUAAUAGCAUCAGAAGACUCAGCCUCUGGCCUGGUGGGCAAAGAAUAACACCGGAGCUGGGCCCCACCUCCCUUAACUAUGUCUUUAGGAUGAUCGGCUACUGGCUGCCCCUACCUCUGGCAGUCCGAGCUCCACCCCUCUAAUCCCUACCUCUACCUCUAUAGCCUCUACCCCCGCCUCUAGCUGGCAGGACGGCUUGUGGAUCACCUUCUGCCUGAAUCAUGGUACUACAAGUGGCUAUGGUUCCCAGCCGCAGUAUUCUGACCAGCAGCUUUCCAGCUCAUCAUGAGCACCUAGGCAAGCUAAACAUUCAAACAUUUUUCUGAAGACAUUUUGCAGUAUAAAUAAAUAAAAGAAAUUAAAUAAAAGCAGAAAGCACUUAAACUUGUAUAACUGAAAUUAAACUGCAGAAGUUAAAACACAUUUCUACCCAGAAUCUAGUGUCACAAGCUCACGUACUGCUAAAGAGUGCUACAUACAAGUAUGAAUAGAAAAUACAUACUGUCUGUCUCGGUACAAUGAAAAUAAACUGAAAAUAUGGAAAAGGACUUCGGCCUGCGAACGCCAGCUAGGUAAGUCCCUGGACUGAAGUCAGCUCCCAAUCAAUACACAACUGCUCUGCUCGAAAAGCUGCUCCAGUAUUAUGAUAUAUGCAAAAAGUACAGAAGUGUCGCAUCAGCACAACCGACUCCAUAUUCUGGUAAGUGUCUGGCCUAACCCAGGUGAAGUAUUGAUGAGGCUAGACAGGACCUACCUAAAACAACCUGUGCAAAUAAAACUGGGAAAGGCAUGCUCGGGGGAGAUACAGUGAAAACAUAUGAACGGAUACAACAAUGAAACUACAUCAACGCCUAUAACUCAUAUAAGCGUGGUAGACACGUGAGUUUUGACCCUCCCCGAAAUUUUACCCAAUUUUAGUUGAUUGCUAAUAUGAAUGGUCUGAAAUUCGACUUUUGGCCUUUGCGUAAGCUUGAAGCGUAGGCUUGGUGCUUUGUUCUUGUCGUUUGUAUCAUUUGGUGUUAUGUUCGCAUUAAUUUAAUAUAUCUAAGCAUGCUUAGCUAGUGAUAUUGGAGUGAUUAAGUUGCGACUCAAUUUUGGAUUGACUGGCGUGCAUUUCACAUGUUGAUGAUUCAGUCCAUUAGUCUGUAACUUGCUAGUCUUUUCUGAUCUGUGUAUAAAUCAUGCACGUACUUAUGUAGAUUCAUGGAUAAGUAAAUACCGAUCAAUUGUGUUGGUCUGCGCUUAUUCAAUUCUCUCAUUGAUUUCAAAUUGCGUUUUGUUGAAGCUAGGAGAUGACAUAAAGAAUUGUUCUCCGGGCGAAAUCAUGAUUUGUUUUUGGAUUUGGUUAGAGCACUAAGCAGCAGUCACUAGUUUUCAUAUGAACACUUAACUCUAGAAGGUUCUGCUAAUCAAUAACCCUUCUUAUUAUCCUGCUAGAGUGAGCUUCCACACGAAAAGGGAUUUGUUGAUGUUCCUAAUAUCAAGCUAAGUAAAAGGUUAAUAUGAUUUUUUAAAGGCAUGUGUCAAUUAACCCUAAACUUUGUUGCAUUGAUUGUUACGUGAUAGAUUCUCCUGUUGCUUACUUGAAUCCGUGAAUUGUUUCCCUGCAUGAUCAAUUGUGUCUCGAGUCUGGUAAAUGAUGAAAUAUGACCAUUUGAUUUGUUGUGUCGACACUAUUAAAAGUCAAGUUGGGACAAUUGUUAACUGGUAUGUGGCUGGAAAUAUGACCAUUUGAUUUGUUGUUUUGUCUUCGUGCCAUUUUAUUAGAAGUUGUGUUGGCUUUUCAAUGAGUAAGCAGAAGCUGUAAAGUGUAAAAAUGAGCUUAAUUGUCUGCUAAGAAUUCCAGCUUUUAGGUUGUCAAAAGUGAAACUGGCGGCUUAUUUUCCUCGAGUGUUUACAGGAUCAUGAAUAUGAAUUGGUUACCUGACUUUGUAAAUUUGUUAUGUGUGAAAAUGUGCCCGUGUGGAGUGUGACUCUUUUGCUUCUAAAAAUAGGUUAUGCAGUGUGCGUGAUUGAUAUUUCAGGCAGUAAGUAUAACUAAGAUUUUUUCUUGAAAUAUUUUGUCUUAUAUUGGGGGUAAUUAUUGAAUUGGGGGGGUGGGGGGGGGGGNNNNNNNNNNNNNNNNNNNNNNNNNNNNNNNNNNNNNNNNNNNNNNNNNNNNNNNNNNNNNNNNNNNNNNNNNNNNNNNNNNNNNNNNNNNNNNNNNNNNNNNNNNNNNNNNNNNNNNNNNNNNNNNNNNNNNNNNNNNNNNNNNNNNNNNNNNNNNNNNNNNNNNNNNNNNNNNNNNNNNNNNNNNNNNNNNNNNNNNNNNNNNNNNNNNNNNNNNNNNNNNNNNNNNNNNNNNNNNNNNNNNNNNNNNNNNNNNNNNNNNNNNNNNNNNNNNNNNNNNNNNNNNNNNNNNNNNNNNNNNNNNNNNNNNNNNNNNNNNNNNNNNNNNNNNNNNNNNNNNNNNNNNNNNNNNNNNNNNNNNNNNNNNNNNNNGGGUUCAGGAGGCGCGUGGAUGUGAAUUUCAUUGGUACAAAAGCCAUGGCUCUUAUCAUAUUUUAUCUACAGCUCCUUAACUUUGUUUCAUUUUUCUCUGUUCCGUUGAGUUUAUUGCAUAUCUCGUUUCUUUCUUGUGCUUUCUGGAUGUGAUACUUUGUGAUGUUUGGUUUCAAGGUGAGAGAUCGUUCUCUAGUUUAAUUUAUACAGUGAAUGCUCCGUGAAGUUUGUAUAUAUUAUUAUCCGGGAUAUGUCCCGAAGUAUUUGUAAUUGGAGACGGAAAGUAGAACUCCUAGUAUUUUUAUUUUUAUCAUUUUUUAUUUUUCUUUCACUAGGUGAGGACAACCUCGAGCCUCUUCUGUGUUUAUUUUCCGUUUCUAUGUUUUCUACCUUAAUCGAAUAUUUUAAUACCCAACUUGAUCAUGUACGCAACCGUGAGCUUCACAGGACUUGGGGAAUGCCUAACACCUUCUCCCCGAGUCAAAUGAACCCCCUUACCCGAACCUCUGGUGCCGACUUAGUCUUGAGUCCAAAUGUUUUAAAAGGAAAUGGUAUUUUAAAAAUGGUGAGCUGGCACACCGAAACCAAUGUCAGGUGGCGAUGUUGAGUUUAUUUCCUUUUGAAACACAAUUUUUGUCACUUUCAAGAUUGAAAACCCUUUUCAAGAUUUAAUUAAAUCUUUUUAUUCAUUUAAGAGGAUUUAACUGAAGUUUGUAUUUAAAAAGGGGUGUGACAUCUCUGGCGACUCUGGUGGGGACACUCUCCUGGGUUCGAGCUAGUACUCGAUUUUGUUGGCUUUUAGAAUAUUUGGUUGAGUUUUUUUAUGUUUUUUUUUAAUUAUUUUGUUUUAUUUAUUUAGCUUUGCUCAAUUUUUAUUAUGUUUAUGUUUUGUCAUUUGCUAGUUGUUUAUGUGUUUACAUUUUUGCUUUAUGUGUUUAGUGCUUUAUAACUAUCAUCAUAUGCACUACCCGGUCAAUUCUUUCUGCAACAACUAUUGGAGCACGCGCCGUGUGCACGAACUCUUUGUUGAGUCACCCAUAAUUUAGGAGGGGGGGCCGUCGGACGUAUGGAGUGGGUGGAAAGCUUAAGCAGCCACUAUCGACCAUACGCUCCCCCAAAUUGCCUUGUUAUUGAACCCCAAACUUAGGUCAACCUUAUGUCAUUUUUAUUUGCAUCAUGUCAUUUACACCUAAUAGGGCUCGGUCCCAGGUACCGUGUCCCUUUGUAGGGAGCUCGUCCAAAUUUUGUCAAAAUGGGUCUGUGGCUCAUAAUGACAUUUAAUCAUCCUAUAUGCUAAAUGUUGCAUCUUUGAGGGUAAAAAGGUCGUUUGGCGGACCAAUGUUUGGAAAAAAGGGUGAAAAUGAAGAUAGUAGGACCCACCAGCAUUUUUCUUUCAUGAUUUUUCAAAAAUUCAAAAAAAAAGUAGAAAAUGAAAAAUCAAAAAAAGAUUUUAUACUUUUCCAUUAUUUUCCAAAAACUAAAAAAAGGUAAAUAAUGAAAACAAUCCAAAAAUACUUUGCUCUUUCCAUCAUUUCUUCAAAAAAAGGACCAAAAAUAGCUUUUAUUUUAAAUCAGAUGCAUUUUUUCCUUUAUCCUAUAUUUAAUCUUUUCGAACUACGGGAACCUGAUUCUCGUCUUUCGGUGCGAGAUACGUAGGCAACCCACCUAGGAUCUGGUCUUCUUAGUAUCUUAGGUUCUUGGCAUUACGGGGUCUUAGCCAAAUUUUGCAUGUCUAGCCAUUUGUGGCCACAUCAACCAUUCUUGUAAAAUAGGGUUAUUUUCGCAAAAGUGGUUCAAUAACUCAUGAAUUAGAAUUUUGAGUCCACAACUAGGUUUCAUAGCUAUUUAAGGUCUUUCCAUUUUGAGUUUGCGUCUUUAGCCAUUUCAUGUCAUAUCGGUCAUUUUUACAAAAAUGGGUCAUUUCUGCAAGGUAUUUUUUUAGGGCCGCAAUUGCUGGGAUGUUAGAAUCAUGUAAUCUAUAAAUGAAGUAUUUUCCACUCAUUAGGAGGUCAUCGUUGUCAAGUUUGAACUAAUAGCCAUUUUCAGCCAUUUAAACCAUUUUUGCAAAAUAUAGCCAAAUCGUAUUUUGCAUUUGUCCGCUAGGAAAUAGUGUGGUGUCAUGUAGUGUCCUGAGUUGCUAACCAUGCUCUUUUCAUUCAGGUAUGGACCCUCUAAGUUGAUCCAAAGUUUUGAUGGUAGUAAAUAUUCCUAAGAAAUUGGUCAAGUGGUGGAAAAUGUUUUCAUCGCUAGAGCAACAUGAGUUAAUGCAUGAAUUAGGCAUCCUCACUUCCCUUCUCAAUAUCACACCCCGCCCAGACUUAGUGGAGGUGAUGUUGACUUAUUGAGAUCCUCAAAAUUUGACUUUUCAAUUGGGAGAGUGUGAGAUGACUCCUACCUUGGCGGAAAUGUCUGGACUCACACGUUUAAGCUAUAUAGGUAGGGACAUGACACUUCCCCGAGACCACUCUUGGAGAAGAUUCCUCAGUGAUCUGGGCCUGAAAGAUAACAAGCGUUUAAGAUGCCUCGAGCAGUCCUGGAUAUCCUUGGAUUAUUUUUUUGCUAGAUUUGGACCACGGGAUAGUUUUGACGUCUUUUGGGAUGAGUUCUGCACAACCAAGGAAAAAUGGAAAAGACGCCGCCUUGAGGCUUUCAACCUUACUUUGUUUUGAUUAUUGGUCAUUAGAUGAGAGGCACAUUAGCACCCGUCUGCAGUCAGUGGUAAUGGCACUAUUUCAUGAGAAGCAACAUUAAACCGCUACCGUUGUACUGAUGAUCUUAGGAGAGUUGUACCGAGCCCUGAGUGAGGUUAGGGGUGGUGUCAGGUAUUUUGAGGGAAGUAACCUUUUGCUACAAUUGUGGAUAUGGAGCAUUUGCACACCGCUUCCUUACUUUGUCCCAUCGACCGGGCCUUGAGGGAUCGGGUGGUAUGCAUCAAGCGUAGGAUGAAAUCUCCUAAGUUUACGUACCUGGUAGACGUCAUAGCUUGGAUUGAGUUCCUUGGUUUGAGGACAAAUGAGAAUGUUUUGUGGACCUACCUUUGGCUACCCUUUGACGAGAUCUUGGUAGGAUGUCUUAUGCAGCCGUACUUGAUACUGAUAGGACUCAAGUGUGUCAGGCCAUACACUUCCAUUAGGGUAAUGCGACAGUUGGGCAGAAGACAGGAGGAACCUCCAACUUUGAAUCUUCGGAGGCACGUCAUGAACUUUAGCAAGAAAGCAACUGACGAAAUCAAAUAUUUGCAAUACUGGAAAAAUGCAAAGAGGUUGAGAAACAAUACAUUGAUAAAGGACAUUAGUAGGCCCGAGUGUACUCAGGAGUACUUGAUCUGGUUACAGUCCAUCCCACUAGGGGUCAGCACUUCAUUGCCGGCACAACUUAGGGGGCGGGCAACUCAUACGGAUGAUGUUGAGGAGGCAUCAGACCAAGAUCUUUGGGGUAAGCUUAAGUUGAUACAAUCUCAGUUAUCGGGAUCGGCAGCUAACGUGGAGCAGCAUAGCCAAUAUUUGUUUGGGGUCAUCCUUCAAGAUGCAGGGGCGCACGCCAGGGUCCUUGUUCCUAACAUCGGUAUCUUUUUGCAAGGCAUGUUGCAGAGUUUGAGCAUGACGGACAACCCAGGACCAUCCCAGUCAGGACCGUCGCAUUCAGGGGCAGCUUGAGGAGUCAUGCUGCUUAGGUGUUUUGAGUUUGUAUUAUAUUGUCUUUUACUUUCGUGUUUUGUACAGGAGUACUAAGUCCUUUAGGUAGUAUCAGAGUCCGUCAUAGUGUAGUCGAGUAUGUCAUGUCUUUCAUUAUCGUACUUCCUUUUGUAUUUUAAUAUUGAAAAAAGUUUAAAUGAAAAUCCCAAAAGGAUUUUAUUUUAGUUUAUUUUUUGUCACUUUUCCAUAACUACGCUUGGUCUGAUUCAUCAGGGACAUGAUACGUAGGCAACCUACAUCGGGUUCGAUCAGAUUAUUUUUGCAUAAUCAAAUUAGUUUGGCAUAAAAUAAAAUAAAAUAAAAAGAAGAAGAAAGGGAGAGUGAUAAGAGGUGUUGGAGAAGAAAGAAAGAUUGAAAUGGGGAAAUUGGGAUGAUGCCAUAUGACCCAGCGACCCUCAAAGCCAUUUUAGAAACGUUAAUUGUUGCUAGGUGCAUUACACGUAAUGUGAUAUUAUCAUAUGAUAAUUGCCCUAAAGCUGACAUGGUGGUUUUUUGUUGUUGCUCCUUUUUACCUUUGUUUAAUUUUCAAGAAGGUGGUUAGUUUGUUGGCAACCUGGCAAGUCAUCCCUACAGCACUCGAUCAAAACAUCAAACAGUCAUGGCUAGCUAGGAAACAGACACUGGAGUCGUAGACCCACCAAGGGAGAUUGUUGAAUCGGAAUCAGAAAUGCAAGAUGAGGUCCGGAGGUUGAACCGUCAGAUGGAAGAAAUGUACCUAGCCAUGAUUAAGGGACACCUCCCACACUCCUUCCCUACCAACUACACAGAAAACCCUGCUUCCAUUCCACCACUCUCUCAAUCUCAGAUGACCAAUACAAUUGAUAUUUCCCCACAACACGCUCCUGGCUUUACCCCUUACCAAAACUACCCAUGCACUUCCUCCCAAACCUUCCAUGCUCCACUAGCCAAAACCGCCCCGUACCCUGCCCCGACAUCUGCUCCUAUUUUGGUACCCCCUCCAUUUACCAUAAUUACCCCGGAACUUCCUCCUAAACAUUCCAUGCUCUACCAACAAAAACAACCUUGUACCUUGCUCCGACAUCUGCUCUUAUUUUGGUGUCCCCUCCAUAUGCCACCCUCCACUGAUCCUCUACUGAGCCCGCAUUCCCCGCUCGAGAUACCCACUACUAUGCACCAGAGCCUACUUUCAAAGUCCCAUAUCCUUACCCUUACACUCCCCAAUUUGAGACUCAUGUUGAAACUGACAAACCACCCAAGAACACAGAGCAAGAAGAGAUGUUGAGGAAGGUACAGAGUCUGGAGCAAUCAUUGAGAAAUAUGCAAGGGUUGGGUAACCAGGUGAGUGUAGCCUAUAAGGAUUUAUGUUUGUUCCCCGAUGUCCAACUGCCUGCCGAUUUUAAGAUGCCCAAGUUUGACUUGUAUGAUUGACAUGGGGAUCCUGUAGCUCACAUGCGGGGUUAUUGCAGCAAAAUGAGAGGUGCCGGCGGAAAAGACGAAUUCCUCAUGGCUUACUUCAGCCAAAGUCUGAGUAGGGCAGCAUUAGAAUGGUACACACGCCAGGAUGCUAGUAGAUGGUAUACUUGGGACGAUAUGACUCAGGCCUUUUCUCGGGAGUUUCAGUACAAUAUAGACAUUGUUCCAGAUCGCGUAUCUCUAACCAACUUGGAAAGAAACCUGGUGAAAGCUUUAGAGAAUAUGGGUUUCGAUGGAGAGAGCAAUCUUCAUGAGUCAAUCCUCCUAUGGAUGAAGACAAGAUGGUUAAAUUACUUUUUUCGAGCCCUCGAGCCCACUUACUAUGGCCACUUGAUCUCAGCCAUUGGUAAGUCUUUCAAUGAUGUGUUAAAGAUGGGAGAGAUGGUGGAAGAAUGGCUCAAGUCGAGUAAGAUCAUGAGCUAUUCUUCUAUAAAAGAAACCAUCCAGGCAAUCCAGAGUGGUUCCGGAAGUUUUCUUGGUAAAAAGAAGAAGGAAGAUGUCGCUAUGGUUGUCUCCAAAUCAUGGCGUGGCCCGAGGGGUUCACCCCAUCAAUACGCCCAUCCUCAACCCCGACCUCAAACCUAUACCCCAGCUCCAUAUAAUCCACUUCAACAUUAUUUUUCCCCGCAAAACCCCCAAUACUCAGCCAGGCCAUCCCAAUACCUUGUUCACCAUGCACAGUCGUAUGCUCAACCCCCUCCUUAACCACAAUGUCGCGCUCCAGAUCAGUACAACACCUACCCAGCUCCAAAAAAUACCUAUCCGUCUCCACAACCCUACCAAAACUCCAAUGAGUCACGUUUUCGACCAAGUCCAGAUUAUAGGAGAGAUAGGCAGCAGCGAAAACAAACUUUUUCCCCGCUUGGAGAGUCCUAUGCUAGUCUCUUUCAAAGGUUAAGGCAGUUGGACGUCUUGAGGCCAAUUGAGUCAAAGAUACCUAAUCCCCAUCCAAAUAAUCUCGAUCAUUCCUUAAGAUGCGCCUAUUGUUCUGAUGCUCCAAGGCAUGACAUAAAGAAGCGCUGGCAUUUGAAAAUGGCAAUCCAGGAGCUCAUUGAUUCAAACCAAAUUGUAGUCCAAAGCCCAGAUGCGCCAAACAUCAACCAAAACCCUUUGCCAGCCCAUGAAGAGACGCAUAUGAUUGAAAUAGUUCACAAGGAUGGGGAGUCCAAGAAGUCUUCUAAAUCCGUCAUGAUGAUCCGGGUUAGUGAAAACAAUUCGGUUUAAGCUCAAGACUCUACCAAAGCAGCGCUCUCGACAGUUGAAGAGCUGACAGAAAAGCCGAGCUCGAAGCCCUCUGUCAUGAUGAUCCGGGCUAGUGAAAAAAAAUUGGUGAAAGCUCAAGACUCUACCAAAGCAGCGCCCUCGACAGUUGAAGAGGUGACAGAAAACCCGAGCUCGAAGCCACCAGUGUUGGUCGUGAAAGGUCUGUCAAAAGAUAUUGGGGCAAGUCUAGAAAGUUCCAAAGUGGUGGUGCCAGGGAUUCCAAGUAAGCCUGUUAUAGUUGUGAAAGGGGCUCAUAUCACCCCUAUCAUCAUUAAACCAAUGACCCAGCUGCCAGUGGUUGAUGCCAAGGUUGUUCCGUGGAAUUACAAACGAAUGGUAGUAACAUAGAAAGGAAAAGAAAUAGAGGAAGAAGUUAAUGAAACUGGAGUAUUGACUCGAUCUGGGAGAUGUUCACCCAGAAGAACUAAGGAAAGCAAAUCCGUCCAAAGAUAGCCGAAUGCUAGUAAAGAAAUCAGUCACAGAGGAAGAGGCCGAAGAAUUCUUGAAAAAGAUGAAAGUGCAGGAAUAUUCCACCGUAUACAACCUAAGGAAGACACCAGCUCAGAUCUCUCUCUUGUCUUUGCUGAUACAUUUAGAUGAACAUCGCAGGGUCUUGAUAAAGACAUUGAAGGAGGCAACACGUUCCUGAUAAGAUCACAGUGAACCACUUGUAAAAGAUAGCUGGCAAGAUCUUCGAAGCAAAUAGGAACACUUUCUCAUACGAUGAACUGCCUAUGGAGGAUACAGAACACAAUCGAGGUCUUUAUUUCACUGUGAAGUGCAAAGAUUCUGUUGUUUCAAGGGUUUUGGUUGAUAACAGCUCCAGUGUAAAUAUUUGUCCCUUAUCUACUCUGAAGAAACUGAAGAUUGGCAUCGAAAGAAUCCAUUUGAACAAUAUGUGUGUUCGAGGCUUUGAUGGGGGAGGCAAAGAUUCUGUUGGAGACAUAAUGCUCGAAUUGUCGAUAAGGCCAGUCAAUUUUACCAUGGAGUUUCAAGAUGUAGACGUGGCUGUCUUCUAUAAUAUGUUAUUGGGCAGACCCUGGAUACAUGCUGCUAAGGCAGUCCCAUCUUCUCUGCACCAAAUGGUAAAGUUUGAAUGGGACAGGCAGGAAGUAGUUGUGCAUGGUGAUGAGGACUUGUCAGCCGAUAAUGACACGAUUGUUCCAUUUAUUGAAGCUGAAGAUGAUAAGGGACCUUGGGUCUAUCAAAUUUUUGAAACAGUGUCUGUUGAGAUGAUUCCUGAAGGAGAGUGCAUUCCGAGACCUAAGUUAUCCUCUGCAUCUGUCAUGGUUGCGAAUGAAAUGUUGAAGAAUGGUUUUGUGCCGGGCAAGGGUAUGGGCUCAUCUCUAUAAAGUAUUGCACAUCCAGUGUGCCCCAGUAGGAGUCCUGGUAGGUUUGGUUUAGGAUUCACGCCCACAGAAACGGGCGUGAAAAGGGUUAAAAAUAUGAAACAGGAGGCAUGGUCGCUCCCCAAGCCCGUCCCACACAUCUCUAAGCCUUUUGUCAAGUCAGGGGCUGAAAAAACUCCAACCUCCUCAAUUCCGAAACCUAUGGUCGAUGUUGAUAAAGAGAUUAUCAAGAGGUUCCAAAGUCUAUUCGAAGAGGUCAACAUGGUAUAAGUUGGUGAAGGCUCUAGCAAAGCAGAUGUGUAGCUCGUUGGCCCAAAUGUGAAGCUUAUUAAUUGGGAAGCUACUCCUCUCCCCACCAGAAAGGAGUUUUGGUAGUUUGCUUUGUUUUUCUUUCUUUUAUCUAGGUUAUUCUAGGGUUGUAAUCCAGAUUUUUAGUUUUUGCUUGUUUCGAUUUUCAAACCCUUCUAUCCUUUUGUUUUCAAUGAAAUGCAACUUCUCGUUUUCCGUUAUUCUUAAUAGUGUUUAUUUUGUUCUUUUUCUUCUUUUGUACAGUUCUUUUUAUACUGGUUGCAAUGACAUGACAUGCAUGAAGAAUUUUAGCCGAGUCUUAAAAGCCAAUCUAAUUCUGAAAUAACAAUCCAAGAAGUUCCCUCCUGUCAAGCAAAAGUUGCGAAAGUUCAAGACCGAUAUGAGUGUGAAGAUCAAGGAAGAAAUCAUAAAGUAGCUUACUGUGAAGGUCAUCCGGGUCACUCGAUACCCCACUUGGUAAAAUGUACUGCCAGUAGCGAAAAAGGAUAGUAAGACCAGGAUUAGUGUUGAUUAUUGUGAUCUUAACAAAGCAAGCCCGAAGGAUGAUUUUCCACUGCCGAACAUUCACAUUCUGAUCGAUAAUUGUGACAAGCAUGAGAUUAGGUCUUUUGUGGAUUGCUACGCAGGAUAUCAUCAGAUCUUGAUGGGUGAGAAAGAUGUAGAAAAGACGGCGUUCAUGACGCCCUGGAGGACAUAUUGCUACCGGGUAAUGCCUUUCAAUUUGAAAAAUGCUGGGGCGACCUACAUGAGGGCGAUGACCACCAUAUUUCAUGACAUGAUACACAGGGAUAUUGAGGUUUAUAUAGAUGAUGUGAUCAUAAAGUCAAAGAAGCAGUCUGACCAACUUGAAGAAGUUUUUCCAAAGACUCUUCAGGUACAACCUCAAGCUCAAUCCAGCGAAAUGUACAUUUGGUGUCCCCUCUGGAAACUGUUGGGAUUCGUGGUAAGUAGACGCGGUAUUGACUUGGAUCCGUCAAAGAUCAAAGCCAUUCAAGAGUUGUCGCCGCAAAAGAAUAAAGCAGAGGUGAUGAGCUUGCUUGGAAUGUUAAAUUACAUCAGCAGGUUCAUUGCUCAGCUUACGACAACUUGUGAGCCCAUAUUUAAGUUGGUGAAGAAGAAUGUUGCGGUCAAGUGGACUGACAAGUGUCAAGAAGCCUUUGAUAAAAUUAAGAGGUACCUGUCAAAUCCACCAGUGCAGGUCCCACCAGAUCCUGGAAGACCUUUAAUUUUCUAUUUGACAGUCAUGGAUAAUUCUUUCAGUUGUGUGCUGGGUCAACAUGACAUCAGGGGAAAAAAGGAGCAAGAAAUUUAUUAUCUCAGUAAGAAUUUCACUCCCUAUGAGUACACUCUGCUCGAGAGGACAUGUUGCGCAUUGACUUGGGUGGCACAAAAGUUUAAACAUUAUCUGUCGUCCUACACUACUUACUUCAUUUCUUGCAAGGAUCCCUUGAAGUAUAUCUUUCAGAAGCCUAUGCCCACGGGAAGACUAGAAAAGUGGCAGAUAUUACUUACAGAGUUUGACAUCAUCUAUGUGACUCGGACUGCGAUGAAAGCCCAAGCCUUGGCCGACCACUUGGCCGAGAAUCCGGUGGAUGAUGAAUAUCAGUCAUUAAAGACUUAUUUUCCUGAUGAAGAGGUCAUGUGUGUUGACGAGGUUGAGCACAAUGAAAGGCUAGGUUGGAAACUCUUCUUUGAUGGAGCGGCUAACAUGAAAGGGAUGGGGAAUACGGGUUGUACUUAUCUCCGAAACAGGGCAACACUACCCUGUAACAGCCCAGCUUUGAUUUUAUACUGAUGAAGAGGUCAUGUGUGUUGACGAGAUUUAGCAUGAUGAAAGGCCAGGUUGUAAACUCUUCUUUGAUGGAGCUGCUAACAUGAAAAGGGUUGGAAUAGGGGUCGUACUUAUCUCCGAAACAUGGCAACACUACCCUGUAACAGCCCAGCUUCGAUUUUAUUGCACGAAUAACAUGGCUGAGUACGAAGCAUGCGUUAUGGGUUUGAGGUUAGUUGUAUACAUGGGAGUCCAGGAAAUACUUGUUUUGGGAGAUUCGGAUUUGUUGGUUCACCAGAUUCAAAGAGAAUGGGAGACUCGAGAUUUGAAGCUCAUAUCGUACCGACACUGUCUGCACGAUCUCUGUCAAUGAUAUAGGUCAGUUGAAUUUAGACAUAUUCCUAGGAUUCAUAAUGCGAUUGCUGAUGCCCUAGCCACCCUGGCGUCAAUGUUACAUCAUCCAGACAAGGCUUAUGUAGACCCCGUGCAUAUCCAAGUUCAUGAUCAACACGCUUAUUGUAAUGUGGUGGAAGAGGAAAUCGAUGGCGAACCUUGGUUCCACGAUAUCAAGGAAUACAUCAGGUCGGGUAUAUAUCCAGUACAUGCUACAUGUGAUCAAAAAAGAACCAUUCGGCGUAUGGCUAGUGGAUUUUUCUUGAGUGGAGGAAUCUUGUACAAGAGGACUCCAUAUUUAGGACUGUUGAGGUGCAUAGAUUCUAAAGAAGCUUCAACUAUCACGGCCGAAGUGCAUUCUGGAGUUUGCGCGCCGCAUAUGAACGGGUAUGUCUUCUCGAAGAAGAUAGUUCGAGCAGGUUAUUAUUGGCUCACCAUGGAACAGGAUUGUAUCAGCUUUGUUCGCAAGUGACAUCAAUGCCAGGUGCACGGAAAUUUGAUUCAUUCUCCCCCGUCUGAGUUGCAUACAAUGUCUACACCUUGGCCCUUUGUUACUUGGGGCAUGGAUAUUAUUGGGCCAAUUGAGCUGGCAGCGUCGAACGGGCACAAUUCAUCCUGGUGGAAAUUAAUUACUUUACCAAGUGGUUCGAAGUGGUAACUUUCAAGUCCGUGACAAAGAAGGCAGUGGUGGAUUUUGUGCAUUCAAACAUCAUUUGUCGAUUUAGAAUUCCCAAGGUGAUCAUCACAUACAAUGCUGCUAAUCUCAACAGUCAUUUGAUGAAAGAGGUAUGCCAACAAUUCAAGAUCAUGCAUCGGAACUCCACCGCGUAUCGCCCCAAGGCAAAUAGAGCUGUUGAGGCUUCCAAUAAGAACAUAAAAAAGAUACUUCGUAAGAUGGUUCAAGGUUCUAGGCAGUGAGGAAAAUGGAGCUGUUGAGGAUGCCAAUAAGAACAUAAAGAAGAUACUUAAUAGAUAGUUCAAGGUUCUAAAUAGUGGCAUGAAAAGAUGCCUUUUGCAUUACUAGGUUAUCGCACUACUGUUCGCACUUCAAUAGGUGCAAUUCCUUAUCUGUUGGUAUAUGGAACUGAGGCAGGUAUACCUGCGGAGGUUGAGAUUCCCUCCCUUCGGAUCGUUGCAGAAGCUGAAAUUGAUGACGAUGAGUGGAUUAAAACCCGGCUCGAACAGUUGAGUUUGAUUGAUGAGAAAAGAUUGGCUGCACUGUGUCAUGGUCAAUUGUAUCGGAAGAGAAUGGCAAGAGCAUAUAACAAAAAUGUGCGUCCUUAGAAAUUCGAAGUGGUCCAGAUGGUAUUGAAACGUAUCCUUCCUCAUCAGCUGAAGCAAAGGGAAGUUUGCCCAGAACUGGCAGAGGUCAUUCGUUGUGACAAGAGUGUUGCCCAAUGGUGCUUUGUAUUUAACAGACGUAGAAAGCAAUUGUGCAGAUAUGGCCAUCAAUUUUGAUGCAGUUAAGAGGUAUUAUGUAUGAUUUUCUUGCUUACCUUCAGUUGUAUUUCAUACUUGGCAUAUUCAAAGUUGAAAUUAUGAAGGCAAUUUGUUCAGCUACCCAAAAACUUUCAUCCUUUGCUACCCCCUUUUUGAGCCUUAUUUAUUUUCUUUCAUACCCCUCUUUGGAAUCAACAGCAGAAGCAAAGAAUAAAGAUGAUGAUGAAUGAGUGAAAAUAAGAGAAAUGAAAAAAAAAAAGAGAAAAGAAAAAUAAAAAAGAAAGAGAGAAGAAUAAAAACAAAAAGAAAAGAAGAAAAAGAAUAAAAAAAGAAUAAAAAAGGAGAGAGAUAAAAGAAAAGAAAAAAAAGAAGAGCAACAAGAACGAACAAUUUUCUUUUGAACUACGUUCGAUCUGAUUCCUUUUAAGGAUACGUAGGCAGCCUUACGGUUCGUUCCAUCACAAUAAAAAUUAAAAUUCCCCAGACCCAAAGAGAUUGGGGUAGAAGUUUUGGUUUUGGAAAAGAUCUAAUUCCAAAAGUUGUAAUUUUGGCCCUUUUUCAACAGAUUAUUUUGAGCGUUCAUGCUACCCUUUCUUUCUAACCCCCUCCAAAAGACUACAUUACGGUCCAAAGAAAGACCUUCUCAUCAAUCUUUGAGGAUGCCAGGUCAAGCAAGAUAGAGGUAUGAUUUACAUCAUGGGUAACACUUUGUUCAUAGGUGCAAGAGAGAAAAUUUAAAAUGAGAGUCUUAUUGGUGAAAACCCUCGCGGGCACCGUAAGGCGAUGGUGAGCUUAGAGAAAAUUUAAAAUGAGAGAGUCUUAUUGGUGAAAACUCUCCCGAGCACCAUAAGGCAAUUGUGAGAUGAGAGAUGCACAAAUAAGAGGGACUUGUUGGUGAAAACCUUUUUAGGGCACUGCAAGUGGAAUGAGGCUCAUAACUUUAUAGAGAAAUUGGAUCAGUGAAAGCCCUGUUUUUGAAGUAUGAAGACAUGAAUGAACUGAAAAUAUGAUAAAUUGACGGAUUAGGCUGAUCAGUUAGAAAUGCAUGGCAUGAUCGUUGGAGCUGGCUACCUCCCUCAGAUAAGUCCUCUCUUUCUCAUUCUUCUUCACAUAAUCAUCUGUGUUCAAAUUUUCAUUUGUUCCUUUUGUUUAAAAUCAUUUUGUUUUACUCCUUGAGUCUAUCUUUACGACUUUCUUCCUAGUUAGCCUUUGUUAAACAAGCAUGAAAGGAUUUCAACGCCUACUAGCAGCUUCUAAAUUGCACAAAGCGGAUUGUGGCCAGGAACAUCCAAAUUGACAUGAUUCAAAAUAAGCGAUAUGGUGAUAACUGAGGUUCAGGCAAUCAGGUGAAUCUUGAAUUUUGAGGAAAUACAAGGAUUCAGCAACUAUCUAAAUAAAAACAAAAAUACAAUGCAACAUGUGAGUGUGAGGGACUCAGGUCAUGCAGAGGUUUCGUGGUCUAGUUUCAGUCAAAAAUCAAACAACUCCUUGCUAGCCGAAGCAGCUAAUCAAAAUUAAGCAUGGCAGUGGCGGAAGCAGACGCUCGGCAGUGAUGCCGCAAACUAACCACCACGUUUUCAAACUAACAAGAUUUAAUUUGUUUAAAGCAGGGGCAAGAAAUUUUAAGUCUACAGGUACCUCCCAUGGUAAAACAUGAUUCAGGGAGCAAGAAAUUCUGUUCAGAAUCCUUCAAGAUAACAACAUGGCUCAGGUAAGUUCAUUCUCAGUUCUUAGGACCCUCCUGGAUAAUGGGAUUUAGUUUUCAAAAUUCUUAGGACGCUCAUGAAUAAUGGGAUUUUGUAAUAAUUUUCCAAGGACCCUCCUGGAUAAUGGGAUUUAGUUUUAAAAUUCUCAGGACCCUCCUGGAUAAUGGGAUUUAGCUUUAAAAUUCUCAGGACCCUCCUAGAUAAUGAGAUUUAGCUUUAAAAUUCUCAGGACUCUCCUGGAUAAUGGGAUUUGGUUUUUAAAAUUCUCAGGACCCUCAUGGAUAAUGGGAUUUAGUAUUAAGGAUUUAGUUUUCAAAAUUCUCAGGACCCUCCUGGAUAAUGGGAUUUAGUUUUAAAAUUCUCAGGAUCCUACUGGAUAAUGAGAUUUAGUUUUCAAAAUUCUCAGGACCCUCCUGAAUAAUGGGAUUUAGUUUUAAAAUUCUCAGGACCCUCCUUGAUAAUGGGAUUUAAUUUUAACUUUCUCAGGACUCUCCUGGAUAAUGGGAUUUAGCUUUAAAAUUCUCAGGACCCUCCUAGAUAAUGGGAUUUAGCUUUAAAAUUCUCAAGACCCUCCUAGAUAAUGGGAUUUAGUUUUUAAAAUUCUCAGGACCCUCCUGGAUAAUGGGAUUUAGCUUUAAAUCUCUCAAGACCCGCCUGAAUAUUCAAAUUUAGUUUAAAAAAUACUAAGGCCCUCAUGGGGGAUUUUGCUUUAAUAUUCUCAGGAUCCUCCUGGAUAAUGGGAUUUAGUUUUCAAAAUUCUCAAGGCUUUCGUGGAUAAUGGGAUUUAGUUUUCAAAAUUCUCAAACCUUCCUGGAUAAUGGGAUUUAGUUUGCAAAAUUCUCAGGACCCUCCUUGAUAAUGGGAUUUAGUUUUUUAAAUUCUCAGGACCCUCCUGGAUAAUGGGACUUAAGCUUUAAAAUUCUCAGGACCCUCCUGGAUAAUGUGAUUUAGUUUUCAAAACUCUCAGGACCCUCAUAGAUAAUGAGAUUUAGUUUUCAAAAUUCUCAGGACCAUCCUGGAUAAUGGGAUUUGGUUUUUAAAAGUCUCAGGACCCUCCUAGAUAAUGGGAUUUAGUUUUAAAAAUUCUUAGGACGCUCAUGAAUAAUGGGAUUUUGUAAUAAUUUUCCAAGGACCCUCCUGGAUAAUGGGAUUUAGUUUUAAAAUUCUCAGGACCCUCCUGGAUAAUGGGAUUUAGCUUUAAAAUUCUCAGGACCCUCCUAGAUAAUGAGAUUUAGCUUUAAAAUUCUCAGGACUCUCCUGGAUAAUGGGAUUUGGUUUUUAAAAUUCUCAGGACCCUCAUGGAUAAUGGGAUUUAGUAUUAAAAUUUUCAGGACCCUCCUGGAUAAUGGGAUUUAGGUUUUUAAAAAUUCUCAGGACCCUCCUAGAUAAUGGGAUUUAGUUUUUAAAAUUCUUAGGACGGAUAAUGGGAUUUAGUUUUUCAAAUUCUCAGGACCCUCCUGUAUAAUGGGAUUUAGUUUAAAAGUUUCAGGACCAUCCUAGAUAAUGGGAUUUAGUUUUAAAAUUCUCUAGACCCUCAUAGAUAAUGGGAUUUAGCUUUAAAUUUCUCAGGACCCUCAUGGAUAAUGAGAUUUAGCUAUAAAUUUCUCAGGACCCUCCUGGAUAAUGGGAUUUAGGUAUAAAAGUCUCAGGACCCUCAUGGAUAAUGUGAUUUAGUUAUAAGAUUAUCAAGACCCUCAUGGAUAAUGGGAUUUAGUUUUUAAAAUUCUCAGGACCCUCCUGGAUAAUGGGAUUUAGCUUUACAAUUCUCAGGACCGUUUGGAUAAUCGGAUUUAGUUUUUAAAAUUCUCAGGACCCAUUUGGAUAAUGGUAUUUAGCAUUAAAAUUCUCAGGACCCUCCUGGAUAAUGGGAUUUAGGUUUUUUAAAUUAUCAGGACUUUCUUGGAUAAUGGGAUUUAGCUUUUAAAUUCUUUGAGUUCUGUAGGUGAUAUAAUCCGAUUAACACUCACAAAUAUGCCCAGAUCCCAAAUUGGGGUAGAAAAAGUUUCUUUUGUUUUGUCUGUUUUGUUGUAGUAUCAGGCGCCCACCUGGAUAACAAGGGAAUACAUUUCAAGUCUUUGUAAUCAGGCGCCCACCUGGAUGACGAGGGAACAUUUCAAGUUUUUGCAAUCAGGCGCCCACCUAGAUAACAAGGGAAUACGUUUCAAGUUUUUUCAAUCAGGUGCCCACCUGGAUAACAAGGGAAUACAUUUCAAGUUUUUGGCAAUCACGCGCCCACUUGGAUAACAAGGGAAUACAUUUCAAGUUUUUUCAAUCAGCCGCCCGCCUGGAUAAUGAGGCAAUACAAUUCAAGUUUUGAAAAUCCGGCGCCCACCUGGAUAACGAGGGAAUACAUUUUAAGUUUUUGCAAUCAGGCGCCCACCUGGAUAACAAGGGAAUACAUUCCAAGUUUUGCAAUCAGGCGCUCAACUGGAUAACGAGGGAAUUAAUUUCUGAGCUACUUAAACUCAUAAAUUCAAGAAGCAUCAUGAGCCCGCCUGAAGAGCAGGGCCCGUUCUCAUUUUCAUAUUGAAGACCAAGUAGAGAUUCAAUAAAGUUUCAGGACAAGAAGUAGAUAGAUUCUUGUAUUUUUCUUUUAAUUUUGCUGUAAUUUUUCCCUUUUAUUUUUGAUGUAAUGGUAGGAACCGCGGACCGGAACCUCGACGGCACCUUAAUCAGCUCUCUACCUUGGUAUACUUCAUCAUUGUUCCUACUUCUAAACUACACGUCACCUGAUUCCUUUAUAACCAAGAUAUGUAGGCAGCUCAUAUACCAGGGCUCGGUCACAUUCCCUUUUCUCUAAAGUUUAGUCUCUCCAAAUAAGGGUCAGGUCAAAAAACAUGUCUAGUCAUUCUUUGUCUGAAAAUAUUUCGUAUUUCUAGUCAAAGAGGGGCAGUUGUAGACACGUGAUUUUUUACCCUCCCCGAAAUUUUACCCAAUUUUAGCUUAAAAUAUUCAAUUUAGGUUUAAUAUAGUUAUUUCAACUAAUUUUGGCUCUUUUACAUUACUUUAAGAAUAAAAUUGAAAAUUACAAAAAUAAUUCCAUAUUUCUCUAUUUAAUUUGCGUAUUGGAUAUUUUUAGGAUGAUAUUACUUUAAGUUUAUUUUUAUUCUAAUAUAAUCCUUAAAAAUGCCAAAAAUAGUUUCAAUUUAAUCUUAUUUUCAUUUUUUAAUAUUAAUAGUCUGUCAAAAUUAGCUAAGAGUUUUUUAUAAUAUUUUUUAGGUAUUUAAAUCGAUUUUUCAGUUUUUUGGACCCAAUUUAACACAUUUGGAAGCCCAAUCCCAUAAUCCCUUCAACCUAGCUGACCCACUACCCAGCAGCCCAAAUCCGCCCCCAAAUGACCCGCGACCCGCCCCGAUUUCAGUUUAAAAUCCUAGCCAUUUACCUUGUUCAAUCCAUCGGCUCAUUUCCCCUUUCCCAACCAAAUAUAAACAAAUUAUAACACUUCAAACCCUAAUUCCCCAAACCAAAAUAGCCGCCCACACCCUCACACCCCAUGGCUGCCGCGAACCCACGCCCAUACCACCAGAAAAUCCCGUGUUCCUCGAUGGUCCCCUCAUUCCACGUCACACACCCCGUACAAGGUUUCAUCAUUUCUACGUGUUUUCUUGCUCUCCAAGUUCGAAUCGAAUCAAUGGGAGUCGUAGAUUGAUUGAAUAUCAAUCUAAACCCUCCAUUUGUUCAAUUUCGAACUAUAAAGAGAGAAAUCAGAAGAUUUUUUUUUUUUNNNNNNNNNNNNNNNNNNNNNNNNNNNNNNNNNNNNNNNNNNNNNNNNNNNNNNNNNNNNNNNNNNNNNNNNNNNNNNNNNNNNNNNNNNNNNNNNNNNNNNNNNNNNNNNNNNNNNNNNNNNNNNNNNNNNNNNNNNNNNNNNNNNNNNNNNNNNNNNNNNNNNNNGGGGGUGGGUUGGAGAUUUGUUUUUUCGGACAGAAAUCGGAAGGAAAAAAAUCGAGAAGCAAUUAGGGUUCUAGGGUUCUUGAGGCUCGAUUCUGAUUCUUUCACUUUAAAUUUUCACUUCCAAAAAUACAAGAAAAACGAACAAAAAAAGGGGGAAGAAAAGAAUUAAUUGUUAUAUUCAGUUUCUGUUUUCAUUUUUCUUCAUGGAAUUCGUUGGAAGCGUGGUCAAGUACUGAAGGUUUGUCCGCCACUCGAGGUGUUCGUGUUCGCGUUCCUUGAUCCGGUCUCCUGCUCUGUUGCUUUAUCAUUGAUUCUGGAUCUUCACCAUUUGUUUUUCGAUGUCCACUUCAUCACCAAAUUUUCUUCUGUUGUAAAUCGAUUCUCACAAAGGAUAAUCGAAAGCUUUAUUUCUAGGUUCGUUUGAUUUCUCCUAUUCUGUUUUGGUGUUAUUGAAAAUAUGAUAAGAUCCAUGGCUAAGUAGUUUAAAGAUUGUUUCAAAGCUGAUAUGCUGGAAGUUAUUUCAGUAUUUUGUGUUGUGUGCGAUCCUUGAGAUGGAAUCUGGUUGAUUGCUACUAUGAAUGGUCUGAAAUUCGACUUCUGGCCUUUGCGUAUGCUUGAAACAUAGGCUUGGUGCUUUGUUCUUGUUGUUUGUAUCAUCUGGUGUUCUUUUCGCAUUAUUUCAAUAUAUCUAAGCAUGCUUAGCUAGUGAUAUUGGAGUGAUUAAGUUGCGACUCAAUUUUGGAUUGACUGGCGUGCGUUUCACAUGUUGAUGCUUCAGUCCAUUGGUCUGUAACUUGCUAGUCUUUUCUGAUAUGUGUAUAAAUCAAGCAUGUACUUAUGUAGAUCCAUGGACAAGUAAAUACCGAUCAAUUGUGUCGGUCUGCACUCAUUCAAUUCUCUCCUUGAUUUCAAAUUGCGUUUUGUUGGUGCUGGCAGAUGACAUAAAGGAUUGUUUUCCGGGCGAAAUCAUGAUUUGUUUUUGGAUUUGGUUAGAGCACUAGGCAGUAGUCACUUGUUUUCAUUUGAACACUUAACUCUAGAAGGUUCUGCUAAUCAAUAACCCUCCUUAUUAUCCAGCUAGAAUGAGCUUCCACACAAAAAAGGAUCUGUUGAUGUUCCUAGUAUCAAGCUAAGUAAAAGGUUAAUCUGAUUUUUUUUUAAAGGCAUGUGUUAAUUAACCCUAAACUUUGUUGCAUUGAUUGUUACGUGAUAGAUUCUCUUGUGGCUUACUUGAAUCCGUGAAUUGUUUCCCUGCAUGAUCAAUUGUGUCUCGAGUCUGGUAAAUCCUGAAGCGAGCUAGGUACGUUGAGUCGACACGAUUAAAAGGCAAGUUGGGACACUUGUUAACUGGUAGGUGGCUGGAAAUAUGACCAUUUAAUUUGUUGUUUUGUCUUCGUACCAUUUUAUUAGAAGUUGUGUUGGCUUUUCACUGAGUAAGCGGAAGUUGUAAAGUGUAAAAAUGAGCUUAAUUGUCUGCUAAGAAUUCCAGCUUUUAGGUUGUCAAAAGUGAAACUGGCGGCUUAUUUUCCUAGAGUGUUUACAGGAUCAUGAAUAUGAAUUGGUUACCUGACUUUGUAAAUGGGUUAUGUAUGAAAAUAUGCCCGUGUGGAGUGAGAUUCUGUUGCUUCUAAAAAUAGGUUAUGCAGUGUGCGAGACUGAUUUUCCAGGCAGUAAGUACAACUAAGAUUGUUUCUUGAGGAAUUUGUCUUAUAUUGGGGGUAAUUGUCGAAUUGGGGUGGGGGUAGAGGUGUGGGGGUUUCAGGAAGUGCCUAGAUAUGAAUUUCAUUGGUACAAAAGUUAUGGCUCUUAUCAUAUUUUAUCUACAGCUCCUUAACUUUGUUUCAUUUUUCUCUGUUCUGUUGAGUUUGAUGCAUAUCUCGUUUCUUGUUAUUUCUGGAUGUGAUGCUAUCGUUGUGAUGUUUGGUUUCGAGGCGAGAGAUCGUCCCCUAGUUAAAUUUAUCCGGGGGAUGCCCCGUGAAGUUUGUAUAUGUUAGUUUAUUGCAUAUCUCAUUUCUUUCUUGUGCUUUCUGGAUGUGAUGUUGUCUUUGUGAUGUUUGGUUUGGAGGCGAGAGAUCGCCCCCUAGUUAAAUUUAUCCUGGGAAUGCUCCGUGAAGUUUGAAUAUAUUAUUAUCCGGGGUAUUGCCCCGAAGUAUUUGUAAUUGGAGACGGAAAGUAGAACCAUUAGUAUUUUUAUUUUUAUCACUUUUGAUUUUUCUUUCAAUAGGUGGGGACGACCUCGAGCCUCUUGUGUGUUUAUUUUCCGUUUCUAUGUUUUCUACCUCAAUUGAAUAUUUUAAUAGCCAACUUGAUCAUGUAUGCAACCGUGAACUUCACGGGACUUGGGGAAUGCCUAACACCUUCUCCCCGAGCCAAAUGAACCCCUUAGUCUUGAGUCCAAAUAUUUUAAAAGGAAACGGUAUUUUAAAAAUGGUGACCUGGCACACCAAAAAUCAAUGUCAGGUGGCGACUCUGAGUUUAUUUCCUUUUGAAACACAAUUUUUGUCACUUUCAAGAUUGAAAAUCCUUUUCAAGCUUUUAUUAAUUCUUUUUAUUCAUUUAAGAGGAUUUAAUUGAAGUUUGUGUUAAAAAAGGGGUGUGACAGGCGUGCCACACGAUCCCAUAGUAUAUAUUCAUAAGUGAUCGGCACGCCACACGAUCCCAUUUCAUAAAUCAUAAGUGGACGGUGCACUGCACGAUCCCAUAUCAUAGUUCAUUACUGGACGGCACGCCACACGAUCCCAUAUCAUAGUGGCUAAUACAUAUCGUCUUUCUAGAGGAGGCCCCAUUAUGGAAGUUCAACAACAUAACGAUUUAACCCGGCAAGGGUACAACUAAUAGCCCAAAUAUCCCGGCAAAGAAGCAACAACAAUAAUAGACUACGUGUCCCGGCAAGGGAAAUAAUCACAAAAACUUUCUCUUUUAAUUACUUCUUUCUCAAUUAUCAAACUCUAGUUCGAGGCAACACUCCAAUGAUAUAUCAAUCGCAAUUUUUCCUCAACAUAUAUGAAACUUACCAAUUAGACAAGAAAGAUGUAUCACAAAGUCUAAAUCAGACACAUUUAAGACCCACGGUCAUGCUAGACUCUGGUGUAUAGAUAACGGUCACCAUGCCUAUACAUCGUACUGCUCAUUUAGCAAUUAGCAAAUAAUAUUUUAAUCAUAUUCCCUCUAACCAAUGUUAGAACAAACACUUACCAUGGUCCAAGAAUAGCAAUCAACUCUCUAGUACCGCCUUUCCUCAACAAUCCGACUCCGAAACAACGAUAUCUAAGCAUAAUCAAUUCAAUAAUAUCAAUAAAUGCUCAAAAAUAGAAUUUCAUAGUCUAGAAAUGAAGUCCCUAGCAUUCUUCCAAAAAUAUCAAAAUUCAAUCCCGGGCCCACAUGGUCCAAACUCGAGGCUCGGACCAAGACCCGCUCACUCAUAACCCUACGAGCUCAAAUAUAUAAUUUAUUUUAAGAUUCGACCCCAAUUUGAGGUUGAAUCACCCAAAAUCCCCAAAACCCUAACUCUACCCAAAAACCCCCAAUUUCUACUUUGAAUUCAUGAUUUAGGGCUAAGAAAUUAGUGAUUAGUUGGAGAAAUUAAGAGAAGACGAGGUUAGGAACACUUACCUAUGAAGCUAUGGAGGCAGAACUAUUCAAAAUUCGUCUAUGGAGGGUUCUAGAGAAUAGCUCGUGUGAGAAUAUGAGAAGAUCCCAUAAUGGCUACAGUUUUGAACAUUUUAAAAAACUGGGCAAAAAUGCUCUAUGCGAUCGCGAGGAAAGGAGUGUGAUCGCAUAGAGUAAAGGGAACUAUGCUCUGCGAUCGCAUGAGUAGAAGUGCGAAUGCAUAGAGGAAAAAGGGAGUCAAAGGUUCUGGUGGGAUUUAAUGCUCUGCGAUCGCGGAUGAAGUGUGCGAUCGCGUUUAAAUGGCUGGCCAAACUAUGUGAUCGCGGAUCAGAGGUUGAGAUCACAUAGAGAAAAAUGGGGCAAAGAAAAAUUACCACUAUGCGACCGCGGAUAGGUCUAUGCGAUUGCAUAGACACCUGUGUAAAAAUUGCAGAAAAUCUGCUAACUUCCUAAGGUCAAAAACACCUCGAACCACCUCCGAAACACUCCCGAGCCCUCCGGGCUCCCAAUCAAACACAUACACUAACACAAUAAUAUCCUACGAACUUAGUCGGGCGAUCAAAUCGGUAAAACAACAUCAAAAUCAAAGAAUCACGCCCCAAAAUCAUCAUUUCUCAUUCUAGUUUCAAAAACUCUCAUCUUUAGAUAUUUAGGUCCGAAAUACGUCAAACGACGUCCGAUUUCGAUCAAACUUCACAAAAAACGCUUAACAUAUAUUUAAGACUAGUACCGGAUGCCAGAACUAAAAUAUGGGCAUGAUACCUACAUUUUCUAACUCAUUUUCAUUUCAAAAUUUCAUAUCAUUUUCAGAAGAACAAUUUCUUUCAAAAAUUCAUUACUCGGCUCGGGACCUCAGAUUUCGGUUCCGGGAAUAUGCGCGAGUCCCAUAUUUUUCUACGGACCCUCCGGGACAGUCACAUCACGGUUCCAUAUCCGUUUAUCUAAAAUGUUGACCAAAAUCAACUUUAACAAUACUAAUAUCAAAAUUCAUCAAUUGUUUUUCACAUAACUCACAUAUUUCUACAUAAAAGCUUUCCGACUACGCGUUCGGACUGCGCCCGCAAAUCGAGUCAACUAAAAGUGAGAUUUUCAAAGCUUCGGAUACACAGAAAAGAAAGAAAUCCGGUGAUGACCCUUUGGGUCGUCACAGUACCCAGUUUGUAGAUAUAUUGUAGAUUAUUUGUAUUCUAAUUGUAGAUGCUUUGUUUUCUGUUUUCACAAAUCAAAAACGACUAAAACUUCUACAAAUCUUCUGCAAACAACGCAAUUAUCUCGAAAAUUCCAAUUAAACUACAAUCGGAUGGAAUUUGGGAUAUUAAAAUUCAAUAUAUCAGUUUGUAAAUAUUUUGUAGAUGGAUUGUAAAUUAUUUGUAUUCUGAUCGUAAAUGUAUUGUUUGUAAAAUAACUUCAAUGACUAUAUGGGGUUAAAUUGGACGAGCCCCCACAUCGAUGGAGGGCUACAAUUCUUGGAGUUCAUAUCUGCAAUAAAUAACAGAAAAAGCCUAUUAAUUAAUUAACAGAUAACUUGUGUAUUUUAGGCUUGAAGAGUCAAUGGAACUAUGAUGACACAAGUGAUUACCAAAGUUUUAGAAAGUGAUUAGGAGACAAAAAGUGUAAUGGAAUUAGUCAUUGGCUUAUAAUUUCGAUCAUAUGAAAUGGUAAUAUUCAAAGUCAGAAAGAUAUUCUAAUAUUUGAUAAUGCAAUAUAUAGUGAAAAGUUCAUAAGUAGAGAAUCCAUUUGGAGAAUCGUUGAUUAUUCUCUGUUGCAAGAAGCAUAUGCACCACCUUUUGUCUCUCGUCUAUCAUUUCUACUAAAAUGGCGAUUCAUUAUCGGGUGCGAGUGAGAGUUUUGGAGAGAAAAAUAUGGGAUAGUUGGAAUAUAUGGUACCUUGAAUUAAGGAGGGAUAUACGCUAUAUUAAUUGUACUCUUAAAAUACAUUAUGUUAUAAAAUUAAUAAUUUGAUAUACUAAGUAUAAUUAAAUCAAACCUUAAACAUUGAGCGAAUAAGAUUUCCUUUUUAGCAUAGGAGUGUAAAAGUUCCCUAUUUUUAACUGUCGUACUUUUAAUUAGUGAUGGUAUUUACACCAGUCUAUAUGUUAACACAAAACUUUGAGUAACAAAUUGAGCCGUAUACCUAACACACCUACCAUAAUAUUUAAUCAGAUAUUUUGGCCAUGCUACGAGAACAAGAAACAAUACCCAACAACCUUGAAAAUUGGUAGUCUUGCACUUUUGACCCCUGCUUGCCCCACUGGCAAACCUUCAAUGCCAAAAGUUAAAAGUUAAACUUAAAAUUUUAUCCAUGACACAAGCGGGGUCACAAGUUCAAAAUCACUUAUUUCCAAGGCCAUUAUCCACUUUUUAGAGAGAAACUAUCUUCUAUAGCCCCUUAAAAUUUAAAUAGCUUAUAUUUUGUACCACUUUCAAAAAAUAGCUCUUCGGCCCAAAAGUAUUGGAUAUAGUAGCCGAAAAGAAUGAGUAUGGCAACAUAAAUGCCUGUAGCUCAGUGGAUAGAGCGCAUAUUUCUUAAGCUGAAGGUUGUAGGUUCGACCCUUACCUGACAUGAUAGAGCAACCUUUUUUUGCAAUGUAUAAAUAUUAUGUCCUAAGUUCGACAGUGUAUCCUUGCUGUAUAUUGAGCCUAUGUCGAUUGUGCAAGUGUAUAUAAUUGUGUAUCCCAAAUAUAUUUUGUAUUGUGAAUAUAUAAUCUUUCUGAACAAUGUAUCAAAAUUGUAUAUUAUGUGUCUUUUUUAAUAUGUAAUCAUAAUGUAUAAAUUAAAUACAAUUUUUUAUGUGUAAUGUGUGCACACCAUGUAUUUGGAGUGCAUCAUGUAUUUUUGUAUAGUAACAGUCUUUUUAUAUAUAUUUUAUAUAUUUACAUCUAUUUUGUAUAUAAAUUGUAUAGUUACAUAUAUUGUUGUAUGUAUUUUGUAUAGUGACAGUCUAUUUUGUAUAUAAAUUAUUUUGUGACAGUCUAUUUUGUAUAUAAAUUAUAUAGUGACAGUCUAUUUUGUAUAAUUUUUGUAUAAUACCAGUUUAUUUUGUAGAUAUUUCAACUUUUUUCAUAGUCAUCUCUUCUGUUCUUCCUCUUAUUGAGAUACCAACCACUGGCGUCCAUGGCUUCACAGUUGCCGAAAAUGGUAACAAGAUAGCCGAAGUUUUAAAUUUUUAGCCAACAAUUUUCAGAAUAUUAUCUACAACUCCCGAAGCUCAUAUCUGCAAUUAAUCAAAAUAUGAAGUCUAGUUCGAACAGAUGACUUGUGCCUUCAAGACUUCAAGGCUUAAGGAGUCGACAAAACUAUGUCAUAUCAGAUGAUGGCCAAAUUAUCAGAAAGCGACUAAGAUAUCAAGAACUUAGUAGAAUAAUGUACACUAAUUAUUUGACUCAUUGAAAACAGUGAUCCUCACAUUAGAAAGGAAAUUAUAACAAUAUGGAAUUGGACCUCCCUCAAAUAGAUGGAUCUGAGACUGAUAUUAGACCCGACCAUCCAGAACCAGGAGAGGAUGAUGAAUGCAUUUACAAAUUUCAAAUAUAGAUUCCUCUUCUAACCCUCAUCGACGGCGACUGUUCCACAAUAUUGAUAUGCUAUUCCUCUCCUCCAUCAUCUCUAUUUCUUUUGUUUUAAUGUUGAUUUAAAGUCCAGCUCUUCUUAGAUCUGGCCGGUUCUAGGAUUUUUCGGUAUUUUGUUGUUCGUCUGUUCUAGGAUUUUCCGAUGAGGAAAUUUGAUUAGUAAAGUUUUCGGCUAGUAAUUUUCAUUAUUUUUAGGCUAUGUAUGAGUUAUAUAGGUUAAUUUGUGGGCUACUGGCUGCUAUUUGCUUUGCCCGAUGGGCUAUAAAUGAAGCUCUCUUUUUAGUGUUCCGUCCCCAUUUGAAAUGCAAUUAAAAAUAACUAUUUUUCAGUUUUAAAAAAAUGUUUCUAUUCCUUUUCAUUUGAAAGGGACAGAGACCCACUUGUUCAAAGGUGAAAUUCCAACAUAUUGCAUAUGAAUUCGAAACUCCUUUAUUUGAAGCUCCAGUAUAAUGCAUUGCAGUUCUGGAGUUCGAAUUUCUAUAAGAGAAACUCUAGCAUACCGUGCUUGAGUGGAUCAUGAAUUGUUUGAGUUCGAACAUUAAUACAAUAUCCUGGUGCUUCACUUUACCUUUAAAGGUUCAAACUUAAGAUAUUAUUCUAUUCAUGAAAUUAGCCUAUUAUUUUCUCAAAUAUUGUUUAAGUUCGAACACUAGUACAAUAUCCUGGUGCUUCACUUUAUUUUUAUAGGUUCAAACUUAAGAUAUUAUUCUACUCAUAAAAUUAGCCUAUUAUUUUCUCAAGUACCACUACAAUCCAUGAAUUCACCCCAUUAUAAUUUUCUUUGUACAUUCAAUUAGUAUAUUAGACCUGCGACCAACAUCUCUUAUAUGAAUAACAUAUCACGUAUAGUCAUGGAUAUAUAUCAUUUAAUCAACACAUAACAAAUUAGUCCAAUUUCAAUUGAUAAUUCACUUUCUAGCAUUAUUAUUAGGAUAUUUAUUUUUCUUUACAGCUUUUCUAGCUAGUUAUUCAUGUUUUAGCUGAUUCAGAUAAUGUAGACCCAGUUUGGUAGAUAAAGCUUCCAUGCAUAACUUUGUUUAACAUUAUGCUUUCUUUAGUAAGUUCCCCUAAAGGAGAAGCAAAAUCUCCUUCUCCAGAUCCACUCAUACUACAUCAAAGGACAAUCAAUGGAGACUAUGAAUAUCCCUCAACUAGCUAGUUGGAUUGUAACAAAAAAAAAAUUUAAGCAAGGGAGUAUAUUAGACAGAUAUAGGGUACUACACAGGCAAGGUCAGCUUAGGGUUAGGCACCCAAAUAUUUAAGGCCCCAAAAAUAAAGAAUCACUAUAAUAUUAUUAUAUAUUAAUAUAUACUCCAUAAUUUAUAUUUAUAUAAUUAUUAAUAAAAGAUUUUAAAUUAUAAUAAUUUUUAACAAUUGGUUGACGUAAGAUUGAGUAAUUUAAUUGGAUAAGUGUUUUUCACUAAAUUAAAUAAUAUAUUUACCUUCUCAUUAAUUUUAUUUUUCUUCCUUUAUGUGUAUUUAUUUUUCAUGGUUUUCACGAUUUUAUUUUCUAUUUUAAACUCAAAUUCUCUAAAUUAACUAUUUCUUUUUAUCAUAUUUGAUAGAUCCACAUACUAGAAUGCAAGUUCUUUUGUGUCUUAUCUUUUUAACUAAGAAAUCCCCGAGACAAGUAUUGCAAGAUUCAAAACAUGAUGGAUAAUGGGUUUGCCCUUUACCCUUUUUACUUAAGGGAAGAAUUCAAUACCAUAUGAUGUGUGGCUAACUCAUACAUCAUGAAUUGCGCUCUGACCACUAGAUCAAAGUUAUGUUGGUUUUUUUAUGUCUCAAUGUUAUAUGAAUUUUAUAAAAGUAGUUUUAGGGUCUGAUUAGUUUUAGGCCACCAGUUCUGUUGAGCCGCCGAUCAUUGACGAUCGUCAAUUAUUUACGGACUAUUGCCACCACAAAUGUACUAUUCGACCAAUUUUAUUCACAUUUAGUAACUGAACGACGCACUCAUUGUCAUUAAUUUUCUUUUCAUUGUUGUCUUAUCUUAAGUGAGACUCUAUAAAUUUGAUUGAGAAUGUCAGGGGAGGACAAGUGGCUCUAGAAGAAUACUAGUAAAACCUUAAUUUAGGUCUCCUAAAAUUUUUAGUAAUGAAUUUUAUAAUUUUAUUUUAAAUUAGAUAAUAUAAAUAUUUGUAGAAAAAAGAUUACAAAAUUCUCUAAAGAAAAAGAAAGAAAAGUGUUUACUCUUUAACAUUAAAAAAAAAUUAAAAACUUUGAAUUAAACUACUUAGAUCUUUAUAUUAGUAAAUAUAUUUUUUUCAAUAAUAUCAAAGGUAACAUAUUGCAAAUAUAUGUCUAACAUCUCAUUUAUGUAAAUUAUUCUUUUCUAAUAUAAAUAAUAAUAUUAUUAUGUGAAGUUAAAGACUUUAUAUUAUUAAAAAUACAUAUUAUAAAUAACAUGUAUAAAAAAAUGGUAAGAUUAUUAUUAUUAUUUUUUUUGCAUAUAUGUGUAUACGUACUAAUCAAAAAAGUAUAAGGCCUCUUACUAAAUUUAAAUUUAGCCCACUAAUUUUAUGGAUUCACCUUUAUACAUAGGGCAACAAAAGACAUCGUGGAAAGUAUUGGCUGGUAAAACUGAAGGUAGACCAAACGGCUAUUUUUACUAUGUGGCUACAGCUUCAUGAUGAACUCAGUACAAUUGCUCGUUGUGUAUGAUGUUCCUACUGUCAACCGGAAAGAAUAACCCACCAAAUGUGCAUUUGCAAGAAGUCUAUGGGAGAAGAAUAAAGGCAUGCAUGGUUGUAAAUGCCUAAUUUUGGCUCUUUUCUUUUUUUCUUUCAUGUUUAUUAUGUGUGUAUGUGUAGGUUGUCGGAGUUUGAUUGUAAUUUAAUGAAGAAGGGAAUAAGAGUUUGGGCUGGCUUCAUUUUUCAAUUGAAUGAGACAAAAAAAAAACUGAACCAAAUCAGUGGCCUAAUGAAACUAAACCGGUCCAAAAAUUGUUGGCAAAGACUUAGUUCAAAAUGGCGUAGUUUCAUGAUAAAAUUAUGUCGUUUCAUUAAGUGAACCUGGUUCAAAUCUCAGCCCAUCAUCUCUUCCUCAUCCAACAACCAUCAUUUGAUCUCUCCCCUAGGUAUUUAAGACCUAGAGGGACCAAAAUUUUGGCCCAUUUUUCCUUUAUUUCUUUCCUUCUUCCUCUCUCUUCACUCUGCGUUCUCUCCCCGUUAGUUUCGCCCACUACCUCAUUGCUCCGUCAGCGAAAAUCGCUCGCCUACGGCGACCGUCAUCUAAACCACCCCAAAAUCGCACCAUACAAUCAUGUUAACCUCAUAUUUCCAAAUCUCCACCCAAAUUCCUCAAAACCCACUCAAUUGCACAAUGUUUAGAUUAGGAAACCCUAGCCGCCACUUUUUUUGUCCAAAUUCGUGAAGCUCCAGCCACUACCACCCUAUAACACAUACAUGAAUGGAUAGAGAUCAACGAUACCUACACUUUCCCUAAUUUCACCUAUAAAUAUUGUUGUCCACCACUGCUCCAACGACGCUCAAUGGCCCUAACUCCCAUAAAAUUUAUACCUUUCUCCUCCUCUUUUCUUUUUCUUUUCCUUUUCUUAUCUCCAACCCAAAACCACCACUGUGUAAUACCCCCAAUCCUUGCAUCUUUGUUUCAGUCCAUGAUGACAUCCAUAUCUACUGCUAAAAGGUAAAUGGACACAAUCACAUGCAAUAUAAUUUACUCAACUGUGAGUUGGGAUCGAAUCCCACGGAGAACAAUAUGUAGGCGAUUAGGAAUGUAAGAGAAUAUUACGUGUUAUGCAAUGCCAAACACUUAGAAUUGUUUUUAGAAAAUAUUUAUACCCAAAUGCAAAAAUAGAAACUAAUCUAGAAAGCAUGUAAAAUGAUCAAUGGCUAACAGAUUGAUGCAUUGGGAAUUACACUCAAGUAACGAUCCAAAAUAUUUUACUAUUUUACAAAUAUGCACGAGUUUAUGUUAAUUAGUCUGGGUAAUAAUUCUGUAUUAGCUUUUUCCGAAGACUAACAAGACUUUCUAAUUGAAUUUUCCUAACACAAUUAAGAUCUUACGAACACCCGAUUAUGGCUACAAGUAGUUCAAUAUAUCCCUAGGUAGAAUCUAUAAAAUGAGGGUUAUAGACUCAAGUUCUUGUUAAUUAAUCUUUCCCAACCCCAAAUAAUCUUUCCCAAAAUUAAUUCAAAGUUAAUGGGCGAGUCCUAAGGUUAGCUAAUUCCUUUGAAAAUAUUAAAGAACAAGAAUAAUUAAAGAAAUAAUAACUCCCUUGAUAAAAGAUAAAAUAAUUCAAUACAUAAGCACAACAAGACAUUUAAUUCACACUUUAAAUAUGAAUAUUUCCAAAUAUAAGAUUCAAGUGUUGGAUAAAAAAUUACGCACUUAAAUAUACAAUACGAAGCAAGGAAAUGAAGAAAUGAGCAUAGAUGAGUGAAAAAUUCUUAACCAAAAGCUUUAAAUCUUCAAGACUCAAGUGUGUGUGCAAGAAUCCUAGCUCUGUCACGACCCAGAUUUUUCACCAUCGGGAGUCGUGAUGGCACCUACUGUCGGAGAUAGGCAAGCCAAACAUCACAAUAAUUCUGCUGAUUUAUUUAAACAAUUAUAAUAAACUGAAACAAUAAUUUAAAAUUAAGCGAAAGACUUUUAACAAAAACGAAAUCAUAAUGCGGAAGUUUAAAACAUAUCUACCCAAAAUCCGGUGUCACUAGCUCCGGACUACUAAAGAGUGCUACAAGCAAGUCUGAAUGGAAAUACAAAAUAUUUGUCUCGCUACAAAGAAAACAAACUAAACCUAGAAAAGGACUCUGACCUGCGAACGUCAUCUAGGCUACCUCGAACUUCCUGGACUCAAGUCAACUCCCGAUAGAAUAGGCUAUUGCUGUGAUCCAGAAGAUGCUAUGGUACCGUAAUCUGUGCAAAAAACACAGAAGUGUAGCAUCAGCAAAACCAACCACAUGCACUGAUAAGAGUCUGGCCUAACCCCGGCAAGGUAGUGAUGAGGCUAGACAGGACCUAUCACAAAUAACAUGUACAGAUAUAUGUGCAAUAAAAGGAAAAUAUUCCUAGUUUAAACAAGUAAUAGGGAGGGGGCAUGUUGUAGGGUGUAACAAUUCAAAUAUAAGAUCAACAAACAAAGAGAUGGAACUGGUCAAAUAACAUCAAUAUAAGAGAACAUGUAAAUCAACAACUGCACGGCACCAACCUUCGUGCUUUUGCUCUCAUUCUCACCAAAACAGUCAAAUACAGUGCACGACAUCCCCCUUCGUUCUUUUCCUCACAUAACUCUCCUAUCAAGGCACAGAACAACUCUUCGUGCAUAAUUAUCAAAACAUGGCAUGGAAUGACCCUUCGUGCAUAAUUCUCAAAACAUGGUACGGAAUGACCCUUCGCGCAUGAAUAUCAAAACAUGACACGGAAUGACCCUUCGUGCAUAAUCAUCAAAACAUGGCAUGGAAUGAACCUUCGUGCAUAAUUGUUCUUCCUCAACCAAUCAACAGUCACAACCAAUCGGGGGAGGGGAUAAACAACAAUAUUAAACAUCCCGACAAGGUAGAACAAAUCAACAAAUAAGUCCCAACAAGGGAAUAAUACGACACUUCCUCCUUUAACUCAUUUCUUUCUCAACUACCACUUCAUAUGAAAUUAUCUAAUAAACAACACAAUUGUAUCCCAUCUUUCGUUAAAAGCAAUUACGACUCAGGGUCAUGCUAGACUCCGGUGCAUAAAUAACAUUCACCAUGCCUAUACACCGUACUUCACAAUUAACACGUAGAAAAUAAUAUCCUUAUCCUAAUCCUAAUCCUAAUCCCUCAAGCCAAUGUUGGAACAAACACUUACCUCGAAAGCUCCAAACUCAACUCACGCCUCUAGAAUAGCUUUACCCCUUUAAUUCGACACAAAACCGCUCGAAUCUAGUCACAAAUUACUCAAACGUAUCAAUAAAUGCUAGUUACAUCAAUUUGAAUGCAUAAGAAUGAAUUUUCCAAAGUUUUGCCCAAAAAUUUACAAAACGCCCCCAUGCCCACGUGGUCAAAACCCGAGAUUCGAAUCAAAUCGGGUUACCCAUUCCCCCACGAGUUCAUAUCUAUAUUUUAUUUUGAAAUCGGACCUCAAAUUGAGGUCCAACUCCACAAUUUAUAGAAAACCUAGGUUCUACACAAAAAUCCCAAUUUCACCCAUGAAAAUCCUUGAUUUCAAGUGGAAAACAUGUUUAAUGAUAUUAAAGUUUGAAAGAAUCGAGUAAAAAUCAACUUACAAGUGAUUUGGGAUGAAGUUUGCUCUUGAAAAAUCGUCUAUGGGGUUUGGGUUUUGUAAGAAUGUUGAAAAGUGAUAAAAUUUUGACUAAGUAUAAAAAUUGAUUGGCUCGGUUAUGGAAAUUGCGAACCUUGGUUCGUAAUUGUGAGAAACACAUGCUUGGAAAUUGCGGAGGAAAUCGCCUAUGGGGUUUGGGUAUUGAAAUAAUGGUGAAAAGCGAUGAAAUUUCAACUAAGUCUACAAAUUGCUGGGCUGCGGUUGUGGGAAUUGAAAAACCUAGGUUGGAAAUUGCGAGAAACACAGGCUUGGGAAUUGCGGGGUUGAGGUUCGCAUUUGCAACCCCUUAUCACAUGGCCAGUUUUCGCAUUUGCGAGAAAAAGAUCGCAUUUGCGCUGGUGCCCGAAAUUUCCGUGGUUCGCAUUUGCGAACAAAUGGAUCGCAUUUGCGAUCCUAUACAAAUAUCCCCAGCUUUGCAUUUGUGAAUAAAUAUUUGCAUUUGCGAAUAUCGCAUAAUCCAGCAUACCAGAUUUUGAAAAAUGAGAAAAAUGCAAUCGGAUGCCUAUCUAAAACUCACCCGAGCCAUCAGGGCUCCAACCCAAAUAUACACACAACCUAAAAGGUAUCCCACGGACCUACUCGUGCGAUCAAAUCACCAAAAUAACAUUAAGAUCUAUGAAUCAAGCCUCAAAAUCAUGAUUUUUCUUCUAAGUUUCAUAAAUUUUCAAAUUUGGAACUUAUAGUCCGAAAACGUCAUACGACGUCCGUUCUCAACCAAACUUCACAGAAAGCGCUUAAACAAUAUAUGGGACUUGUGCCAGGCAUCGCAACUAAAAUACAAGCCCGAUACCAUAGCUUUUUAAUCUAUUUUCGUUUCCAUUCUCCUUAAUAAAUUCAGAAAAACAAUUUCUUUAAAAAAUGUAAUAUUCGGACUAGGGACCUCAGAUUUCGGUUCCGCAAAUACGCCUGAGUCCCAUAUUUUUAUACGGACAUCUCGGGACUGUCACAUCACGGUUCCGGGUCUGUUUACCCAAAAUGUUGACCAAAGUACACUAUAAUAAUGUUAAUAUCAAAAGUCUUCUAAUUUUCUACAGAAUUCACAUAUUUCAACAUAGAAAUUUUCCGCUUCGUGCCCGGACCGUGCACACAAAUUGAGUCAACUAAAAGCAAGGUUUUCAAGGCCUCGAAAACACAUAAAAAGGGAGAAUUACGGUGAUGAUCUUUUGGGUCGUCACAAGCUCCAAAACUUGUUCUCUCUAGUCCAAAGACCGAAAAUUAAGGCAAAGAUGUUUUACAAAUGAGAUAAGUCGGGAAUUAAAUGAUUUGGGGUAAAACAUUAUGAUAUCACAGAAGUACUCAGAGCUGAAGCGCGAUCUUUGCAUUUGCGAAGGUUGACUGCCUUGUUUGACCUUCACAUUUGCGAAGGUUGACUGCCUUAUUUGACUUCGCAUUUCCGAACUUAGCUUGACUUUGCAUUUGCAAAGCCAUUUGUUCACAUUUGUGACCUCUAUCUGCUUCGCAUUUCCCACAGCUUUGUCGCAUUUGCGACAUCUGAGGCCAUUUUCCAAAUUUUCUUCUUUUCAGCUUGUUUUUGACUCGUAUUCACUUAGUUUCUUCAAGAUCACUUUUAAAUCAUGUAGAACCCGUAAUGUAGAAGUAAACGACAUUAAAUACAUGAUUUUAUCAUGCAAACAUAGCAAAACUCUAAGAUGAAAGACAUGAUAAGUUGGUAAAAUACCAACUCAUCAAACUCCACAAACUUAAACUAUUGUGUGUCCUCAAGCAGUGAAAGCGAUAAAAUCUCCUUCCAAGUAUUUAACUCAAUAGUGCAUCAAUAUCAUGCCAAGUCAAAAAGGUCUACCGCGAUAUUAAAAAGUCCACUCCCGAUCAAACUUCCCAAAAUCUUUCAACUUUCGCCAAUUCACACCGAAUUGACCUACGGAUCUCCAAAUAAAAAUCAUGACACGCUUAUAAGAUCAAAAUCACCAUAUGGAGCUACUCCAUCUAUCAAAACUCUAUUCUGGGGUCAUCUUCACACAAGUCAAACUACGGUCAACCCCUACGACUUAAACUUCCAACUUAAGGACUAUGUAUCUCAUUUCACUCUGAAGCUCCCUCGAACCCGACUCCAAGCACCCCGGUAAGUCACAUAGCCACAAUAUAACAUAUAGGAAGCAUAAAUUAGGGGAACGGGACUAAAAUACUCAAAACAACCGGCCAAAUCGUUACAUUUAGUCAAGUAUUUUAGUCAAUUGAAAAACACUUACUCAUAUUUGAAGAUGAUUCUCUUCAUUUUUUAUUUAUUUUUUCACAAUACUUUAUUGUACAUUUAAGACAAUCCAUUGUAGUGAUUCUUUUAUUUUAACAAUAAAUUAACUUUUUAAUAUUUAUUUAAACUCUUUUAGAGCAUCUCAAUUGUUAAUACACAUUCCUUAUUUGAUUUAAUCACUCUAUUAUCACAAGAAAGAUUCUUUAUGGAUAAUUUCUUUCUUAUUCUCCAAUAUCUAUACUCUUCUUACUUUAUUUGAUUAUUUCUUUUGACUUAAUUGUCGGUUACUUUAUUCAAAGAAUAAUUCUUUACCAUUCUAUUAUAUGUAUUCAAUUAAGAUUAAUCUUGUAUAGUUAAAUCACACGACUUAAAUUAUAAAUUGAAGUUUCCUUUCUAUCUUAUUUCGAAUCCAAUUCUUUCAGUUAAACACCAAAAAGAUUUUUCUUUAUUAAUUUACUUUGCAUAUCCUAUUGUAUAUAUUUCACCACAAAUAAAAUGGUCAUGCUUUGAAUAUUUACUCAAUACAUGACAAUUGCAUUGGCUACACUUUGGUAGGAAUUCUUUGUAAAAUAACUAAUUAUUCUUUUGAACCUUCCCUCUCUUAUUUGAUCGAGUCCACCGGAAUCACAUUUUAUGAAUCUUAGGGGAUGCCUAACUGAUAUUCGACAUUAUUCUAUAUAUUCUGAUAGUAGUUUGACCUCAUUCUCAAGUGUUCUUGAAUUUUUUAAUGGUUAAAACUUACCAAAAUUGUGCCUAAUUGAUACUCUUUGGUUGAUAGGGAGUUGAAAGAAGUAUUGAAGGAAUUUUUAAAAUUUUGGGACGAAAAUCUGCUCAAAUUAAAGAAAAGGAAACAGUGCAAAAAUAACGCAUUUCCCUAUAUGUUUGCUCAGUGUGCGCUCCUCUGGAAAAGGUCAAAUACAGAGUGCAUGGUGCGCGUGCAUUACGAACCUGGCUCCCGAGCAUAAAUUUCAAUGUGAAAAUUAUAAGGUUAUUUUGGCCUUUGGAGAAAAUCUGACACGAUAUAAAAGCUUCUUUUUUCCUCCCCCGUUGCUAUCUCGACCUGAAAAGCAGAGAACACUACUUUCGAAGCAAGUAAGGGCUUGGAAGAGUCCAAAAAUCAUCCUAAUUGAAGAUUUAAAGAGUUUCUCUUAACUUUUCUUAUUUUUUGUUUAUUAUGGAGAUUGUUUUGAGAAUAAUCAUUAAGGUUUUUAGUACAAAUAUGAGUAGCUAAAUUCUCUAUCUAGGGUAUUGAUAAACUCGUUGUUGGGCAUUUUUGAGUAAAUAUUCCUGAAUCGUUGAUACUUAUUCUAUUUGUUUGGUUGCGAUUUCAAUAAAUUCAAUUAUUUGAGAUCGCAACUGCUUAUGCCCUAUUUCUUUUUAUUCUUGGGAAAGAUUGACAAGGUUGGAUCAGUCAAAUGGGCUGAAUUAAUGAAUUACAUGACCCAGUUUAGAAUCGUUAUGGGGACAUCAAGAUUCGACUGUGACCUAGAAUUGGAUGACUUUAUUAUCUUGAUUAUUUUGAAAAAAAUUGUUCAAGAAUGGUGUCGUUGGUAGUUGGAAAACUCUAGCGAACAAAUUUAGGUCCAAGGUUGGUAGAAUAAUGUCAAAUAAAGUUUCAAGAUUCAACCUAGAGUUAGCUCGGCAAUUGGGAGAUUCUGUACCUUAGGCCUUUUUAUCAUCUACAAAUUUUUAAAGUUAUUCUCGACUGAUAGUUUAGUUUGUUGUUAGUUAGUCGAAUCUUAUUCAUUAGUUAAUGUCCACAAAAUUCAAGUACAUUGUUCCCUCUUGAUCAACUUAGAUUAUUUCGCAAUUGAGUCAAUUAGAACGCUUCAUAGCUUCCUCUGGGAUUCGACCAUGACUCAUCGUUGGGUAAAUUAUAUUCAAUACAACCAUAGAAUAUAUCUUAUCGAGGUGUGUUUUGGAUGCCAUCAAUUUUAAUGUCAUUGCUGGGGAGCUACCAGUUUAAGUUUUUGUUGAUAAAUAAAAUUUUAAGUGUUCAAAAUUGAAGUUUUUAUAUUAAAUUACCGAGUGUUUAGGUUGUUUGGGAAGUAAGCAUACGUACUUUGUUUCAAACUUAUGAAUAUUUGUGUCGUCGUUUUUCUUAUCUUUCUUUGUUUCUUUUUUAUUUUUUGUUUAUUUUCUUAGUUUUUUUAAAAUAGCAUCACACAAUAAAAAUUGGUCGGAUGAUAGUUGUUCAUACUUUGAUGACCCAUGUCCUUAUUAUUGAGGACCACACGCAUGGAAAAAUUAUUUAAGUUAUUCCGAGGGAGGAUUGUGCGCAAUGUAUCAAACCUACGAGUGAAAUAUAUGUGAUAGAUGUGGUAGUCAAAAUGGUCAUUUAGGAAAUUAUGUUUGUUUGUCCUUCCCUUCCCCGAAACCCCACUAUGACUAUUUUACAUUUUGUUUUGACAUAUAUAGGGCAUUGAAUAUGGAAGAAAAUGAGCAGGGGAAAAAUCGAUAGUUCAAACUCAUGAUGAAGUACAUGUGUGAAGAAGGAAACCAAGAGCAAAAUGCCUUGGAAGAGUUAUUGAAACAUAGUCUCCAAAAUAGUUUGGAGCUUGACUAACGAAUUGAACAUCUGCCAACCAACUUUAUUCUUGUUGGCGAUCCCGAAAAAAAAAAUUUGAAUUAAAGCUAACAUGCGUAAUUGAACAUAUGGUUGAAAUUGACUCUAAUUCGGAGGAAAAAGAGAAUAUCAAGAUUCAGGCAAAAUUGCAAUAGGGAGGCUUGAUGUCUUUUUCUAAGUAUUUUUCAAUAUUGGAGUUGUGUGGUGAUAUAGGAAUUGAAACACAUGAAUCAAUAAGGGGUUGCGAAGAGGAAAGUCAAGAUCUGCACAAUUUGAGUCCAAGUUAGGCUCCCAAUUCAUAUCCUCCAAGUGGAGAGAACAAUGCAAUGAAAGUUGCAGGAGCAUCAUAAUAAGAACGCUCGUUGACCUCGCGGUGCAGGAUUUUAUUGCCUACCGCUAUUUCUGACUCCUAAUCAUAAGUCCCUGGUUAUUCUAUGUUGAGAUUUGAUCACUGCUAUCGGUUUUUCUGCUACUGCUUCACUUGGCGAUGUUACUGCUGGCACGAGGCACGAGGCCCGCGGAUGGAGUCACCAAUGAUGUGACAUUUAGGGAAGUUCCUCUACAUCCAACUUGUUUUAUUUGUGUACAUUGGGAAUAAUGCAUGAUCAUAAGUGUGGGGUGGGAGUAUGUUAUAUUGAUGAAUAUUUUUUAAAUUUUUUAUUAUUUUAUUCUUCUUGGGUUUUCUUUGCCAUAUUUCUUUCCCAAUGAGCUAUUUUUUGAACCGAGCACUCUUAGAAUAUGAAAACAAAAUGUAAAGAAAAAAAUUUGUUUUUCUAAAGAAAGUUCGGAACCUUGAUAUGCAUCUUGAGAGUCACCAAGUAUGCUUGCAUUUUUUUUUCAUUUCAUGCUUGCAUAUUGAGGAUUGAAAUUGAGUGAACUCUCAAUUCCAUGUAUAUAGAGUCACCAAGUAUGCUUGAAUUUUUUUUUUUCAUUUCAUGCUUGCAUAUUGAUGAUUGAAAUUGAGUGAACUCUGAAUUCCAUGUGUAUAUAGUGGUGGGUUCUAUGAGCAUUUUCAUGUUCACAUGUCAAUCUAGAACGUGUCCGGCUUGUUUAUUUGAGGCGAAAUCCUAGGAUGUUCUCAAGUUAGGUAAUAAUUGUAAGCCAUCUUGAUUGUCACAACCUAAAAUUCACUAGUCGUAAUGUCACAUAACCCAACAUGCAAGGUAACCCAACUAUGCUAUCCAAUUCCCAUAAUAUUUAAUAAGACAGUUUAAACAAGAAAAUUAUCUGAAUCUUAUACACUUUCCUAAAGACUGGGAGUACAAAUCAUGAGCAUCUAAGAAUAAAAUUUAUAAAACUGAAAUGAAGUAAAUACUUCUUCUAUUUGAAAAGUACAUAAACAAAAUUUUAUAAAUCUACGGAUACCAUGAACAAGAGGCAGUUACAGCCGGAACGCAGGUACAUCUUCAAAUACAACAAGCAUCGAACACAGCAAUAAUGUGAAGAUAACAUCUGCACGUAAUGUGCACAAGUGUAGUAUCAUUACAACCCACCCCAUAUACUGGCAAGUAACAAACCUAAUAGGUUGAAAGUAGUAACGAGCUGGAACACAGUCGGGUCCAAUACCAAUAACCAACAACAGUUCAUAACAACGUAGAGCAUAUAUAUACAUCACUGACGAUCAGUCACUCAGUACCAAGGAAGGGCAAUCCGGCCCCAUGGAGAAGAUCCAUCUCACAAGCGCUAUCACAAGCCAAAUCUAAGCAUAAAUCAAUAUAACAUGUUUCGGCGUUCAUCCCUUCCCAUAACUGUCACUCAUAAUUAAGCUCCCGACCUUACUCGGUCAUCAAUCUAUCUAGUUUCACCCUUGGGCUCACAAUUCAUGAAGAUUAACCCGGAACAAUGAUAUGAUAUGCUAAUGAAUAAUAAUUUAGACUGAGAUAUGAUAUAGAUGCAUGAAUAUGACCGAGUACGAAAUAUCAAUGAAAAUCAGUGGGAUGACAGCAAGAAAUGACCACUAUAGGUCCCAUCAAUAUCUGCAUAAAGCCUACAUAUGAUAUGUAGCAUGAUUAACUGCUCAAUUACUUUAUCACAUGGUGAAAACAUAUAUAUUUUAUUCAGUGCCAUGGAAAAUAAUAGUGUCACAAUUCAUAGGGUGUACGCCUACAUGCCCAUCACCUAGCAUAUGUUUCACCUCAACACCAAUAAAUCCUGAAAAAUCCUGCGAAUCGCGAAUAAUUCUGAAUUAUAAUAAAUCCUGAAAAAUUAGUUUAUCUGUAACCCUUAGGUUGUUAGUCUUUGACAUUAAUGUGAAGAUACGCAUCAUAAUCCUUGAAGACGUUUUGCUUUUUGUUUCUUAAUAUUCCUCGAAGUUUUAUUCGGUCGAAAAAGAAAAUUAAUACUAAGUAAAGACAAUAAUUUAUGUUUUCAGACAAAAAGAAUAAAACAUAAAGUUGAAACUAAAUAAAAGAAAAAAUUACGUCGACAGCAGGAUUCGAACCUGCGCAGGCAAAGCCCAACAGAUUUCGAGUCUGUCUCCUUAACCACUCGGACAUAUCGACAUAUUGCUUCGUUGUUAUCACCAAUACAUUAAUAUACAAAUGUGGAGUUUUAAUUACACUUUGCUUUCAUGUCAAACUAAUGCGAUCCAUCUGCUAUGCUAAUUAAUUGAUAUUAUAGCGCUGAGUAAGUUUUCCAUCACUUACUAACUAUUCAAUCAACAUUGUGAAAAACUAAAAAUGAUAAAUAAUUCGAUCAUUCUUUUACUUUCAUGGAACAAAAGAUUCACUGGUGUAAUGUUUUUUUUACUCCUACACAUGGGAUUUUCUUUUUUUUUUGGNNNNNNNNNNNNNNNNNNNNNNNNNNNNNNNNNNNNNNNNNNNNNNNNNNNNNNNNNNNNNNNNNNNNNNNNNNNNNNNNNNNNNNNNNNNNNNNNNNNNNNNNNNNNNNNNNNNNNNNNNNNNNNNNNNNNNNNNNNUUCCGAUCUGACGGCGAACUUGGUUAGGGAGGCAGCGGGAACUUGUAUGGGGCGGAGUGCUGGCCUGUGAAGCACUCUCAUGUCCAGAGAAUGAAAGUUGCGGAGAUGAGGAUGCUCAUGUGGAUGUGCGGGCUCACCAGGCUUGAUAAGAUUAAGAAUGAAGUUAUUCGGGAGAAGGUGGGGGUGGUCCCAGUGGAUGAGAAAAUGGGAGAAGCGAGACUCAUGUGGUUUGGGCAUGUGAGGAGGAGAAUCCCUGAUGCCCCGGUGAGGAGUUGUGAGAGACUGGCGGUGGUUGGCGCGAGUCGAGGCAGAUGGAGGCCUAGGAGAUAUUGGGGUGAGGUGAUUAGGAAGGAUAUAGCUAGAAUGAGGAUUUCCGAGGAUGUGGCCUUGAUAGGAAAGUCUGGAGGUCUAGUAUUAUGGUUGUAGGAUAGGGGCUUCUAGAAUUUUUAGUACUUCUGUCCGGGGCUAGGUGGGGCUUGGUAAGGCUCUCUAUAGUUGAUUUAUGUCUUGUACUGUGCCUCUUAUGGUAGUGACCGAUUAAUAUUAUUGCAUAUCAUUUUAUUCUUGGUUUUAUGUUUAGAUAAUUAUUAACGUGAUUUAUGCUGGAUUUAUUAAUGUUGUUUUUUUUAUUUUCUCUCCCUUUCUCUGAGCCGAGGGUUGGUCGGAAACAGCCUCUCUAUCUUUUCGCGUAGAGAUAAGGCCUAUGUAUGUAUUACUCUUUCCAGACCCCACUUUGUGGGAAUAUACUGGAUAAUUGUUGUUGUUAUUAUGGUGUUCAUACCUUUUUUGUGAAAUAAUUAAGAGAAAGGAAAUAACGCUGAAAUCAUUGUCUCUAAAUCGAGAAUUAAUUCCCUGUAUUCAUAGCAAGCGAAACUCCAUGAGCAAUAUUAGCAACCAACUUAAUUUGAAUCUUUAGUGAAUAAUUUUGGGAGAAUUUCACGUAAGAACAACAGGGCACCCUAAUUUUUAAUUUUAUAGCCCAUAUUUUAAUUUACAAUCAAUUAGCCCAAAAAUAAUAGGCUAAGAUUCAAUAUUCAACUCCAAUAGGUUCUCAAAAAUACCAUUUCAUUUUUUAAAAAAAUGCUCAAACUUUUAAGUUAAUUUUCGAAUCAAUAACUGUGAUUCAAAUAUUUGUUUAACAAACCAAAUCCAUCCGGGUGGUGAAAAUUAGAUUUUUUAACAAGUUUAAAUAUGUGGGUUUAAAUUUUGAAUUUAAUUUUGUACGAAAGUUGGAGCGGGUGUUAUAUACAUUUGUUAGAAAUAGUAUAAGGAAGUUGUAUAUAAAAUUUGAAGUCAUUUAAUGGAGAUUUUGACUGGUUUUGAACAAGAAUUACAACUGAAAAUCGUCGAAGAAGUUCGUCUGCAUACGUUUGUAUAAAGGUGUAUAAAAGUGUAUAAUAGUGUAUAAGAUGUGUUUAUACACCCAUAUACACUAUUAUACAAGAUUAUACAAAAAAUUGACUUCGUCUUAUUCCUUGCGCUUUUUUAAAAAAAAAUUUAACUCAAAUCUUGCUCAAAUCUUGAUAUUUUCAAUCAAUUGAAACAAUACCCAAUCCAAACAAUUAAAAAUUACAAGAAAUUAUAUAGUUGAUUUAUGUCUUGUACUGGCCGGUCCGCGUUCAUAAGCCUGUGAGCCAGGGACCGUCAGCCGGGUCUGGGCCGGUCCUGGCGGGCCUAAACGGGCCCAACGGCUAUUUUUUUUUAAAAAAAUUAUUUUAAAAAUCAGCAACGGUCAUAUUUAAAAUAUAGCCGUUUGGGCUGAAAAUACGGCCGUUUGGAAGUUUACAAAAUGGCCAUUUGGCACCCAAACUUCAAUUUAACCCCAAACUUUAUAUAAUUACACUUUUUCCCAUUUUUCAACUAUAUAUAACCCCUCAUUCUUUCAUUUUUAUUCACCAAUUCAUCAAUAUCUCUCAAUCUCUCUCAAUCUUUNNNNNNNNNNNNNNNNNNNNNNNNNNNNNNNNNNNNNNNNNNNNNNNNNNNNNNNNNNNNNNNNNNNNNNNNNNNNNNNNNNNNNNNNNNNNNNNNNNNNNNNNNNNNNNNNNNNNNNNNNNNNNNNNNNNNNNNNNNNNNNNNNNNNNNNNNNNNNNNNNNNNNNNNNNNNNNNNNNNNNNNNNNNNNNNNNNNNNNNNNNNNNNNNNNNNNNNNNNNNNNNNNNNNNNNNNNNNNNNNNNNNNNNNNNNNNNNNNNNNNNNNNNNNNNNNNNNNNNNNNNNNNNNNNNNNNNNNNNNNNNNNNNNNNNNNNNNNNNNNNNNNNNNNNNNNNNNNNNNNNNNNNNNNNNNNNNNNNNNNNNNNNNNNNNNNNNNNNNNNNNNNNNNNNNNNNNNNNNNNNNNNNNNNNNNNNNNNNNNNNNNNNNNNNNNNNNNNNNNNNNNNNNNNNNNNNNAAAUGAUGAUGAUGAUGAUGAUGAUGAAACCCAAGCAGCAGAUUUAGAUGAUACACCUACUAGUCCUGUUAAUAACUCAAGUAAUGCACCGGCCAACCCACCUGUAGAAACUCCAACUUUUAAUAGACAACCUGCUAAAAGUCAAGAAACAUCAUUAGUUUGGAAUUUUUUUACUCAAGUAAGAGAACUAAAUAACACUGUCACCGGAGGUAUUUUAUAUUACGAUCCAAAUAGAGAUCGAAGAAUUAGCAAAGAUGAUUACUGUUAUGUGCUUACCUUAUACUUUUGCUUCUAAUCCUAUUNNNNNNNNNNNNNNNNNNNNNNNNNNNNNNNNNNNNNNNNNNNNNNNNNNNNNNNNNNNNNNNNNNNNNNNNNNNNNNNNNNNNNNNNNNNNNNNNNNNNNNNNNNNNNNNNNNNNNNNNNNNNNNNNNNNNNNNNNNNNNNNNNNNNNNNNNNNNNNNNNNNNNNNNNNNNNNNNNNNNNNNNNNNNNNNNNNNNNNNNNNNNNNNNNNNNNNNNNACUGCUGAUAUUGGUAGAAGUGGUAAUGAUUGUGAUUAUCUAAAUGUUACAAGUCAUUGGAUAGAUGAGUACUGGACAAUGCAAAAACCUAUAAUUGCGUAUAGUAUAAUUAAUUCACGUCACAGAGGUAAGUUUAUAACUAACACGGUUUCAGAUAUUUGUAGAUAUGUUUGCUUUAGCGAUAAAAUAAUGGCAAUUUCUAUGGAUAAUACUUAUAGUAACACUAGUGCUAUAGGCAUGCUUACAAAAACACUAAAGCCUGCAUUUACUAAUACUUUCCAUGUUAGAUGUAUUUGUCAUAUUUAUCAUUUAAUUGUCGGUGAUGGUAUGCAAAUUUUAAACAUAGAAAUUGAAAAGGUUCGAAUGGNNNNNNNNNNNNNNNNNNNNNNNNNNNNNNNNNNNNNNNNNNNNNNNNNNNNNNNNNNNNNNNNNNNNNNNNNNNNNNNNNNNNNNNNNNNNNNNNNNNNNNNNNNNNNNNNNNNNNNNNNNNNNNNNNNNNNNNNNNNNNNNNNNNNNNNNNNNNNNNNNNNNNNNNNNNNNNNNNNNNNNNNNNNNNNNNACGCAAGAUUGGACGAAUGUUAAAAUUCUUUUAGAUUUUUUAGAACAUUUUCAAGUUGCUACAAAUGCAUUUUCUAGGCAAUAUUAUCCUACUAUUUUAAACUGUUUAGUUUAUAUUGCCGCACUAGCUGAUUUGUUUAUGAAUUUGGCGAGGGUGGAGAUAUUUAUGAACUUGCUAUAAAUGAAAAAUAAAAAUUUAAAAAAUAUUUUUUCCUAUCCUUCCUAUUUUUGGUGUUGCUGCAAUGUUAAAUCCUACAAUAAAAUUGGGAGGUCCUCAUUUUUGGUAUUUAAAUAUUUAUAAGGCUUUAGAUCUUUCAAACAAGGAAGUUGCUACACUUGCAGAUGCGAAAGCAUCAAUUAAAAUUAAUGCUUAAUCAGUUUAUAAUUCUUAUUAACUUGCCUUAGAGCAUGCUAGGUCAAAUAUUCCAACCCCUACUUUAUCUAGCUCACAAUCGUCUAAAAGAGGUGCGGGCUUAAUAGCUCUUAAAUCUUGGACGGAGUUCCGGGGUUCUCAAGGUGAUAAUUAUGAUGAAACUUCACAUUUAAAUGAGCUUCAAGUUUACUUGUCUCAGGGACUUGAAAAGGAGAAUCCAGACGACUCUUUCGAUCUUUUGGAAUGGUGGAAGUUGAGGGAAAAACAUUUUCCGAUUCUUGCAAGGAUGGCUCGGGAUGGUUUGUCAAUUCAAGCUUCAAUUGUUGCAUCAGAGAGCGCUUUCAGUCAAGCAAGACUACAAAUAGGUGAUCAUAGUGCGGCGAUGCGGGACAACUUGGAAAAAUCAGUGCUAAUCCGAGAUUGGAUCCGCUAUGAAAGAAGGAACUUUGGGCUAGCUGAAUCUCAACCAGAAAUAGAUGAGUGCUAUGAAGAAAUGCUAGCAGAACUUGCUCAGGAAGCAACUUCACCCGGAUUUAUGGGAUUUGUUAGAGAUACAAUGUAGAUUAUGAUGUAACAUGUACUUUGGCACAUCUUUUAAUUUUUUUUAAAAUGGUGGUAUUAGUACUUUGUUGUGCUCAUUCCAUUGGGAGAAGGAAGACUAAGAAAGAUAUGUCAUUUUGGGUAAUAAAAUAAUAAGACAUACCCUUGAAUAUCUUUUUUCUCAAUAUUUCUUUGUCUUUACUUCUAAUAUAUAUAACAUAACAUACAACCUAAACUACAAGAAAAUAAAUAAGUAAUAACAUAUAUACAUAAGAUAUAAUAUAUAUAAGAGAAUAUAUAUACAUAAGAGAUAUAAUAUAUAUACUACAACAAAAUAUAUANNNNNNNNNNNNNNNNNNNNNNNNNNNNNNNNNNNNNNNNNNNNNNNNNNNNNNNNNNNNNNNNNNNNNNNNNNCAACAAAAUAUAUAACUAUAUAAGUUAUAAUAUAUAUACAUAAGAUACAAUAUAUAUAUACUACAAGAAAAUAUAUAAGGGAAUAUAUAUAUACAUAACACACUAAUUACUACAAUACAAUAUAUAAUGAAAUAUAUAUUAUAUAUACUAUACUGAUAACUAGUAUACUAUAUAAAUAUAUUCUAUGCUAGUAUAUUAUAUACUAUACUAAUAACUAUUAUACAAGAUAUUGUCAUAAACAAAAAAAUUACAAAAAAAGCCCGCCAGGCCCGGCUCGCUAAGCCCAGAACCACAUGGGCUUAGGCCGUCACGGGCUGGUCUCACCCAUUGAGCCCACGAAUCCCGGGACCGUCAUAGCCCAAGCCCGCGAAGCCUGGGACUGGGAAGCUUGGCCUGCGAAGCCCGUUUAGGCACAGGCCCGGGACAAAAUACAGCACUACCAUGACUUGCUAUGCAACUGUACAAAUUAAUAUCUACUGAUAUUGCAGUAGAAUAGGAAAAGGGAAGAGGACGGCGGGAGGAGGGAAGAACUGGUUUCCUUCAUCUCUCUAGAUGCUAUAACGUGUAGUUAAACAUUACAGGCUCGAAACUGAUAGUUGUUGGUCCGAUAAAUAUUUGCAGCAGAUGCUCAUAAUUGUUUACCAAAAUUUCCCUGCAUCAGAAAAGAUCGCAUCGUUGUCAAACAGCUAAUACCAAAACUAAUUGACAAAGGGAAUAACACCAUCAUAAAAAGUCAUUCUGUUCAGUUGGUAUUUACUAUUUAGAUGUCCAAGUUUCUAAUGAAUGUCUUAGAGAAUCAAGACAAGUAGUCUUUCUCCAUAGUUAAACAAGAAUGCAGCAAUGAAAUAAGAUGCUAUUGUUCUCCUGAUAGCUUAUAUAUUACGAUCUACGUCAUAUUCAAGAUGAGAUUACUCUCCCAAUACCUUCUGCCGUGAUGUUUACCGAAGAUCAUUGUAUCAAAUUUGAUGGUUGCACAAUCCAGAAGGCUUUCGACUUCUUGUGCAUAUGAACAGUUGAGAUGUUAGCAAAGCAUAUUUCUCUUUGUAUGAUAUUAUUUUUUCCCACAAAGAGUCCAUACAAUAUUCUUGAGGGAGGGAGAGGGUCCAAAAUUUUUAAUCACCCUACCCCAAUUAAUCUCGCUUCUUUUUCACUAUUAAUUUACUUAUUUUCUUGAUCUCUUAAGCUUUGUUCAAAUUAACUUUUUCUUUCCUCACCAUUGUUUCUAUAGCUGUUGUGGAAGUCUUUCUAUAGUUUCUUCACUUUCCAACACUCAACCUCUUAAAUUCACCGACUCAAUUUUGGUUACAUCAUUAAUUAAAUAAUUGCUCAUAAUAGUUGUAAAUGGCUAUAUCAUAGUUGUUGGCGUCAAUAGUUACCUCUUCACUAUAGUUGACAUAAAUGAUUACAUCAGUUGAUUCUAUGUUUAACAUUUGUUUCAAACUGAAGCACGAGUAAUUUGUACCACCAGUUUCCUCUAUAAAUAUUAGAAUCAAAUAGCUAUAGGAACUUUUUACAGACGAGAAAUUAUUCAGCAUUACAAAAGUAACGCUGGGGAUAAGGCCCCUGAACCUGACGGAUAUACCAUAGCUUUAUCAGAGAUGUUGGUCCUUCCAAAAAGGAGACAUCAUAAAAACAUUUAAAUAUUUCAACAGAGAAGACAAAUUAUAAAUACCCUACAUGCUACCUUCAUAACACUCGCAGCAAUUGAGUUAAAAGACAUUCAAUCUUUCAGUCAUCUGGUUAGCAUAUACAAAAACAUUUCACGUGGUGACUACGAAACUGAUCCGUGAAUCUCAGAAUGCAUUUGUAGAGGGAGGAAUAUUGUGGAUGCGCACAGUGGCCAACAAAUGUUUGGAUACAAGGAAUAGCAAAGGGUAAAAGGAGUCAUUUGCUAACUAAACCUGGAGAAAGCAUAUGACCGUGCUAACUGCGCCUUUUUGCUAGAUUUGAUGAGAACCAUGGGAUUUCGAAUGAACGGAAUCAAUAUUAGAAAGCAAGCAACUUGUCGUACAGUCAGGUACUUGAUCCUAAUGAAUGGCACCCCAAUAGACUGCUUCCAGCCACAAAUUGGGUUGAAGCAAGGGGCCCCUUGUCUCUUUCCUCUUUCUGUUACUUGUGCAAGUCUUCGGUAAAAUGAUUAGCAGGCAGUAAAAAGGAAAUUAAUCAAGGAAAUUUCAUUGGUAGUUAAACACAAAACAUGAUUGAUAUUCCGCAUCCUAUAUGCAGGCGAUAUCCUGGUACUCUGUGGUGCAGAGCAAGGCAAAGAGCAGUCUCUUUUCUGUUAGAAAUGGGACCAAUAUGGAGUCAUUAGCAGCUAUAUAAGGACGUAAACAGAAAAUUUCCCUUCUAUGUACUUGGGCUUCGUGUCGGAGCUAAACAUGGUCACAUAGAGUCAUAGACAUGCUGAUCUGUGACAGAAUGUGGUGGAAAACGUGAAGACAGGCUUGUUUCAUGGGAAAGGAAAUAUCUUUCUUUGGGGAGUAGAAUCACCCUAAUAAAUAGUUUAGUGAAUGGGAUUCCAUGUCAUUACAUUCAACACCUCAAAAGGAAGUGAAACAACUGGAAUACACUUGGUAAGGUGGAGGUAUGGGAAUUACACACCCUUAAAAGUGGGGAAUUAGAGACCUCAGGAUGCAAUGUGGAAGAAAGUUAUCAUCACAAAACUGUGGUUAGGAUGGGCCAUGGUGCACUAAACUAACAGCUCAGGCAUAUGGUGCAUCUCUCUCGAAGAGAAUUAACAGCCGCUGGGGUGAAUUUCAAAAAUUAACACAGAUUGUAGUAGGUGAUGGACAAAAACCAGAACAAGGAUUGACCCAUGGUUUGAUCAAAUGCUUUGAGAGAGGCUUUCCCUGAAGUUUUGGGCAUCGUUGUAACCAUGAGGCACUAUUACAGAAUGCUGGAAUAGUGAAAUAUUGCAUUUAGGGUUUAAGAGGAACUUUUUUACUGUAAAAUAGAAAACAUAGCACAAUUACUAUUCAUACCAGAAGGCGUACAAACUCAGCCAGAUAAACCAGAUUCUCUAGUCUGGAAAGGAGGUAAGAAUGGUAAUUCACUGUAAAACUAUGCUACCAAUUGCUGAAGUUUCCAGCUGAUGCACAAGAAAAUUGGCCCGGGAAAGCAAUCUGGAGAACAAAAGCUUCCCUAGAGCAGCUUGUUUCGGCUGGUUGGUUGUACAUGAUUCAUGCUUGAUGGAGAAAAAUUUAUCAGAAAAUGAGGCUUGUUUCGGCUGGUUGGUUGUACAUGAAGCAUGCUUGAGUGACGUCCCCGUCAAUCUCUCUGUCCCCUCUGCUAAACCCUGUUCCUAAAUGUUUCUGUGGAGCAAUGGGCAUAUCCGUCAAUGCUAAAGGAGGCAAGUAUGUAGCUGGAAUGGACAGAAAUUGAAGAAGCGACUCAAAAACUUUUGGAACACUUUCCCAUUGAACACUUCUUGGUCUUUGAGGAAGGGAAGUGAUAGCAUUCAUGAAUCUUAACUCCAUUGGAAACAAAGGAAUUUCAAGAUGUAAAGUACAGAGACAAUAGGGCAAUCUCUCUCAUAUAUUAUUCCGGAAGUAACAGUAUGUAUACGAGUACAUAGAGCCCUAACUGCGGAAAAAAUCAAAAAAAAUCCUAUAAAUUUGUUGUUAAUCCAUAUAAUUCUGCUAGCUAUGUACAUUACAUAAGCGUAUGUCUAAAUUCAUUAUGUAAGAUGUUUCUGUGGAGCAAUGGGCAUAUCCGUCAAUGCUAAAGGAGGCAAGUAUGUAGCUGGAAUGGACAGAAAUUGAAGAAGCGACUCAAAAACUUUUGGAACACUUUCCCAUUGAACACUUCUUGGUCUUUGAGGAAGGGAAGUGAUAGCAUUCAUGAAUCUUAACUCCAUUGGAAACAAAGGAAUUUCAAGAUGUAAAGUACAGAGACAAUAGGGCAAUCUCUCUCAUAUAUUAUUCCGGAAGUAACAGUAUGUAUACGAGUACAUAGAGCCCUAACUGCGGAAAAAAUCAAAAAAAAUCCUAUAAAUUUGUUGUUAAUCCAUAUAAUUCUGCUAGCUAUGUACAUUACAUAAGCGUAUGUCUAAAUUCAUUAUGUAAGAUGUUUCUGUGGAGCAAUGGGCAUAUCCGUCAAUGCUAAAGGAGGCAAGUAUGUAGCUAGAACGGACAGAAAUUGAAGAAGCGACUCAAAAACUUUUGGAACACUUUCCCAUUGAACACUUCUUGGUCUUUGAGGAAGGGAAGUGAUAGCAUUCAUGAAUCUUAACUCCAUUGGAAACAAAGGAAUUUCAAGAUGUAAAGUACAGAGACAACAGGGCAAUCUCUCUCAUAUAUUAUUCCGGAAGUAACAGUAUGUAUACGAGUACAUAGAGCCCUAACUGUGGAAAAAAUCAAAAAAAAUCCUAUAAAUUUGUUGUUAAUCCAUAUAAUUCUGCUAGCUAUGUACACUACAUAAGCGUAUGUCUAAAUUUAUUAUGUAAGAUAUUUCUGUGGAGCAAUGGGCAUAUCCGUCAAUGCUAAAGGAGGCAAGUAUGUAGCUGGAAUGGACAGAAAUUGAAGAAGCAACUCAAAAACUUUUGGAACACUUUCCCAUUGAACACUUCUUGGUCUUUGAGGAAGGGAAGUGAUAGCAUUCAUGAAUCUUAACUCCAUUGGAAACAAAGGAAUUUCAAGAUGUAAAGUACAGAGACAAUAGGGCAAUCUCUCUCAUAUAUUAUUCCGGAAGUAACAGUAUGUAUACGAGUACAUAGAGCCCUAACUGCGGAAAAAAUCAAAAAAAAUCCUAUAAAUUUGUUGUUAAUCCAUAUAAUUCUGCUAGCUAUGUACAUUACAUAAGCGUAUGUCUAAAUUCAUUAUGUAAGAUGUUUCUGUGGAGCAAUGGCCAUAUCCGUCAAUGCUAAAGGAGGCAAGUAUGUAGCUAGAACGGACAGAAAUUGAAGAAGCGACUCAAAAACUUUUGGAACACUUUGCCAUUGAACACUUCUUGGUCUUUGAGGAAGGGAAGUGAUAGCAUUCAUGAAUCUUAACUCCAUUGGAAACAAAGGAAUUUCAAGAUGUAAAGUACAGAGACAAUAGGGCAAUCUCUCUCAUAUAUUAUUCCGGAAGUAACAGUAUGUAUACGAGUACAUAAAAAAUCAAAAAAAAUCCUAUAAAUUUGUUGUGAAUCUAUAUAAUUCUGCCUAGCCAUGUACAUUACAUAAGCAUAUGUCUAAAUUCAUUAAGUAAGCCCCCCCUCCCCUCCCCUCGAGCUGGAGCAUAAAUGUUGAUCAUGUCCAACUUGUUACAAAGGUCAUCAAUUCGAAUUUCAUUCAAUGCCUUUGUUGACAAGUCAGCUAGUUGCUCUCAUGUCUUCAAGUAGCCGGUGGAAAUCAAAUUCUCCCGAAUCUUCUCCCGAAUAUAAAUGAUAGUCAACCUCAAUAUGCUUAGUUCUUUCAUGAUACACUGGAUUUGACACAAUACGGAGUAGCUUGAUUGUCACACCAAAGUUUUGUUGGUAUUCGAUGCUCCAACCAAAUUUUAGUUAAAAGAUGAUGUAUCCACUUAAUCUCACACGCAGACUGUGCCAUAGCUCUAUACUCGGAUUUUGUACUGUAUCGAGAUACAACACUUUACUUCUUACUCCUCCAUGAUACCAGGUUCCCUCGAACAAAGAUACUGUAGUAGAUCUUCUAUCAAUCUUGGAUCGUCUGCAAAACACUCAAUACGAGUAUGAUUGUGAUUGUUAUAUAAUAUGUCAAGUCCAGGAGCUCCUUUCAAAUAACACAAAAUUUGUUCCAAAGCUGCCCAAUGUUUGAUUAUUGGUGCAGACAUGAACUGGCUCACAAUACUUACGCAAAGCAAUAUCUAGACAAGUCAUAGUAAGGUAGUUUAAUUUCCUAACUAACCUCCAGUAUCUCUGGAUCAUCAAAAGGAUCACCAUCGUCUUACAUAAGAUGCACAUCAGGAACCAUUGGGGUACUGCAAGUUUUAGCUACCAACUUUCCAGUUUUUGCAAGCAAGUCAAGAAUGUACUUUCUCUGAAAUAAAUGAAUUUCCUUCUUGCUUCUAUUUACUUCUACUCCCAAAAAGUAUUUCAACUGCCCCAAGUUCUUUGUAAGAAACCAAGUAUGCACAAAAAACUUAAGGGAAGAAAUCCGUGUAUAGUCACUUCCUGUGAUAACAAAGUUAUCAACAUAUACAACAAGGAAAAUCGUGCCAACUGCGGAUUUCCGAUAGAACAAAGAGUGAUCGCACUUGAUCAUUUUUAGCCCUAAGUCCUGAACUACCUCAUUGAAUGUGUCAAACCAAGCUCGUGGACUCUACUUCAAGCCAUACAAGAACUUCUUCAAAUGACAGACUCUCCAUACUCCCCUUGAGCAACAAAACCAGGUGGUUACUCCAUAUACAAUUCCUUCUGAAGAGCAACAUGAAGGAAUGCAAUCUUGAUACCCAACUGACAUAAAGGCCAAUUCUCGGACGCAACUAAAGAAAUAAAUAAGAGGAUAGAAGUGAUUUUGGCAAUAGGAGAGGAAGUGUCGGAAUAAUCCACCCUAUAAGUUUUAUUAAAGGAUAACAAUUGAUAUCCUUCAGUUUAGGAGUUUGUUAUAGCUUCCUAUUUUCUAGGUUUAGGAUUUUGUUAGUUUCCUGUAUUCUAGUGUAUCCUACUGCAAAAAAUCUUAUCAUAUCAGUUUGUUCCACCUUUAAUGUAUUUCCAUUUGUAUAUGCUCUAUAUAAAAAGCCUGUUGUUCAUGAAUAAAAUUAUCCUUUCUCUGGAGCAUUUUAAAACUUCAUAUGGUAUCAAGAGCUUUCUUUCUCCUCACAGAGUUCUGACCUUUUUGAUACCCACUGUUUGUAUCUGCUCUAUACUGUUGUACGUGAACAAAAUUAUCUUUUCUCUGGUGCAUUUCAAAACUUUAUAUGGUAUCAAGAGCUUUC
This 89650-nucleotide long non-coding RNA is filed under the name Nicotiana benthamiana. Lineage: Eukaryota; Viridiplantae; Streptophyta; Magnoliopsida; Solanales; Solanaceae. The record is from RNAcentral.